AGUAUCUACCAAGGUUCCGGCCAGAGAACUUGGCUCACAACACGAAGUUAUUUGACCGAGUGAAUGGAAUUGCACAAAGAAAGGGAUGCACCACAUCGCAGUUAGCCCUCGCCUGGGUACACCACCAGGGUGAUGAUGUUUGCCUGAUUCCCGGCACGACCAAGAUCGAGAAUUUCAACUAGAACAUUGGAGCUCUGUCAGUGAAGCUUACACCGGAAGAGAUGGCCGAGCUUGAAUCGAUUGCUUCUGCAGACAGUGUCAAGGGUGGCAGGUACGAUGGAAGCAUGUCUACAUGGGAAAACUCCGACACUCCACCCCUUUCUUAAUAAAAUUAUGUGUUUUUCUAGUAAGGGAUGUUGCGAAAACUUUAUUGUCUUUUGCAUGCGUAAUUAUAACUAUGAGUGUAACUAUGCGUAAUUACAACAUGUGGCGUCACACAAUCCUCAGCACUUGAAUUGGGGUCUAUCAAGGUAGUGCUUGAGUCUAUGAUGCUCAAGCUCUAUUCAAUAGCACUUAGGCUCGGGUCCGCAAAGAUUGUGCAUCAGUCCUCAAUGCUUGAGGUCGGCUCGUUAGUUAAUAAAACGUUUGUUCUUAUAAAAAUAAUUAUUUUUAAAAAAUCUAUUUUUUUAUAUUAUUUGUUUUCUUUCUUUUUAUUUUCCUUCUUCUCGGCUAGUUGCCAACCAUGGCGCCGAUUGCGCCUGAUAACAAGCACCGGAUGAGCUAGCCCAAGGCCAAGAAGACUUGAGAUUGCUGAUUUGGCAAGCUUGAAGCUGGUCAAGUGCAAGCUCGAGUUUCGCCCCGUGGCUAGUCGCCAACUACCACCGUGGCUAGCGUUCGGUCGAGGAAGAAGAAAAAGAAAAAUAAGUAAAAAUCUGAAUAUUUUGUAAUCUUCUAUAGGGAAAUCAAAUAAGAUUUUUCAUAUUAAACGAUAAAAAAUAUUUUCUAGUUUAUUUUUAAGACUUAACCAAAUAUUGAAAAUGACUUUUUGUAAAAUAUUAUUCAAAUAUGUCAUAUUUUUUGCGAAACAAACGGUACAUAAAUUUAAAUUUGAUAAUUGUCCUUGUUAAUUUGGUACACAUUAUCUGUCUCUUUGUUUUGUUGCUGAACUGAUGCUAAUCUCUAGAUGAAGCUUGACUAGUUUCAAUAGGCGGCUUGACUUUUGCGCUUCCUUUUUUUUAAAACCCAAAACACUCAAAACUUUCGUGAUACACGACUUUCGACAUGCAGAGUUACAAUCACUUCAAAUAAUUUAUCUGAAAAUUGUAUAGUGGGCCAUCCGAGAAAGGUGAGGGCAACUUGUCCCCCUAGAAAUUGUCAUGACGUGGAACUCUUGACAUGAAUUGAAGUGACUUUUGUUAAGAGUUAACUAGUCAAGAUCGGGCCACAUCUGUCCAUUCAUGUCCGCCACAUCCGGCCCCUCCAAUCGGACUCCCCGGCGAAAAGAUUCACGGACACGUGGCUGGAUCUAGAAAGUCACGGGUUUGACUUGUCUUUUGUGUCACUAUCAAGAAUGUGCAUGGUCCGGACGGGCGAUUCCCGACCUAGAAUCGGGAACUGCUUGCUAAGGACCGAUUCCAAAACAUUGAAACGGAGAUCCACCAGUUAGUUGAAUGAAUCCACUUGGGAACCAGAUCGCUGAUUCAGUCCGAUUUCUAGGUGGAUCUAUGGAACCGAUCUUGACGCUAAAUAAUUUUAUUUUCAAUAUAGAACGACUACGUGAUUUCCAUAACAACAGCUGGAGAGGUUGUAGAAGGAUAUCAUGGUAGGCACUUACGAUAAUCGUGAGGAAAUGAUAGCAAUUUUGGUUAAACUUGUUUUCUAUCAUGGCUAUCAUGGGUCGAAUAAAAUUUUGCAAGCAAAUUUCGUGUCCUAGGCAUUUUUUUUCUCUUAGGUGUGAUGCUUUAAAAACCCUCUAUGUGAUGCUUAGGAACCUUUGUUUGUGAUGAAGCCUAAAGAUUUAUUCCUUGUUGUGGACUUGUUGUCCUACAUCAAAAUCUCUCAGUCAAACUUUUUUGCUUUGUUUUGGUAAGUCUGUAUAAGGUAUAUUACAGAAGUUGCAUUACGAGAUAUUUCUUCCUUAUUGUCUUUUUAGUUUAACUAAGGCCAAAUUGUUUUGGCAUUUUUCCAAGCAUUUCAUUAUGGAAUGAUGAUAAGAAGCGAUCUUGACUUAAUGCUUUUAGUUAUUUGAUUUGGAUUUAUUAAUUAGUAAUUUCAUUUUUUAAUAUUAAAAAUUAAUAUAUUAUUUUAAUAUAAUCGGUUCGGUCUAGGUGGGCGGGUAGAUAGAUCCGCUCAUGGAACUGGGAACCAGACUGGUACUCACCGGUUCCCAUAAAUUGGAAUCGAGAACCGGACCGGUUCCCUUAAAAACUACCGGUUCUGGGCGGUCCAAGCGGGUUUCGGUUAUUUUGCACAAAGAAUUAAAAAUUCAAUUUUUUUUAAAAAUAUUUUAAAAAGAAUUAUAAAAAUUUUCAUUAAAUUUGUAUUGCAUAAAAAUGUUUUAACAAUACUUUUUUUUAAAUAAAAAAAUCAUAAAAACGAGCUUUUUAAGGGUUAAUUAUUUUUUUUAUGUUAUUGUUUUUAGUUAUUCAAAGGUAUGUUUACUUCAAAUAAGGGAAGCAUGUGCAUAGUUUAAUUCUUUAUAAAUAUUUAAAUGUUUUUUUAAACUUUUCUUAUUUUAUUUUAUUUUCUAUUUUUAAUUUAAUUUGAAGAUUUAAUCUAAUUAGCAUAUAAUAGAAGUGGAUUUUCCUAAAAUAUUAAGAGGUUUUAGCAAUACGAGUUGGAUCGGGUAUGUGUCGGGUAUAUAUGAAUAUGGAUCAGAAUAAGUUAAAUAGAUCAAAUAUGAGUUCAUUCGUUUUCGACCGGACUCAAAUCCGGCUUGAUCCGGUUUCGACCCAACCCAAAUCCGACUCGAUCCACUCAUUUAACGGGUCUAGAUUGAAUUGACGUAAGCACGUGCGUCUUCGUAGCUACUGCCGCUCCCCUCCUAUAAAUCUCGGCUCGCCCGACAUCUUAGCCAUCGUCACGGUGCAGUGCAGGGAACGAGCGAGCUCGAGCUAGACGACGGCAAUGGCAGCGUCGACGACGACGGUGGGGAGGAUCAAGCUGGGGUCGCAGGGCAUGGAGGUGUCGGCGCAGGGGCUGGGCUGCAUGGGCAUGUCCAUCGGCUACGGCCCUCCCAAGCCCGACCCCGACAUGAUCGCCCUCAUCCACCACGCCGUCGGCUCCGGCGUCACCUUCCUCGACACCUCCGACAUCUACGGCCCCCACACCAACGAAAUCCUCCUCGGAAAGGUCGGUUCUCUCAGUCUCUCUUUUGCCUCCGCAUGAAUCAUACGUGCUUAUAGUGUUACGGAAUUCAGCUUCAUCGAGCAGGAUGCUCCGAUCCUGCGCCUUGGUUUUCUGAUUUCGGGGUUGAUUUUGAGCAGGCACUGAAGGGAGGGGUGAGGCAGAAGGUGGAAUUGGCGACCAAGUUCGGAGUCAGCUUCGCGGACGGGAAGAGGGAGAUCCGGGGCGAUCCGGCGUACGUGAGGGCUGCUUGCGAGGCCAGCUUGAGGCGGCUCCACAUCGAUUGCAUUGACCUCUACUACCAACAUCGCAUCGACACUCGCGUCCCCAUCGAAGUCACUGUAUGGAUCCCACAUCAAACCUUUACCUCUCUCGGGACUUUCUCCGAGUGAUCAGUUGCUAAAUUAGAAUGGUGUUGAUGAUGCAUCAUCAUCAAGAUAUCGUUAAAUGUGACUUGAGUUCAGAUGAUAGCAGAGUUCAAGAUGUGGCACGGUGUUGUUCAAGGGAUUGCGGAAUUUAGUAGUUUAUAUGGCUUGAGUUUUUGUUUUAUGGGUCAACAAGCAUGAAAAUUAUUCGAAAUCCAGGGUUCACCCUGAUUUAUAUCUGAGAAUCACAUUUGAAGUUGUUCCUGGACUUUCUGCGCAGACAUUUGGUUCUUGACUUGUCAUUGUGAAAUAUGACAAGUACUUGGAAUACUUCUUUAAUUUGCCUUCUUCUGUGAUAGAUUAGAGAGAUCCAUUUCCGUUAACGAUACCUUGCCAUUUUCUUGUUGCAUUGAGAUGCAUAAAGAUUGACUAUUUUUUGCUAGGAGCUACCUAAUCAAAUUGUAAUGUUUGAGAAGUCAGGGAACACAAACUAUUCAGGCAUCAGGACACAAGAAAAACUAAUGAUGUUCAAUAACUUCUGGAUCUUAACACGUAAGAUUUUGACGAUUGUUGUUUUGUCAUGUGAAUAUGCACAGGUUGGAGAGCUAAAGAAGCUCGUUGAAGAGGGUAAGAUAAAGUACAUCGGUUUAUCCGAGGCCUCUGCAUCAACAAUCAGAAGAGCACAUGCUGUUCAUCCCAUCACAGCAGUGCAAUUGGAGUGGUCGCUUUGGUCAAGAGAUGUGGAGGCAGAGAUCAUUCCCACGUGCAGGUAGGAUAUCACUGUUUAUUUGUUUAUGCAGUAACAACAUCUUUCUUCUGACUCUGCUCUUCCUUAAAAUGUUGACUAGGGAGCUUGGCAUUGGAAUUGUUGCCUACAGUCCUCUUGGACGAGGAUUCUUUUCUGUUGGCUCCAAGUUGGUGGAGAAUCUCUCUAAGGAUGACUUCAGACAGGUCUGUUUCUGCUGGUUAACAUAAUUAGAUGCUCACAGUUACUGUCAUUCCCAUUGAAGUGCUGGAAACCUGUUCUUAUUCUAUAAAGAAAAAGUUUGUGACACGAAUGCUUCAUAUUCUUAUUCGAUCCAGCACUUGCCAGUCAUCCCACCUCUCGUGAUUCUAGAUAAAUUUAAAAAUCACAAGUAAUGGCUUUAAUGAGCCUGAAAGGGGCAGUUUUCUGGAUUCUCGUGCUUUUGGGAAUGAACAAAUAUAGGUUUAUUUGUAAGUUGCUCCGUUUCCCAGCUUUCCCACCAUUUGCUUAUCACUAUCCUUUCCCCACUUUCCACCCGCCCUUUUUCUCUCAUAUCUCUUCACAAGAUUAGCAAUAUUUGCUCAAAAUAACCGAGACCAGUAUCGGGCCUUGGCCUCCGUCCUUUUUGUUUCUCAUCUUUCUUCACAAGAUAAAUUAUAUCUUGACACAACCAUUUCUUGAGCGAGGACUCCCUAACACCCUUCUUAUGAGAGUGUUGGGAUCAAGUUCCCAUCUGACAUAAAGCCAAUUGUGUAUUACUCCUGGCCAUUAGUGUUUGAGUAGCGAUAGUGCUGGGCAAGUGAAGUAGCUAUUUUUCUUUGUAGCUAAAUGAGCUUUGCGUCUGAUAACAUUCUUCUACACGUCAUCUACCUUUUGUGAUUUUUUUUUCUUAUGUGUGACUAAUGUUACCAUCACACGUACAAAACUUAGAUUGUCUAGUUUGUUUCUGUUUUCACUUCCUACAUCAAACCCAUCAGCCUUGUGUGGUAGUUGCUAGAUCACUUCGCUCGACGUUUCUAGUUCUUAUGAUUUGGGGCUAGGUAUUUUAAUCAUUUCAAGAUAAUCAUAACUGAUCAUGCUUUUCCAGGUACACAACAAUUGUGCACUUCUAAAUGCUUAUUAGGUCAAGUAACAAGGCAAUCUGUUGGCAUGCAAUGCGAUCACUUUUGCACCUUGCUGCUGUAGAAUUUGGCCUUAAAAGGAAAAUGAUAGUUGCUCAUAUGCUUUCUGCUGAGACAUUGCUCUAUGUUAUGCAGAACCAACCAAGGUUCCAGCCAGAGAACUUGGCUCACAACAUGAAGUUAUUUGACCGAGUGAAUGAAAUUGCGCAAAGAAAGGGAUGCACCACAUCGCAGUUAGCCCUUGCCUGGGUACACUACCAGGGUGAUGAUGUUUGCCCGAUUCCCGGCACGACCAAGAUCGAGAAUUUCAACCAGAACAUUGGAGCUCUGUCAGUGAAGCUUACACCGGAAGAGAUGGCUGAGCUCGAAUCAAUUGCUUCUGCAGACAAUGUCAAGGGUGGCAGGUACAAUGGAAACCUCUCUCCAUGGGAAAACUCCGACACUCCACCCCUUUCUUCUUGGAAACCUGCCUAGAAACAUGUCUACUUCUGUUGCUGCGUCUUUGAUAUGCAGAGUUUGUGCAUUUGCCGCUGAAGUAAUUUGAGGCUAUGUUGUGUGGCUGUUAUAAGUACGUGUAAUAAGAGAGUGACUGUUUUCGUUUUGUACAUGUGACAUUCACUAUGAGAAGAUUAUGGAUAUGUUCUAAGCUUACUGGGGAAAGAUCACCCGCUAACACGAGAGCAAGUUUUUUAUGAACCGAGCUUGCCGUGCCGACUUUAUCGGGGUGACUUUUAGAAUAUGAGAAAUUGGGAUUUUGAAGAAUUCAAACUCAGUCAUACAUACUAGAGUGAUGCUUUAUUCUCCUCCAACUAGUCUUGGUCCAGUUUCCAGAGAGAUUAGGUCGAUCCUUGGUCCUAGAAUUUCAGGACUAGCACUGUGCGGGUCGAUUCUUAGUCCUAAGAGUUCUAGGUCGGUCCAAUCCAAACCAACCUUAUAUAUAUAUAUAUAUAUUAUUUAUAAUUUUUUUAUAUAGAGAAAACCUUAAAACAAACGGCGUCAAUAACAUUAAAGAGUUAUUUAGUAAAGAGUUCAAGUAAUUUUACAUUGUUCUUUAAUAUUUUAGAUUUUUAAUGUCUUUUACGAUAUUAAUAGUCAUAAUUUACGAAGGAGGAAAUUGUUUUUGUAAGGAGUCCUCAUGAUAUCUAAAAAGGUAUAAAUGGCAUCAUUCUUUAGUAUUCGUUCUCUUUGGUUUUAUUCGUUCUCUUAAUUAUCAAUUUGCCAAAAUUGAAAGAAGCAAUCGCUCACUUUGGGUCACUCCUGCCGCUCGCCGCUUAAUGCUCGCUUGGCUUGUUGCUCCAUGCUCGAUAUUCGAUAUUUAUUCUGUUCGACGCUCACCCCACUUGACUCUCGUUGCUUGCCUUUUUUAGUUGACCUUGCUCAUCAUCGAAUCCAUUAGGUCAAUAUGGUCCUCAGUUGCUUUUUCAAGGAUUACAAAAAAUGAAAUAAAAAAUUAUUAAUUAGUCCUAAGUUGACCUUGAAACCAGACCGAACCCAUUGGGUCCGUUUGAUCUUCAAUCGCUUUUUUAAGGUGUACAAAAAAUGAAAUAAAAAAUUAUUGGUUGGUCCCGGGUUGACCCUAGAACUGGACCGAACCCAUUGGAUCAGUUCGGUCAUUGGUCCUAAGCUUAAUAGGGUUGGUUCUCGGUCCAAAAAACUGAGGACCAGCAUUGUGUGAGUUGGUCAUAGGGUUAGGGGGUGAACCGGCCCAACCUGGACCAUACUCACUCCUACCUCUAACCAUGAGUUCAAUACUAGCACCAUGUGCAACAUACUCUUAGGACUGGAUGCUACACAUAGAUACAACGCUUCGCUUUGUGUUUGGUUUCGUAGCGAAGUAAAGGAACAGUAAAAUGCUAUUGGAUGUUCUCGCGAAAAUGAAGUUUGGGAUAAAAUGUUGGCGCGGUUGAUAUGAGUGUCGAGGAAAUCGAAGGUUUCUUGUUCAAGUUUAACCACCUACGGUUCAUGAGCUUUUAUGUAGCUCAAUACCUUCGCUCAUGCCUCUGCAUUAUUAUAAAACAGUCGGAGAUAUUGCGCAAGUUUCCUAAAAUUAAAAACAACAAUUCUAUUGUUUUUUAUUUGGAGUUAGAGUGGAGCAAUGUCGUUUUGUUUUGAUUUAGGAAAAUAACGCAAAUAGUCAUUGAACUUUGGUCCAAUGUGUUAUGUUCUUAUUGAACUUUUAAUUUAUUUAGUAUGACUGUCGAACUUUUUAUACAUGUUUAAUUUAGAUCCUAGGCUAGAUAAAUCCAACGAUGCUGUGUUUGGUCGUUCGAACAUCUUUGCUGUAUGGGAUAAUGAAUGGAUGAAAAUCCCAUCUAAUAUUUCUUGACGUCUGGAUAUAGCAUGAUUCAAAAUAAAUCUUUUUUUUUUUAAAUGAGUGUUUGAUUUGUAUAAUUAAAAUUAAAAAUAAACCAUGGAAGUCGUGAAUAGUAUUCAUCCUUUCACAAUCUUCAUCGAUAUUAAACACCCCCGUUCCAUGUGACUUCAAGGACGCUCUCUCCUUCUGCAACGCCCCUUUCGCUGCCCUUGAUCAACUUGAUGGAUUACGCUCGCUCUACCUUUGACUUCGCCACAUUGAGAGGCCCUUGGGUUUGAGUUCUCCGCUGGUCUAGCCAUCUUUACUUCGAAUGCCUUUUCCUGCGAUGAAUCCAUCCCCUUCGACGAGUGCGAAUACUGCGUUGAUUCCCUGUUACCGUGCCCCGACUUGUUCAGUCGCUUCAACAGCUUCCCCCGAGACAGCGUGCGGAUCCGGUUUAUGAGUGGUAGCACCAUCGGUGCUACUCGCUCCGAGUGACGUGGUUGAAGAGCUCUAUCACCUUGGCUGCCGCCUCUUUCGGAUCAUCUUCUUCACAGAGAAGAUGUCCAGCUUUGAUCGGGAUCACAAAGUUCCCUACUAAAAUGGAGUUAAGUGACAUAAGAAAGAGGCAGGGCUGACGAGCUCCGACGCCACUUUUCCGAGGCAGCCAAAGGUGGUAAGCAGCUUGUCACUGGUAGGAGGAACGGUGGCCCUUAGACUUUGCUCAGGUCGUUGUGGCGAGGGCUUCUCUAGGUAUCUUCGCGAUACUCAUGCUCUAAGUUUGUGGUGGUCAUUUUAGUGAGAGAAAUUGAAACAAGAGAGAUGAUGCGGCACCGGUCAAAAGUGAGGAUAAGCCAUCAACAAGCGCAGGAGUGGGGGAAAAACUUGUAUCCCUUAUUUUUUUCAAUUUUCCAAAUUUCACAUAUCCUAUUUGGAUCUAUAUCACUUUCUAGAUGAGAUUUUUUAUCCGGACUAUAUCCAAAUUUCACGUUACUCUAAACACCGGAUAUGAUCAAACUUAUCAUAUCAGAGUUUUAUUCGGCCCAUCAAAGACAGACUUAUGAGAUAGAAUGCAAUGAUAUAAUCUAUGAAUUAGAUUAAACAUUUAUUAAAAGUUUAAGAAUAAUAUUUCACAUUUUGAUUGUUAGGAUGCACGAGUGAGUUAUGUUAAAACAAUCCCACAAUAUAUUGAUAGCUUUGUAAUAAGGCUUUCUCUUGGUGAUGACAUAGAUCCAUAUGGAGAAAUUAAUGGGAGGGUUUAUUUGGCCUAACUAAAUGGGAGGCUAUAUCAAUCGGAGCUUUUUCAUUGUAACAUUCCCUUGUGCUUGGUAUUUGUAUUUUAGUAAAAGGAUUUUGCUAGCAUAAUAAUCUUUGGGUUAUCAUGAGAAUAACAAUUUAUUAUGAUUUACAAAAUUUUAAAAUAGUAAACCUCAAUUCAAUUUUAAACUUUUUUUUUUCUAACUAAUUCAAUCCUAAAUAUUUUGCAUUUGUGACAAUUUAGUCUAUUCGGCCAUUUUUCGCCAAGAGGCAUUGAUGUGAACUUUGGCUGAUCGACCAAUGCUGACAUGGACAAUUUUUUUAAUAAUAUUUUAUUUUUCUUAUUUUUUAUUAAUUUUUUCUUUCUUUUUUUCUUCACUUCCUUCUCCUUCCUCCAGCCAGUCGGCAAGAGGCAAGGUUGGUGAGGGACCUUGCUGGCCUUGAGGAAGCUUGGCCAUGGUUGGGCAACCUUGCUCGUGGCUAGGCGACCUCGCCGAGGCCGCCGAUUGGGCUGGCGAGGGUUGACCCUCGUUGGCCAUAGGUCAGGACAAAGGCUGCUAGUUGGGCUUGCCCUUAUUGAAUCUGGUGAGGGUUGAGUCUCAUUGGCCAUGGGCAAGGUCAAAGGCCGCGACCUCUCGUGGUCUCUGGCGAGGCUUGCCAAAGGUUGAGCAAGGCUUACCCUCAUUGGACUGACGAGGGUUGAGCCUCGUCAGCCAAGAGCGAGAUCGUAACUUGCCCAUGGCCGGUGAGGCUCGCCUAGGCCAAAGACAGGCGGGGCCUUGCCUAACCAUGGCAAGGGUGGCCUCACCAUUGUUGGGUGAGGCUAGCCCUUGCCAGUGGCGUGUGGGGGUAAGCCUUGCCAUUGGUUGGCAAGGCUGACUUCACUGGCUUGAAUAAAAUAAAAUAUUAUUAAAAGAUUAUUCACAUCAAUAUUAGCCGAACGAGUGGUGCUCGUCGGCCAAAAUUGGCCGGAUGAAUUGAAUUAGUAUAAUUGCAAAAUGUUUAGGACUGAAUUGGCUAGAAAAAAAAAAGAUUUUAAGACUAAAUUAGAAAAAUUGCAAUAAGUUUAUGAUUGUUUUGGUAAUUUUUUCGUAUAAUAACCCUAGUAAAGAUGACUCACUUAAUUUGAGCGUCAAUAAAUCAAAGGUCACUUGUUUAGUUCUCACAACUUAUUUGUAAAUCACUUUAGAAGUGCAAAUCCAAUCAAUUUAUGAGCUUGCAAAAUGAGUCUCUAGAUAAACCAACUUUUGUAUUCGUGCUUCAGGAUUAUAAUAAAAUAUUAGAGGUUUUCAUCAGUGUAUCAUGAUAGGCUAGAUAGGGCGUUUUCUUUUGCACUUGUCAUACAUGAUCAUUUUGUAUCCUUUGAACUCAUGUUAUUUGUUGGUACUAGGUUGAGUGGUAAUAUGAUCUCCUACCUUAUACUUAGAUAUUUCAUUUAUUAGGCUUCGCCUCACUCCUUUUUUUCUUUUUUUUUCUUUUUUGUUGUAGGAUGAUUCCCCUAAAGAUGGUGACGGAGGGGCCGAGUUGAUAUCGGAAGCCAUUAAUCCUUGAGUUGGAUGGUAGUUUAGUUAGUAUGGAUGUAAUGGUAUUAGGUGACCCCGAUCUUUCCUAGGACUAUAAAAUUUUUUGUGAUAAUUACUAUCGAUAUUGUAUAAAGCCAAAGACACUUUUUUUUUUAAUAAACUCAUGCAUUUUUCUAGUAAAGGAUGUUGUGAAAACUUUAUUGUCUUUUCCAUGCGUAAUUAUAACUAUGAGUAUAAAUGGAAAUGACAUGUGCCGCAUGUGAUGUUCCAAGGCGUCACAUAAUCCCCAACACUCAAAUUAGGGUCCAUUAAGGCAGUGCUUAAAACUAUGAUGCUCAAGUUCUAUUCGGCAGCACUUAGGCUCGGGUCCAACAAGAUCGUGUGUCAGUCCUCAAUGCUCGGGCUCGGCUCGUUAGUUAAUAAAAUGUUGUUCUUAUAAAAAUAAUUCUUUUUAUUUUCAUUUUAUAUUCAUUUGUUUUCUUUCUUUUUCUUUCUCCUUCUUCUUGGCUGGUUGCCGACCAUGAUGACGAUUGCGCCUGAGAACAAGCGAGAGAUGAGCUAGCCCAAGGCCAAGAAGACUUGAGAUUGCUGAUUUGGCAAGCUUGAAGUUGGUUGAUCAAGUGACGCUAAAGCUCCCUAGCGUUGGGCAACCUCGAGUUUCACCUCAUGGCUAGUCGCCAACUACCACCGUGGCGAGCGAUCGGUUGAGGAAGAAGAAAAAUAAAAAUAAAAUUAAAAGAGAAAAUAACUAAAAAUCUGAAUAUUUUGGCAUUUUCUAUAGGGAAAUCAAAUCGAAAAAAUAUUUUCUAGUUUAUCUUUAGGACUUAACCAAAUAUUGGAAAUAUUAUUCAGAUAUGUCAUAUUUUUUGCGAAACAAACGGUGCGUAAAUAUUUAGAUUUGAUAAUUGUCCAUGUUAAUUAGGUACACAUUAUCUCACUCUUUGUUUCGUUGCCGAACUGAUGCUAAUCUCUAGACGAAGCUUGACUAGUCUCAACUCAAUAGGCGGCUUGACUUUUGCGCUUCCUUUUCUUCUUUUCUUUUUUCUUUUUAACUCAAAACACUCAAAACUUUCCUGGUACACGACUGUCGUCGUGUUACAAUCACUUUCAAUAAUGAUGGCCAUCCGAGCAAGAUGAGGGCGACUGGUCCCCCUAGAAAUUGUCAUGACGUUUGACUUUCAUGAAUUGAAAUGACUUUUCUCUGUCAAGGAGAAAAAUAGUUAACUAGUCAAGAUCGUGCCACAUCUCUCCAUCCAUGUCCUCCACAUCCGGCCCCACCAAUCGGACUCCCCGACAAAAAAAAUCGAGGACACGUGGCUGGAUCUAGAAAGUCACAGGUUCGACUUGUCUACUGUUAUCACUGUCCUUUUGCAAUAAUUUUUUUACACCCGUCUAGCUGUUGUGAGCUCCUCUGACAUACUAAUUGUGUGGAUAUGGUGAACUUGGGACCUUCUAUAAUCUGUCCAUAUUAAAAAUUUAAAAUGGACAAAUUCCGCCUCUCAUUGUGGAAUUCCACCCACAUUUCUCGCAAACUUUCAAACAUUAGUUCCAGGUCGUGCAUUCCAAUUGAGCCUUGUCUGGUCAAAUAUCAAAGUACUCUAGAGAAAAAUUUUAAAAAAAAUUGUAAAAAAGAGAGAGAAGGAAAACGAUUCAGCCUUAUAAUAACUUGCUAGGAACCACGUAGUUAAUUAGAGCAUCAAGAAAUUAGAGGUAGCUUGUGUAGUUCUCGCAAGUUACUUGUAAAUUGCUUUAGAAGUACAAACUUAAUUGAUUUAUGAGCUUGCACCAUAUUUUAUGAGUUUCUGAAUAACCAACUUUUGUAUUCAUGCAACUCACUCCGCUGUGACUGAGUUGGUUCGGACGUUCCCUCCUCUUCCAAUUGGGGGGAGGUUUGAGUCACCACGAUUGCAUUUGCGCAACUUAAGUGCGGCGCCAUGAGAGGUGGGUCCCCGUGCUAGCGUCACCGUGGGUUUACGUCGCCAGCUGCCGGUUGUACGGCGAUUCUCAAGUCAUAAAAAAAAAAGAAAAAAGAAAAUUUGUAUUCAUGCUUGUAGAUUAUAAUAAAAUAAUUGGUUGUGGUGGGCAAUUGAGAGUGACACCGUUUUCGCCUUUUAUUUUUUGUAAUAUGUGAAGUGUUGUUCUGUUUUUUGUUUUCGUCACCCUCCCACUUGUGCUAUAUUUGUUAGGUCUCCUCGCCAGGAGUUCGUCACUUUAUGUUAUUGACCUCUUAAUUAAAUACAACAAUACCUUCAAGGACUGCUCUUCAUAAAGGCGCGGAUUGGACGGCCGGUGACCGAGAUAGCAGCCUCCGCCCCUCCCUCGGUCUUGCCCUUUGCAUAACUUUUAGAAAACAUGCGUGAUUAGAGGAUCAAUAGUGACUUAAUUCUAACCCGUAUCGAUGUUACCCGUUUAGCAUCUCUUAGUAAAUGUAAAUAUUGUACGCGGAUGACAGCAUUUUGAAGAAUUUACAAUUGGUGUUCUUUUAUUAAAUAUGGUUGAUAUCAUGAAAAAUCUUAGAUUGAUACAUUUGCGACAAACUUAUCCCAAACUAUUUUUUUUACACAAAAACCGUAAACUAGUAUAUUUGUAAUUUUACCUAAAACUAUUUUUUUUUAUCGUCAAAAACCUCAAACUGAUAUAUUUGUAGCAAAAUUACUCUUUACUAACUAGUGUUAAAUUAUACUAAUAUGAAUUGGUACAUCUAUGACAAACGAAGGGUAAAAUCCUAAAUUGGUACACUCAUUAACUAUCAUAUGUCAUUUAACUCAGUAAUUUAAUAGUACAAUUUAAGGGAAAUUAACGGAGGGUCAAUUUGUCAUAGGUGUAUCGGUAUGAGAUUUUUGAUAGCAAAUGUAGGAGUUUUACAUGGUAUUAAACUCUAUUGCAUAUGAUCAAAAGUCCUAGUUUCUACUAUUUUUGUCGACACAAUACCUUAAAAAACCUCAAACUUAAGCUCUGAUCCUAAUUCUAUCUUUUGUGUUAUAAGACCUCCAACUUUAGAUCAUGUCCCAAUUCCACCCUAACAUACAUAUUUUAGAAAACCCCAUAUUUUAGUUAUAGUCCCAAUCUUAUCUAAACAUCUGUUAUCUCAUAAAAUCCCUCAAAUUUAGGUCAAGUACCAAUUCCAACCUAAACGUUAUUUUGUCUUAUAAAAAGAAUCCUAGCUUUAGGUCCAAUUUCAUUUUCACUUUUUUUUUUUAUCUCAUAAAAGAUUACCAACUUUUACUUGAGUCCCAAAUCCACUCUCCAUUAACCCUCCAUCAAAAUUGCCCUUAGUGAUUUUGUGCUCGGUUUUUGAUCUCGCGUGCUUGGAAAUAUUUCAUUUCUCUUGAACAACUUGUGCUUGAGGGUUUUCCAUCUCUCGAUGUCAGCAGGAAAUUUUGCACGAAGGGUUAAUGGUGGCAAAUAUGCGACUCAAGUAAAAAUUUAUAGUUUUUUCAUCAGACUAUAAAAAUUUUACGGUAAUAUUGAGAGUGGAUAGGCUUUUCAUAAGACAAGAAAAGGUUUAAGGUAGAAUUAGUAUAUUAUUUAAAAUUGAAUUGUGAAUGGCUAUAAAAUUAGUGAUUUUUUUUAUGAGAUAAAAGGUAAAAUUAGGAGAAAAGCUAAAGUUAGAGAGUUUUUUUUAGGGUAUCAAACCUAUUUUUGUCAAUCAUAUGAUGUCAACAUUAUCUUUGUUUUUGUUUUUCUUUCAAUUGUCCAUUUGGUCGGUUCUUUUCUAUUCUUAUUCUCAAACUUUUGCCUUGACUCAUUACAAGUGUGAGAAUUGAAACCACAUUUGAUACUAUAUUGUCCCCCGGUAGGCAUUCAAAACCCCCAUCUCCCGCUUCUCAUGUAAGUUAUGAAUGGAGCCUUCGUGUCGUGUCCGACACGCUCGAAGAUGCGGUCAAUACGUGUUCGAAAUCCGACACGUGAACAAUUCUUAUUGACACAUUCUAACACACAAGUCCGAGAGAGAGGAUCGUUGAAGAAAACAAUGGCAAGGGAGCGAAGGCAACGGCAAGGCCACGACGGUGAGAGAGGGCUAGAGGAAGAGUAGAGACCGAGAUGACCUAAAGAGAGGAUCGUGACUGCAAUGGAGGGCCGGUGGCGAGACUGCACCUAUGUAGGAGGAAGGGUUGGAGGUGAGGCGGCAAGCGAUUAUGACAAGGCAAUCAAGAGAGAGAAGAGAUUGAGAGGUGGAUGGUCGUGCGAGGAGGAGGGGAAGGCCAGGGCUAGGGUUUUUGAAGGGGGAAAAUCAAAAAAUUAAAAACAUGAUUUUGAUGGGACAUUAGGGUUGUGCAAGGAGGAGGGGAAGGCCAGGGCUAGGGUUUUUGAAGGGGAAAACUCAAAAAAAUUAAAAACAUGAUUUUGAUGGGACAUUGCUGUGAUUUCUCCUUUAUGGAGAGGGGGAGCGUGUCGGGAGGUGGAGGGGGAGGGCAGAUAAAUGAGGGAAAGAUGAGUGAAAUAAGUUUGUUGGGGGCACAAAAGGAGGGGUUGGUAGGACCUGAGCAAGUCCUUAGACUGCUCCGUCUGGUCGGAAAUAGCCCACGGACGUAAAAUGUGGGCAAUGUUAAUCGUGGGAGAUCAGACCACCCUGUGUAAGGAUCUCCUGGCUCAGAUUCCCGCGAUGCCUUUCUCCUAACAUAUUAGGCUGGGUACAGGAAAAUGAUGAGUGAAAUAAGUUUGUUGGGGGGGGGGGGCACAAAAGGAGGGGUUGGUAAGGGUUGGCAUGGACCCCAUGGAUUUUUAUUUUUUUUUAAUCAAAAAAAUAAAUAAGGAAGGCCAGAAAGUGGGGGAAGAAACUAUGGAAAGAGAGUGAAGUAAAUGUGGGGGUGAGGGUUGGGGUGGACCACGGGGGUCUUUUCUUAUCAGAAAAAUAAAUAAGAAAAACUAUAAGGUGAUUUCGGAAAAUGAAAGUGUUGAAUGUUGAAUAAUAAUAAAAUUUGAUAAUUGUAAAAGAUUAUAGAUUUAUUUAAAUAAGUUAAUUCUAAUUUUUCUUAAUCAUUAGUUUUAUCAAUAAUUUUUGUUAGAGUUAGAAAUAUGUUCGUAUGGAUGCUAUAUGGCAUAUGGAAAGGGUGGCCUCACUUCUGGCGUUUCAUGUAUGGAAAGAGUGAUUAUUAAUGGCGCAUUUGGUAACGUUUUUGUUUCGGAGGACAAUUUUUGAAUAGAAAUAGUUUUUUUUUUUGUUCUAGGGAAUAAUUUUUGAGUAUAAGAAUGUGUUUGGUAACUGCAAACAAUUUCUACUCUAAAAAUAGAAACGCGCUUGGUAAACUUGUAUAAUUUCUUUGUUUCUUUUAAUUUUUUAAUAUUUUUAAUAUUUUUUUUCUUUUUUUCUUUUUUCUUUUUCUCUUUGGUCGGUUGCUGGCUAUGGCGAUGUCCGUUGAGCCUUGUCCAGGCAACGCGAGGUUCGCCUCGUGCCGAUUGGGGAGGUCAAGGCCUCUUGGCUUUGUCUGGGCUAAGCGAGGUUGACCUUGCCCAGCCACCGGCGAGACUCGGCCUCGCUGGGCCACCGCUAGGCGACUCUGUCCUGGAGGUGGCUCGGCGAGGUCGAGCCUCAUGCGGCCAUGGCGAGGCUCGGCCUCUCUGGGGGCUAGCGACACUCCGGCGAGGUCGUCGGCUCUCGUCUAGCCAGUUGCCGGUGUCAACUAUGGCUAAGGCUGAUGACNNNNNNNNNNNNNNNNNNNNNNNNNNNNNNNNNNNNNNNNNNNNNNNNNNNNNNNNNNNNNNNNNNNNNNNNNNNNNNNNNNNNNNNNNNNNNNNNNNNNCGUCUGGUCGAAAACAGCCCAUGGACGUAAAAUGUGGGCAAUGUUAAUCGCGGGAGAUCGGACCACCCUGUGUAAGGAUCUCUCGGUUCAGAUUCCCGCGAUGCCCUUCUCCUAACGUAUUAGACUGGGUACAGGAAAAUGACGAGUGAAAUAAGUUUGCUGGGGGCACAAAAGGAGGGGUUGGUAAGGGUUGGCAUGGACCCCAUGGACUUUUAUUUUUUUAUCAGAAAAAUAAAUAAGGAAGGCUAGAAAGUGGGGGAAGAAACUAUGGAAAGAGAGUGAAGUAAAUGUGGGGGUGAGGGUUGGGGUGGACCACGGGGGUCUUUUCUUAUCAGAAAAAUAAAUAAGAAAAACUAUAAGGUGAUUUCGGAAAAUGAAAGUGUUGAAUGUUGAAUAAUAAUAAAAUUUGAUAAUUGUAAAAGAUUAUAGAUUUAUUUAAAUAAGUUAAUUCUAAUUUUUCUUAAUCAUUAGUUUUAUCAAUAAUUUUUGUUAGAGUUAGAAAUAUGUUCGUAUGGAUGCUAUAUGGCAUAUGGAAAGGGUGGCCUCACUUCUGGCGUUUCAUGUAUGGAAAGAGUGAUUAUUAAUGGCGCAUUUGGUAACGUUUUUGUUUCGGAGGACAAUUUUUGAAUAGAAAUAGUUUUUUUUUUUGUUCUAGGGAAUAAUUUUUGAGUAUAAGAAUGUGUUUGGUAACUGCAAACAAUUUCUACUCUAAAAAUAGAAACGCGCUUGGUAAACUUGUAUAAUUUCUUUGUUUCUUUUAAUUUUUUAAUAUUUUUAAUAUUUUUUUUCUUUUUUUCUUUUUUCUUUUUCUCUUUGGUCGGUUGCUGGCUAUGGCGAUGUCCGUUGAGCCUUGUCCAGGCAACGCGAGGUUCGCCUCGUGCCGAUUGGGGAGGUCAAGGCCUCUUGGCUUUGUCUGGGCUAAGCGAGGUUGACCUUGCCCAGCCACCGGCGAGACUCGGCCUCGCUGGGCCACCGCUAGGCGACUCUGUCCUGGAGGUGGCUCGGCGAGGUCGAGCCUCAUGCGGCCAUGGCGAGGCUCGGCCUCUCUGGGGGCUAGCGACACUCCGGCGAGGUCGUCGGCUCUCGUCUAGCCAGUUGCCGGUGUCAACUAUGGCUAAGGCUGAUGACUGGCAAAAGGAAGAAGAAGAAGAAGAAGAAGAAGAAAAGAAAGAGAAAAUAGAAGAAGAAAAAUGAUAAGAAAAAAAAGUGUUUUUCGAAAGUGUUCUCGAGAAUAAGAAAUAAGUUUUUUUUUUUAAUUUCUUAUUUUUGUUCCAAAGUUGCUCUCACAAUAAAAAAAAAAGACCAGAAUAAAAGUAUAAACAAAUGAGUUUCUAUUCUUUUUUGGUUCUCUGGAACAAAAUAAUAAAAAUUUAUAUUCCAGGAAAAAAAAAUAAUUUUAAACGAACACACCCUAAGAUAUCUUUUGUAUUCCGGGGAAGUAGUUCAAUUGACGUGAGCCCGUGCGUCUUCCCUACAUGGGAAGGGUCGUCACUGGGUCUCAUCUGACCUAAGCAAGUGCGUCUUCACAGCUUUUACCGCUCCCCUCCUACACUUCGUAGCUACCGCCACUCCCCUCCUAUAAAUCUCGGCUCGCCCGACGCCUUCGCCAUCGUCUCGGUGCAGUGCAGGGAACGAGCGAGCUCGAGCUAGACGACGGCAAUGGCGGCUUCGACGACGACGGUGAGGAGGAUCAAGCUGGGGUCGCAGGGCCUCGAGGUGUCGGUGCAGGGGCUGGGCUGCAUGGGCAUGUCCGCCUUCUACGGCCCUCCCAAGUCCGACACCGACAUGAUCGCCCUGAUCCACCACGCCGUUGGCUCCGGCGUCACCUUCCUCGACACCUCCGACAUCUACGGCCCCCACACCAACGAAACCCUCCUCGGAAAGGUCGGUUCUCUCUCAGUCUCUGUUUUGCCUCCGCAUGAAUUAUAUGUGCUUAUAGUGUUACGGAAUUUAGCUUCAUCGAGCAGAGUGCUCUGAUCCUGCGCCUUGGUUUUCUGAUUUCGGGGUUGAUUUUGAGCAGGCACUGAAGGGAGGGGUGAGGCAGAAGGUGGAAUUGGCGACCAAGUUCGGAAUCAGCUUCGCGGACGGGAAGAGGGAGGUCCGGGGCGAUCCGGCGUACGUGAGGGCGGCUUGCGAGGCCAGCUUGAAGCGGCUUGACAUCGAUUGCAUCGACCUCUACUACCAACAUCGCAUCGACACUCGCGUCCCCAUCGAAGUCACUGUAUGGAUCCCCCAUCAAACUUUCACCUCGCUUGAGACUUUCUCCGAGCCAUAUGAUUAGUUGCUAAGUUAGAUUGGUGUUGAUGAUGCAUCGUCAUGUUGUUACAAGUUUGUUGAAAUUUGUUAAAUGACACUUAAGUUCGGCUGAUAGCAGAGUUCAAGAUGCGGCACGUUGUUGUUCAAGGGGUUGUGGAAUUUAGUAGUUUAGUGGCUUGAGUUUUCGUUUUGUGGGCAUCUUUUACAAGUUAAGGGUCAACAAGCAUGAAAAUUAUUCAAAAUCUUCCUUUGAGAUGAAAGUGCUCCAGGGUUCAUCCAGAAUUUAUAUACGGGAAUCACAUAUAAAGUUGUUCCUGGACUUUAUGUGGAGACAUUUGAUUCUUGACAUAUUGUGAAAUAUGACAAGUACUUGGAAUACUUCUUUUAUUUGCUCUCUUCUGUGAGAGAUUCAAGAAAUCAACCUCCGUUAACUCAAUACCUUGUGACUUUUUUGUCGCAUUGAGAUGCAUGAUAAUAGAGGGAUCUAGACGCAUAAAAAGCUAAUGACAUGCAUAAUUUUCUGGAUCUUAACAUGUAAGAUCUUGAUGUUGUUGUUCUGUCAUGUGAAUAUGCACAGAUCGGAGAGCUAAAGAAGCUCGUUGAAGAAGGUAAGAUAAAGUACAUCGGUUUAUCCGAGGCCUCUGCAUCAACAAUCAGAAGAGCACAUGCUGUUCAUCCCAUCACAGCAGUGCAAUUGGAGUGGUCGCUUUGGUCAAGAGAUGUGGAGGCAGAGAUCGUUCCAACGUGCAGGUAGGAUAUCACUCUGUUAAUUGUUUAUGCAGCAACAACAGCUUCCUUCUGACUCUGCUUUUCCUUUAAAAUGCUGACUAGGGAGCUUGGCAUUGGAAUUGUUGCCUACAGUCCUUUAGGACGAGGAUUCUUUUCUGUUGGCUCCAAGUUGGUGGAGAAUAUCUCUAAGGAUGACUUCAGACAGGUCUGUUCCUGCUUGUCAACAUAAUUAGAUGUUUACAUUGACUGUCAUUCUUAUUGAAGUGCUGGAAACCUGUUCUUGUGGUAUAAAGAAAAAGUAUCUGGAUGGGAUGAAUAAAACUUGGUGACACGAAUGCUUCGUGUUCUUAUAUGUCUUUAAUCCAGCACUUGCCAGACAUCCCACCUCUCUUGAUUCUAGAUAAAUGUAAAAUCACAAGUAACGGCUUUAAUGAGCCUGAAAGAGGCAGUUUCCUGGAUUCUCGUGCUUUUGGGAAUGAAUACAUAUAGGUUUAUAUGUAAGUUGCUCUGUUUCCCAGCCUUCCCAACAUUUGCUUAUCACUAUCCUUUCCCCACUUUCCACCCACCCUUUUUCUCUCAUCUUUCUUCACAAGAAUAGCGAUAUUUCCUCGAAAUAACUGACGCCAGUAUCGGGCUUUGGCCCUCCGUCCUUUUUCAUUCUCAUCUUUCUUCACAAGAUAAACUAUAUCUUGACACAACCAUUUCUUGAGCGCGGACUCCCGACACCCUUCUUAUGAGAGUUUUGGAUCAAGUUCCCAUCUGACAUAAAGCCAAUUGUGUAUUACUCCCCGCCAUUAGCGUUUGACUAGCGAUAGUGCUGGGCAAGUGAAGUAGCUAUUUUUCUUUGUAGCUAAAAGAGCUCUGCGUCUGAUAACAUUCUUCUACUCAUCAUCUACAUUUCUGAUUUUUUAUUUUAUGUGACUAAUGGUAUCAUCACACGUACAAAACUUAGAUUGUCGAGUUUGUUUCUGUUUUCACAUCCUACAUCAAGCCCAUCAGCCUUGUGUGGUAGUUGCUAGAUCACUUCGCUUGACGUUUCUAAUGCUUAUGAUUUGGGACAUGAUAUUUUAAUCAUUUCAAGAUAAUUUAUAACUGAUCAUGCUUUUUCAGAUACACAACGAUUGCACACUUCUAAAUGCUUAUUAUGUCAAGUAACAAGACAAUCCGAUGGCAUGCAAUGCAACCACUUUUGCACUUGUUGCUGUAGAAUUUAGCCUUAAGAGGAAAAUGAUAAUUUCUCAUAUGCUCUCUGCUGAGACAUUGCUCUAUGUUAUGCAGUAUCUACCAAGGUUCCGGCCAGAGAACUUGGCUCACAACACGAAGUUAUUUGACCGAGUGAAUGAAAUUGCGCAAAGAAAGGGAUGCACCACAUCGCAGUUAGCCCUGGCCUGGGUACACCACCAGGGUGACGACAUUUGCCCGAUUCCCGGCACAACCAAGAUCGAGAAUUUCAACCAGAACAUUGGAGCUCUGUCAGUGAAGCUUACACCGGAAGAGAUGGCCGAGCUUGAAUCGAUUGCUUCUGCGGACAAUGUCAAGGGUGGCAGGUACGAUGGAAGCAUGUCUACAUGGGAAAACUCCGACACUCCACCCCUUUCUUCUUGGAAACCUGCCUAGAAGCGUGUCUGCUUCUGUUGCUGCAUCUUUGAUGUGCAGAGGUUGAGCAUUUGCCGCUGAAGUAAUUUGAGUUUAUGUUGUGUGGCUGUUAUAAGUAUGUGUAAUAAGAGAGUGACUGUUUUCAUUUUGUACAUGUGACAUUCACUAUGAUAAGAUUAUGGAUGUGUACUAACCUUACUGGGGAAAGAUCACUCGAUAAACACGAGAGCGAGUUGAAUACGAACUGAGCCUGCCGUGUCGACUUUAUUGGGGUGACUUUUAGAAUCUGAGAAAUCGGGAUUUUGAAGAAUUCAAACUCAGUCGUACAUACUAGAGUGGUAUUCUCCACCAACCAUGAGUUCAAUCUCUUAAGACUGGAUGCUGCACAUAGAUGCAAAGCUUCGCUUUGUGUUUGGUUUGGUAGCGAAGUUAAGGAACAGUAAAAUGUUACCGGAUGUUCUCGCGAAAACGAAGUUGGGGAUAAAAUGCUGGCGCGGAUGAUAUGAGCGUCGGGGAAAUCGAGGGUUUCUUGUUCAAGUUUCACCACCUACGGUUCAUGAGCUUUUAUGUAGCUCGAUACCUUCGCUCAAUGCCUCUGCAUUAUUAUAAAACAGUCGGAGAUAUUGCGCAAGUUUCCUAAAAUUAAAAACGACACUUCUAUUGUUUUUUAUUUGGAGUUAGAGUGGUGCAAUGUUGUUUUGUUUUGGUUUAGGAAAAUAACGCAAAUAGUCACUACACUUUGGUCCAAUGUGUUAUGUUCUUACUGAAUUUUUAACUUGUUUAAUAUGGUUGUCGAGCUUUUUGUAUAUGUUUAAUUUAAAUCCUAGGCUAGAUAAAUCCAAUGAUGCCGUGUUUGGUCGGUUCGAAGAUCGUUGCUAUAUGGGAUAAUGAUAGGAUAAAAAUCCCAUCUAAUAUUUCUUGACGUCUGGAUAUAACAUGAUUCAAAUAAUUUUUUUUUUAAACGAGUGUUUGAUUUGUAUAAUUAAAAUUAAAAAUAAACCAUGGAAGUCGUGAAUACUAUUCAUCCUUUCACAAUCUUCAUCCAUAUCAAGCACCCCCGUUCCAUGUGACUUCAAGGACGCUCGCUCCUUCUGCAACACCCCUUUCGCUGCCCUUGAUCAACUUGAUGGAUUACGCUCGCUCUGCCUUUUGACUUCGCCACAUUGAGAGGCCCUUGGGUUUGAGUUCUCCGCUGGUCUAGCCAUCUUUAUUUUCAACGCCUUUUCCUGCGAUGAAUCCAUCCCCCUCGACGAGUGUGAAUGCCGCGUUGAUUCCCUGUUACCGUGCUCCGACUUGUUCAGUCGCUUCAACAGCUUCCCCCGAGACAGCGUGCGGAUCCGGUUUAUGAGUGGUAGCAGCAUCGGUACUACUCGCUCCGAGUGACGUGGUUGAGGAGCUCUAUCACCUUGGCUGCCGCCUCUUUCGGAUCAUCUUCUUCACAGAGGAGGUGUCCAGCUUUGAUCGGGAUCACAAAUUUCCCUACUAAAAUGAAGUUGAGUGACACAAGAAAGAGGCAGGGCUGACGAGCUCCGCGAUACUCAUGCUCAUGCUCUAAUUUUGUGGUGGUCAUUUUAGCGAGACAAAUUGGAACAAGAGAGAGAUGAUGGUGGCACUGGUCAAAAGCGAGGAUAAGCUAUAAAAAGCGCCCCGCCGCCCGGGGGGGGGGGGGGGGGGGGGGGGGGGGUCAGUUUUUCAAAUUUCACAUAUUUUAUCUGGAUUUAUAUCACUUUCUAGAUGUGAUUUUUUAUCCGUGCUAUAUCCUAAUUUCACAUUACUCUAGACACCAUAUAGGAUUAAACUUAUCAUAUUAGAGUUUUAUCCAGCCCUUCAAAUGCAGUCUUAUGAGAUAGAAUGCAAUGAUAUAAUCUGUGAACUAAAUUUAAACAUUUAUUAAAAGUUUACGAACGGAAUUUCACAUUUUGAUUGUUAAGAUGCAUGAGUGAGUUAUGUUAAAAUAAUCACACAAUAUAUUGAUAGCUUUAAAAAUGGGCUUUCUCUUGGUGAUGACGUUGAUCCAUAUAGAGAAAUUAAUGAGAGGGUUUAUUUGGCCUAACUAAAUGGGAGGCUAUAUCAAUGGGAGGUUUUUCAUUGUAACAUUCCCUUGUGCUUGGAAUUUGUUUUUUAGUAAAGGAUUUUAUUAGCGUAAUAAUAGUCUUUGGGUUAUUAUGUGAAUAACAAUUUAUUGUGAGUCACAAAUUUUUUAAAGUAAUGAACCCCAUAAUAAUUUCAAUUAUUUGUUACUUGAUUUUUUGUAGUUUAGAAUAAAAAUUAUCACCAAGUUAUUUCUUUUUAACAAAUAUAUUGCUCUAACUGUUGUUUUCAAUUAAGUUUGCAUCGGAGAAGAGAUUAUUUUGUUUUGCUACGCUUGUCGGAUAUUGCACAGGAUAUUGUCAUUUUCUUAGCACUAGCAACGUUGCGUUCAGACAAGGCGGCAUGGAAUUAUUUGCUCAGCUGCACAUCACACGACCAUACAUUCAUGGACUGUUCCUCAGGAAAGCAUAUAGACAUGUGGCAGAUGCAGAACAUUUCACGAGAUUAAAAAAAAGAAAAUAAUUUUUAAAAAACAAUACUUUCGACUUCAAAACGUGCCAAUCGAACGCCUGCUACUCCCGCCUAUAAAGCUCGGCUCACCCAACGGCUUCGUUGUCGUCUCGAACUGUCCAUUCUCCAUUCUCUGUUCUUGCAUCGACCUCGAGCUAGACGAUGGUGGCAAUGGCGUCGUCAGACGGUGAGGAGGAUCAAGUUGGGGUCGUAGGGUCUCAAGGUCUCGGCGCAGGGGCUGGGCUUGCAUGGGCAUGUUGGAAGAUAUGCGGAUUGCCUGAUUUGAUUUGAUCUUAAUUGAUCAUGAUUAAUCACGAUCUUCAUGUAUAUGUAAAUUAAAAAUUAGAUCUAGAUCUCGAUUGAUAAUCCAGAUCAUUUACUUCCUUAUUCAAGAUAGAGCUUGUAUUAUAUCUCUGCAAAAUUGUACAUUCAGAUUGUAAUAGUGAUAAUACAGAAAAAUCUCCCCACAUCGAUUCCCAUUUUCCUCUCCAAACUUCAUCCGUUCUUCCUUCACUCUUGCCUUCUUUCAUGGUAUCAGAGCAGCUUUGAUCUCUGACUCGCUUCCGUUCCAAACCACUGCUGAAGAAAAUUCUCAACCUGCAAAAGGGUUGAUCUUUCGGCAUUAGGCAUACUCUCGAAGGAAGAAAUUUAAAUUAUCUUACUAUGGCCUCUCCGCAGGACUCCAGUCUGGCUGCUGACGACAGGACCACCGAAGAAAGUAGUCCUCAAGCUCCACAGAUCCAGAAUCUCCCUGCAGUAAUACCAGUAUCCACCCAACCCCAGCAGUGGCGGCCCACGCAGGCUCAGUUUCAAUUGGGGCAACCCACGACGGGUCAACCAUACUAGUGGAUCCCCUAUCCACUCUAUUUUGGGCCAAGCCCAAAUUUCUCAUCGCCUUUUUUCGUGGGCCACCAGAAUCACAAUGGAGGCCCGCCAGCCACGAAUGGGGCAAGCCCAUCCAUCGCGAGAGAGCAGACGGGCGGUUCAAGCGAAUCGGGUACGGGGCAUAAUCCCUACCCGGGACAUGUCAAUGCGGGGUAUCUAGUUGGAUUGAGCGAAUCGGGUCAAGGGACGAAUCCCUACCCGAAUUUCGCACCGGGUUUUCUGUCCAUUCCAGCGGCGGCGUUCACUGGGCGACUAGAAAUAGGCGAUCCUCUGUUUGUCUCCACCGCUGACGGAUCGGAGCUUUGACUGAUAAACCAGCAACUAACCGGACUAGAGACCUAUUCGAAGUGGUCACAGGAGCUCCGGCGGGCAUUGGUGACAAAAGACAAAGACGGAUUUCUCGAUGGGACAAUUUCCAUCCCCUCCGAUGAACGCCUAGCCGGACACUGGCGGAAAUGCAAUCAACUCGUCCGAAUGUGGAUCAGAAAUUGCAUAUCCCCAGAAGUCAUGGCUGGGCUUCCACCCACAGAGGAUGCCAAAACCAUGUGGGAAAACAUUCGAGAAAUAUACGGUAAAAUGGAUCAAGCAAAAGUUUUUAAUCUUAUGCAGGAAAUUAGCGAACUCAAACAGGGAAAUUCGACGGUCACGGCCUGCUUCAACAGGCUAUCGUCCCUCCUGAAUCAACUCGAAGCAGUAGAAGAAAAGCUCGAAGGGCCAGAAUCUACCCUCAAGCAGUACAAACAAAUCAAAGAGAGAGAAAAAGCCACGCGAUUCUUGCUGAUUUUAAACGAAUCGUACCUCACGUUUCGGUCACAGAUCCUUGUCAUGGAUCCCAUGCCACCGAUCGGACGUAUUUACAAACUGGCGAUGCAGGAGGAGAGUCAGCGACUCACAAUCACGAACAACGGUGAGAGCAUCGCUCUGGCUGCCCGCGGAGAGGGGAGAACCCUAACCCUAGCUCGUGAAAAUGAAAAGAAAAGCCCUUUAGGGUUCGACGAGCUCGAUUCGCGCGGGCUUAAAAGGGAUGGGAUGAACGGCCAGGAUUACAUGCAAGGAUCGAGCGGCUUAGAUUACUCCCGAAAAUAUGACGGCCCAGAUUACGCAUGGAGAUCCGACGGUCGUCAAGGAAUCGAAAUUGCGCCUGGAUUGGACGGUGGACAGCAGAUCGCGAUCAAAGGAACGGACGGCCAGAUCUUCACCACGUCAUCAAAGAAUUUCGCAAAUUUUUUUAAAGGAAAGGGGUAAAUUUUUUUGCGAUUAUUGCAAACGUACUAAUCAUACCAUUGACAGUUGCUGGAAAUUACACGGGAAGCCGGGAGAAAAGGAGAAAAAAAUUUCCACAGCUUAUCAAGUCACUGGACCAGCUGGUCCAAAAAUUGACCAGCCAAUCUCAUAUGGUCAAUAUCAGCAACUCAUGCAAAAACUACAGAAGAUGGAAAUUUCCAACAAAGGGGGCAAUUUCUCAGGUAUUUCACAUUGCCUAAUUAAUUCCAUUUCCAGGAAGGCGUGGAUUAUAAUUCUGGGGCAAGUGACCAUAUUAUACGCGACAAGGGAUUUUUUUUUCAAAUAUAAAUGAAAGUUUGAAUUUUCCUGUCUCCGUACAAUUACCCAACGGAAAUGUUACUCAUGUCAAAGUGAUAGGAACAGUGAAUCUCAGUCCUCAGAUUAUUCUCUAGAAUGUGCUAUAUGUCCCAGAAUUCCAAUUCAACCUCAUAUCUGUGUCUCAAGUCUGCAAAGAGAACUCAUGCCGGGUAAUAUUCAAUGCUGACACAUGUUUAUUUCAGGCCCUUUCGACUGGAAGACAGAUGGACUUGGGUAAUCUUUCUGAAGGACUCUAUUUCUGGACGAGUUUUCCAAGUAAUUUCAAUUUUCCAUGCAAUUCCUUGAAUAAAAAAUCAUUGUGUAAUUCAACUGCCAAUGAUAGAAAUUUGACUAUGCAUAUGAGAUUGGGUCACAGUGCUUCAUUUUCAUAUCAUGAAUGUCUUAUAUGUCCCCUUGCAAAGCAAUCUCGCACACCAUUUUCUUCUAGUACUUCACGGACUAGUCAAAUAUUUGCAUUACUUCACGUGGACAUUUGGGGACCUUAUCAUACAGUCAAUCAUGAUGGCUCCCGUUAUUUUCUUACGAUAGUAGAUGACUAUUCUCGGGCAACAUGGAUCUUCCUAAUACAAUAAAAAAAUUAGGUCUAUUCUCACCUGAAAAAUUUCAUUAUGCUAUCUAAGAACCAAUUCAGGAAAUCCAUUCAGCGGAUUCGCACAGAUAACGGGAGAGAAUUCUUCAGUCAUGAAUGCUCCCAGUUAUUCAAUUCUCAUGGUAUUCGACACGAAAGUUCCUGCAUUUACUCACCACAACAAAAUGGAGUGGUUGAAAGAAAGCAUCGCCAUCUACUGGAAGUGGCUCGUGCCUUGAAAUUUCAAGCAUCAAUUCCAGAAAGAUAUUGGGGUGACUGUGUCACCAUAGCAGCUUAUCUUAUUAAUAGAAUGCCUACUCGGAUUCUUAAUGGACAGAUGCCAUUCGAGCUGUUAUUUGGGAAGAAACCGGACUUGAAUCAUCUCAAGAUCUUCGGAUGUCUCUGCUAUGCUGCAAUCAUGGGGCCUCGAGAUAAAAUGAGCCCAUGUGCGCGGCGAUGCGUCUUUAUGGGAUAUCCCAAUCUCCAGAAGGGGUAUCGGGUGCUUGAGAUUUCCACAGGAGAAUUCAUAGUAAGUCAUGAUGUCAUUUUCCAUGAAACUACUUUUCCAUUUUAUGAAGGGGAAUCUUCACAUGGAGAUCCAAAGAUAACUUCCAGCCAUCAUAAUUUUCUCAAUGAUGAAGCACCAUACCGGGAUCUUUCCUAUGUACCAAUAGUACAGCCGAGGGAUCCUAUUCUUCCUACAGUCCCAGUUCUACAAGAUUCUAAUGGAAAUUCGAAUUCUUCAGAACAUAUUCAGGGAGAUAUCUUGGAGGAACCCAUUGCUGAUGCAGAAGUUGAUGACACUACAACAACUUCAUUACCAGCAACAUCACAGCCCACCACCGAAGCUGGACAUCCUAGGAGGUCUGAACGAGCUACAAGACCACCAACCCGGACGAAAGAUUAUGUCUGUACUACUCACAACUCUCCAAGUAUUCAGUAUCCAGUCUCUUCAUAUGUUUCCUUUGAUAGAUUGUCUCAAGAACAUAGAUGUUGUAUUAGUCGAUUGUUUGAAGAGAAAGAACCGUCCAGUUAUAAAGAAGCCUCCAAUAACCCAAAAUGGCAAGAGACCAUGAAGGCAGAAUUGAAGGCCCUUACUGAUAAUCAUACAUGGGAUCUUGUUCCAUUACCAGCUCAUCGUAAACCAAUUGGAUGCAAAUGGGUUUACAAAAUCAAGUAUCGGGCUGAUGGCUCCAUUGAACGGUACAAGGCAAGAUUGGUAGCUAAGGGGUUCACCCAAAGAGAAGGUUUUGACUACCACGAGACGUUCUCACCAGUUGCCAAAGAUGUUACAGUCCGUUCAUUCUUAGCUGUUGCUGCCAUCAAUGACUGGCACCUACACCAGAUGGAUGUCCAUAAUGCUUUUCUCCAUGGCAAUCUAGAUGAAGAGAUCUACAUGAAUAUUCCUCAAGGCAUACAGAGACAGGGGGAUAAUAAGGUGUGUCGUCUCCGUAAAUCCCUUUAUGGAUUAAAACAGGCAUCCGGACAAUGGUAUGCUAAAUUUGCCAGUGCUCUUACAACAGCAGGCUUCAAGCAAUCCAAGCAUGAUUAUGCUCUGUUCUAAAAAACUAAAGGUAUGUCAUCUAUCUAUUUGAUGAUUUAUGUCGAUGACAUACUUGUUAUGGGAAAUGAUAGAGCCUCUAUAGAGAAUUUCAAGGAAUAUUUGCAUGCUACCUUCCAUAUUAAAGACUUAGGAGCACCAAAAUAUUUCCUUGGAAUCGAAGUUGCUCGAUCUGACAAGGGAAUUUCCCUUAGUCAGCGGAAGUUCAUUCUAGAAAUCAUAUCAGAAGUAGGUCUAUUAGGAUGCAAGCUAGCUGUAAUUCCUAUAGAGCAAAACACUAAGUUGACCAUCGCAGACUAUGAUAAGGGAAUAUUUCGAAAUGAUGAUUCCUUACUCAGUGAUCCGUCAGGCUAUCAAAGACUUGUUGGGAAACUUAUAUACCUGACAAUGACUAGACCUGAUAUCUUAUAUGCGGUUCAGACACUUAGCCAGUUUAUGCAUCAACCAAAGCGUUCUCAUUUGGAUGCAGCCUUAAAGGUCGUUAAAUAUCUCAAGAAAUGUCCGGGGCUAGGGAUACUUCUCUCUAAGGAAUGUGACAUGAGGAUGACAGCAUAUUGUGAUGCAGACUAUGCAACAUGUCCGAUUAGUCGAAGAUCUGUUACUGGAUAUUGCAUUAAAUUGGGAGGAUCUCUUCUAUCUUGGAAAACCAAGAAACAAGCUACUGUGUCUCUGUCCUCAGCCGAAGCAGAAUAUCGAGCUGUGGCCAAGGCCACUUGUCAAGUAGUUUGGAUGCGAGGAUUACUCAAGGAUCUUGGAGUAGAAGUGCAAGGACCCACAAGGUUAUAUUGUGAUAAUGAUACAGCUCUUAAACUUGCAACUAAUCCUAUAGUACAUGAAAGAACCAAGCAUAUAGAAGUGGAUUGUCACUUCACACGGGAAAAGAUCCAGGAAGGAGUAAUUGAGACGAGGAAUUUGGACAACGGAGCAACCAGUAGACUUGUUCACCAAGCCCCUAUGUCAGAGGCAACAUGCAUAUCUAUUAAAAAAGCUAGGCGUCUUGGACAUCUACAAGCCACCAGCUUGAGGGGGAGUGUUGGAAGAUAUGUGGAUUGCCUGAUUUGAUUUGAUCUUAAUUGAUCAUGAUUAAUCACGAUCUUCAUGUAUAUGUAAAUUAAAAAUUAGAUCUAGAUCUAGAUUGAUAGUCUAGAUCAUUUACUUCCUUAUUCAAGAUAGAGCUUGUAUUAUAUCUCUGCAGAAUUGUACAUUCAGAUUGUAAUAGUGAUAAUACAGAAAAAUCUCCCCACAUCGAUUCCCAUUUUCCUCUCUAAACUUCAUCCGUUCUUCCUUCACUCUUGCCUUCUUUCAGGGCAUAUCUACUUUGCCGGCCCUCCCAAGCCCAACCCCGACACGAUCGAGCUUGUCCACCACGCCGUUGAAUCUGGCGUUGCCUUCCUCGACACCUCCGACAUCUAUGGCCUUAACGCCAAGGAAGUCCUCCUUGGAAAGGUCGGUAUUUAUUUUGUAGAUAUAAUUGAAGAUCUUGAUCGUGACGCCAAUCCUAAUUGCGGACUAAUUGAUUUGGUCAAUUUGUGAUUGUUUAGUGAAUAUGGAAAUUUUUGUAAUUCUUUAUAUAUUAUUUCAUUUUUUCUCUUUCAUUCUUACACUAUAAAUAGACCAAUGAACUAAUAUACAGAUCAAUCAAUAUACAACAAAAUUUUCUUCAUUUUCUCUUUUGUUUUCUAUUAUGUUAUCAGUGUCAUUCUUCCUCGCCUAGCUUCCCAUAUCUUAGAGUUGCCUUUCUUUUUUUCUUUGUUUUUUUUUUUUUUUUGGUUAUUGCAAGUCCUCAUCCUGCAAUACAAAUCAGCAAAUCGAUUAGGAAUUCAAUUUUUUUUUUCAAUACCAAGGCAAAAAAUAAGAACACUGAGAGCUCCAUGAUAGAGGAGACACCUACCUCACCUCAAAAUCAAGCCCCAUCGCCGUCGGAUUCGAUUAUGAUUUGGGACAAUAUAUUUUAAUCAUUUCGAGAUAAUCUUUAACUGAUCAUGCUCUUCCAGAUACACAGCAAUUGCGCACUUCCAAAUGCUUAUUAUGUCAAGUAACAUGACAAUCUGAUGGCAUGCAACGCAACCAAUUUUGCACUCGUUGAUGUAGAAUUUGGCGUUAAAAGGAAAAUGAUGGUUGCUCGUAUGCUCUCUGCUUAGACAUUGCUUUAUGUUAUGAAGUACCUACCAAGGCUGCGGCCAGAGAACUUGGCUAAUGCAAAGUUAUUCGACCAAGUGAAUGAAAUUGCACAAAGAAAGGGAUGCACCCCAUUGCAGUUAACCCUCGCCUGGGUACACCACUGGAGUGAUGACGUUUGCCCGAUUACCGGCACGAUCAAGAUCGAGAAUUUCAACCAGAACAUUGGAGCUCUGUCAGUGAAGCUUUCGCCAGAAGAGAUGGCCAAGCUCAAAUCGAUUGCUUAUACGGACAAUGUCAGGCGUGAGAAUUAAAACCACAUUUGAUACUAAAUUAUGCCUAGGUAGGAAUUCAAAACUCCACCUCCCGCUUUUCAUGUGGGAAGGUUGGCCCCACCUCGCGCUUAUGGAAAGAGUAAUCACGAAGACAUCACAAUAGUUCAAUUGACGUGAGCAGGUACGUCUUCCCUACAUGGUAAGGGUCGUCACUGGGCGUGCAAUUGACGUAAGCACGUGCGUCUUCACAGCCACUACCGCUCCCCUCCUACUCAUCGUAGCUUCUGCCACUACCCUCCUAUAAAUCUCGGCUCGCCCGACGACUUCGCCAUCGUCUCGGUGCAGUGCAGGGAACGAUCGAGCUCGAGCUAGACUACGGCAAUGGCGGCAUCGACGACGACGGUGAGGAGGAUCAAGCUGGGGUCGCAGGGCCUGGAGGUGUCGGCGCAGGGGCUGGGCUGCAUGAGCAUGUCCGCCUUCUACGGCCCUCCCAAGUCCGAGCCCGACAUGAUCGCCCUCAUCCACCACGCCGUCGGCUCCGGCGUCACCUUCCUCGACACCUCCGACUUCUACGGUCCUCACACCAACGAAAUCCUCCUCGGAAAGGUCGUUCUCUCAGUCUCUCUUUUGCCUCUGCAUGAAUUAUAUAUGCUUAUGGUUUUACGGAACUUAGCUUCAUCGAGCAGGAUGCUCUGAUCCUGCGCCUUGGUUUUCUGAUUUCGGGGUUGAUUUUGAGCAGGCACUGAAGGGAGGGGUGAGGCAGAAGGUGGAAUUGGCGACCAAGUUCGGAAUCAGAUUGGCGGACGGGAAGAGGGAGAUCCAGGGCGAUCCGGCGUACGUGAGGGCUGCUUGCGAGGCCAGCUUGAAGCGGCUCGACAUCGAUUGCAUCGACCUCUACUACCAGCACCGUAUCGACACUCGCGUCCCCAUUGAAGUCACUGUAUGGAUCCCUUAUCAAACUUUCACCUCGCUUGAGACUUUCUCUGAGCCAUACGAUGCAUCGUCAUGUUGUUACAAGUUUGUUGAAUUUUGUUAAAUGACACUUAAGUUCAGCUGAUAGCAGAGUUCAAGAUGCGGCACGGUGUUGUUCAAGGGUUGUGGAAUUUAGUAGUUUAGUGGCUUGAGUUUUCGUUUUGUGGGAAUCUUUUACAAGUUAAGGGUCAACAAGCAUGGAAAUUAUUCGAAAUCUUCCUUUGAGAUGAAAGUGCUCCGGGGUUCAUCCUGAAUUUAUAUACGGGAAUCACAUAUAAAGUUGUUCCUGGACUUUAUACGGAGACAUUUGAUUCUUGACAUAUUGUGAAAUAUGACAAGUACUUGGAAUACUUCUUUUAUUUGCUCUCUUCUGUGAGAGAUUCAAGAAAUCUACCUCCGUUAACUCAAUUCCUUGUGGGUUUUUUGUCGCAUUGAGAUGCAUGAUAAUUGAGGGAUCUAGACACAAAAAGCUAAUGACAAAAAUAAUUUUCUGGAUCUUAACAUGUAAGAUCUUGAUGUUGUUGUUCUGUCAUGUGAAUAUGCACAGAUCGGAGAGCUAAAGAAGCUCGUUGAAGAGGGUAAGAUAAAGUACAUCGGUUUAUCCGAGGCCUCUGCAUCAACAAUCAGAAGAGCACAUGCUGUUCAUCCCAUCACAGCAGUGCAAUUGGAGUGGUCGCUUUGGUCCAGAGAUGUGGAGGCGGACAUCGUUCCAACGUGCAGGUAGGAUAUCACUCCGUUAAUUGUUUAUGCAGCAACAACAGCUUCCUUCUGACUCUGCUUUUCCUUUAAAAUGUUGACUAGGGAGCUUGGCAUUGGAAUUGUUGCCUACAGUCCUUUAGGACGAGGAUUCUUUUCUGUUGGCUCCAAGUUGGCGGAGAAUUUCUCAAAGGAUGACUUCAGACAGGUCUGUUUCUGCUGGUCGACAUAAUUAGAUGCUCACAGUGACUGUCAUUCUCAUUGAAGUGCUGGAAACCUGUUCUUGUGGUAUAAAGAAAAGUUUCUGGAUGGGAUGAAUAAAACUUGGUGACACAAAUGCAUCACGUUCUUAUAUGUCUUCAAUCCAGCACUCGCCAGACAUACUACCUCUCUCGAUUCUAGAUAAAUGUAAAAUCACAAGUAAUGGCUUUAGUGAGCCUGAAAGAGGUAGGUUCCCGGAUUCUCAUUCUUUUGGGAAUGAAUACAUAUAGGUUUAUAUGUAAGUUGCUCUGUUUCCCAGCCUUCCCAACAUUUGCUUAUCACUAUCCUUUCCCCACUUUCCACCCACCCUUUUUCUCUCAUCUUUCUUCACAAGAUUAGCGAUAUUUCCUCGAAAUAACUGACGCCAGUAUCGGGCUCUGGCCUUCCGUCCUUUUUCAUUCUCAUCUUUCUUCACAAGAUAAACUAUAUCUUGACACAACCAUUUCUUGAGUGAGGACUCACGACACCCUUCUUAUGAGAGUUUUGGAUCAAGUUCCCAUCUGACAUAAAGCCAAUUGUGUAUUACUCCCUGCCAUUAGCGUUUGACUAGCGAUAGCGCUGGGCAAGUGAAGUAGCUAUUUUUCUUUGUAGCUAAAAGAGCUCUGCGUCUGAUAACAUUCUUCUACACAUCAUCUACAUUUCUGAUUUUUUAUUUUAUGUGUGACUAAUGGUAUCAUCACACGUACAAAACUUAGAUUGUCGAGUUUGUUUCUGUUUUCACAUCCUACAUCAAGCCCAUCAGCCUUGUGUGGUAGUUGCUAGAUCACUUCGCUUGACGUUUCUAAUGCUUAUGAUUUGGGACAUGAUAUUUUAAUCAUUUCAAGAUUAUUUAUAACUGAUCAUGCUUAUCCAGAUAGACAACGAUUGCACACUUCUAAAUGCUUAUUAUGUCAAGUAACAAGACAAUCUGAUGGCAUGCAAUGCAACCACUUUUGCACUUGUUGCUGUAGAAUUUAGCCUUAAAAGGAAAAUGAUAAUUGCAAUUGCUUUCUGCUGAGACAUUGCUCUAUGUUAUGCAGUAUCAUCCAAGGUUCCAGCCAGAGAACUUGGCUCACAACACGAAGUUAUUUGACCGAGUGAAUGAAAUUGCGCAAAGAAAGGGAUGCACCCCAUCUCAGUUAGCCCUGGCCUGGGUACACCACCAUGGUGACGACAUUUGCCCGAUUCCCGGCACAACCAAGAUCGAGAAUUUCAACCAGAACAUUGGAGCUCUGUCAGUGAAGCUUACACAGGAAGAGAUGGCCGAGCUUGAAUUGAUUGCUUCUGCGGACAAUGUCAAGGGUGGCAGGUAUGAUGGAAGCAUAUCUACAUGGGAAAACUCCGACACUCCACCCCUUUCUUCUUGGAAACCUGCCUAGAAGCGUGUCUGCUUCUGUUGCUGCAUCUUUGAUGUGCAGAGUUUGAGCAUUUGCCGCUGAAGUAAUUUGAGUUGAUGUUGUGUGGCUGUUAUAAGUAUGUGUAAUAAGAGAGUGACUGUUUUCAUUUUGUACAUGUGACAUUCACUAUGAGAAGAUUAUGGAUGUGUACUAACCUUACUGGGGAAAGAUCACUCGAUAAACACGAGAGCGAGUUGAAUAUGAACUGAGCCUGCCUUGUCGACUUUAUGGGGUGACUUUUAGAAUCAAUUGGGAUUUUGAAGAAUUCAAACUCAGUCGUACAUACCGCUGGAAAUAUGGCUUCGAAAUUGGGUAGAACAAUGAAAUCGGAUCGAGUAAAAUAACUCGGACUUUGAGGCGCGAUAUCACUUUCUUUAAGGAUUUAUUUACCCCACAACGUUGCUAAUGGUCACCAGCAAAAAUCCUCCAGGAUACAACAAAGUCUCGGAUGAGAAUACUAGAUAGCAAUUCAAGUAUUUCUCCAGGGUCUCUCUAAGAAACAAUCGAAAAAUUGGAUGCUGUUUUUCAGAAAGGAAUACUCGAAAAUGACACUCUUUUUCUUUCCGAAAAUGAUAGAUAUAUAUAUGAAACAGUCUUGCNNNNNNNNNNNNNNNNNNNNNNNNNNNNNNNNNNNNNNNNNNNNNNNNNNNNNNNNNNNNNNNNNNNNNNNNNNNNNNNNNNNNNNNNNNNNNNNNNNNNUUUUUUUUUUUUAUUUCUUAUUUUUGUUCCAAAGUUGCUCUCACAAUAAAAAAAAAAAAGACCAGAAUAAAAGUAUAAACAAAUGAGUUUCUGUUCUUUUUUGGUUCUCUAGAACAAAAUAAUAAAAAUUUAUAUUUCGGGAAAAAAAAUAAUUUUAAAUGAACACACCCUAAGAUAUCUUUUGUAUUCCGGGGAAGUAGUUCAAUUGACGUGAGCCCGUGCGUCUUCCCUACAUGGGAAGGGUCGUCGCUGGGUCUCAUCUGACCUAAGCAAGCGCGUCUUCACAGCUAUUACCGCUCCCCUCCUACACUUCGUAGCUACCGCCACUCCCCUCCUAUAAAUCUCGGCUCGCCCGACGCCUUCGCCAUCGUCUCGGUGCAGUGCAGGGAACGAGCGAGCUCGAGCUAGACGACGGCAAUGGCGGCUUCGACGACGACGGUGAGGAGGAUCAAGCUGGGGUCGCAGGGCCUCGAGGUGUCGGCGCAGGGGCUGGGCUGCAUGAGCAUGUCCGCCUUCUACGGCCCUCCCAAGUCCGAGCCCGACAUGAUCGCCCUCAUCCACCACGCCGUCGGCUCCGGCGUCACCUUCCUCGACACCUCCGACGUCUACGGUCCUCACACCAACGAAAUCCUCCUCGGAAAGGUCGUUCUCUCAGUCUCUGUUUUGCGUCCGCAUGAAUUAUAUGUGCUUAUAGUGUUACGGAAUUUGGCUUCAUCGAGCAGAGUGCUCUGAUCCCGCGCCUUGGUUUUCUGAUUUCGGGGUUGAUUUUGAGCAGGCACUGAAGGGAGGGGUGAGGCAGAAGGUGGAAUUGGCGACCAAGUUCGGAAUCAGCUUCGCGGACGGGAAGAGGGAGGUCCGGGGCGAUCCGGCGUACGUGAGGGCGGCUUGCGAGGCCAGCUUGAAGCGGCUUGACAUCGAUUGCAUCGACCUCUACUACCAACAUCGCAUCGACACUCGCGUCCCCAUCGAAGUCACUGUAUGGAUCCCCCAUCAAACUUUCACCUCGCUUGAGACUUUCUCCGAGCCAUAUGAUUAGUUGCUAAGUUAGAUUGGUGUUGAUGAUGCAUCGUCAUGUUGUUACAAGUUUGUUGAAAUUUGUUAAAUGACACUUAAGUUCGGCUGAUAGCAGAGUUCAAGAUGCGGCACGUUGUUGUUCAAGGGGUUGUGGAAUUUAGUAGUUUAGUGGCUUGAGUUUUCGUUUUGUGGGCAUCUUUUACAAGUUAAGGGUCAACAAGCAUGAAAAUUAUUCAAAAUCUUCCUUUGAGAUGAAAGUGCUCCAGGGUUCAUCCAGAAUUUAUAUACGGGAAUCACAUAUAAAGUUGUUCCUGGACUUUAUGUGGAGACAUUUGAUUCUUAACAUAUUGUGAAAUAUGUCGAGUACUUGGAAUACUUAUUUUAUUUGCUCUCUUCUGUGAGAGAUUCAAGAAAUCUACCUCCGUUAACUCAAUACCUUGUGACUUUUUUGUCGCAUUGAGAUGCAUGAUAAUAGAGGGAUCUAGACGCAUAAAAAGCUAAUGACAUGCAUAAUUUUCUGGAUCUUAACAUGUAAGAUCUUGAUGUUGUUGUUCUGUCAUGUGAAUAUGCACAGAUCGGAGAGCUAAAGAAGCUCGUUGAAGAAGGUAAGAUAAAGUACAUCGGUUUAUCCGAGGCCUCUGCAUCAACAAUCAGAAGAGCACAUGCUGUUCAUCCCAUCACAGCAGUGCAAUUGGAGUGGUCGCUUUGGUCAAGAGAUGUGGAGGCAGAGAUCGUUCCAACGUGCAGGUAGGAUAUCACUCUGUUAAUUGUUUAUGCAGCAACAACAGCUUCCUUCUGACUCUGCUUUUCCUUUAAAAUGCUGACUAGGGAGCUUGGCAUUGGAAUUGUUGCCUACAGUCCUUUAGGACGAGGAUUCUUUUCUGUUGGCUCCAAGUUGGUGGAGAAUAUCUCUAAGGAUGACUUCAGACAGGUCUGUUCCUGCUUGUCAACAUAAUUAGAUGCUUACAUCAACUGUCAUUCUUAUUGAAGUGCUGGAAACCUGUUCUUGUGGUAUAAAGAAAAAGUAUCUGGAUGGGAUGAAUAAAACUUGGUGACACGAAUGCUUUGUGUUCUUAUAUGUCUUUAAUCCAGCACUUGCCAGACAUCCCACCUCUCUUGAUUCUAGAUAAAUGUAAAAUCACAAGUAAUGGCUUUAAUGAGCCUGAAAGAGGCAGUUUUCUGGAUUCUCGUGCUUUUGGGAAUGAAUACAUAUAGGUUUAUUUGUAAGUUGCUCUGUUUCCCAGCCUUCCCACCAUUUGCUAAUCACUAUCCUCUCCCCACUUUCCACCCACCCUUUUUCUCUCAUCUUUCUUCACAAGAUUAGCGAUAUUUCCUCAAAAUAGCUGACGCCAGUAGCGGGCUUUGGCCCUCCGUCCUUUUUCAUUCUCAUCUUUCUUCACAAGAUAAACUAUAUCUUGACACAACCAUUUCUUGAGUAAGGACUCCUAGCACCCUUCUUAUGAGAGUUUUGGAUCAAGUUCCCAUCUGACAUAAAGCCAAUUGAGUAUUACUCCCCGCCAUUAGCAUUUGACUAGCGAUAGUGCUGGGCAAGUGAAGUAGCUAUUUUUCUUUGUAGCUAAAAGAGCUCUGCGUCUGAUAACAUUCUUCUACACAUCAUCUACAUUUCUGAUAUUUAUUUUAUGUGUGACUAAUGGUAUCAUCACACAUACAAAACUUAGAUUGUCGAGUUUGUUUCUGUUUUCACAUCCUACAUCAAACCCAUCAGCCUUGUGUGGUAGUUUCUAGAUCACUUCGCUUGACGUUUCUAAUGCUUAUGAUUUGGGACAAGAUAUUUUAAUCAUGUCAAGAUAAUUUAUAACUGAUCAUGCUUUUCCAGAUACACAACGAUUGCGCACUUCUAAUGCUUAUUAUGUCAAGUAACAAGACAAUCCGAUGGCAUGCAAUGCAACCACUUUUGCACUCGUUGCUGUAGAAUCUAGCCUUAAAAGGAAAAUGAUAAUUGCUCAUAUGCUCUCUGCUGAGACAUUGCUCUAUGUUAUGCAGUAUCUACCAAGGUUCCGGCCAGAGAACUUGGCUCACAACACGAAGUUAUUUGACCGAGUGAAUGAAAUUGCGCAAAGAAAGGGAUGCACCACAUCGCAGUUAGCCCUGGCCUGGGUAUACCACCAGCGUGAUGAUGUUUGCCCAAUUCCCGGCACGACCAAGAUCGAGAAUUUCAACCAGAACACUGGAGCUAUGUCAGUGAAGCUUACACCGGAAGAGAUGGCCGAGCUUGAAUCGAUUGCUUCUGCGGACAAUGUCAAGGGUGGCAGGUACGAUGGAAGCAUGUCUACAUGGGAAAACUCCGACACUCCACCCCUUUCUUCUUGGAAACCUGCCUAGAAGCGUGUCUGCUUCUGUUGCUGCAUCUUUGAUGUGCAGAGUUUGAGCAUUUGCCGCUGAAGUAAUUUGAGUUUAUGUUAUGUGGCUGUUAUAAGUACGUGUAAUAAGAGAGUGACUGUUUUCAUUUUGUACAUGUGAUAUUCACUAUGAGAAGAUUAUGGAUGUGUACUAACCUUACUGGGGAAAGAGCACUCGAUAAACACGAGAGCGAGUUGAAUACGAACUGAGCCCGCCGUGCCGACUUUAUUGGGGUGACUUUUAGAAACUGAGAAAUCGGGAUUUUGAAGAAUUCAAACUCAGUCGUACAUACUAGAGUGACGCUUUAUUCUCCUCCAACCAUGAGUUCAAUACUAAAACCGUGUGCAACAUGCUCUUAAGACUGGAUGCCACACAUAGAUACAAAGCUUCGCUUUGUGUUUGGUUUGGUAGCGAAGUUAAGGAACAGUAAAAUGUUACCGGAUGUUCUCGCGAAAACGAAGUUGGGGUUAAAAUGCUGGCGGGGUUGAUAUGAGUGUCAGAGAAAUCGAAGGUUUCUUGUUCAAGUUUUACCACGUACGGUUCAUGAGCUUUUAUGUAGCUCGAUACCUUCGCUUAUGCGUCUGCAUUAUUAUAAAACGGUCGGAGAUAUUGUGCAAGUUUCCUAAAAUUAAAAAUGACACUUCUAUUGUUUUUUAUUUGGAGUUAGAGUGAAGCAAUAUUGUUUUGUUUUGGUUUAAGAAAAUAACGCAAAUAGUUAUUGAACUUUGGUCCAAUGUGUUAUGUUCUUACUGAACUUUUAACUUAUUUAAUAUGGUUGUCGAACUUUUUGUACAUGUUUAAUUUAAAUCCUAGGCUAGAUAAAUCCAAUGAUGCUGUGUUUGGUCGUUCAAACAUUGUUGCUGAUGCAGCCCGCAUUGAAGACCAGCUCUCUUGAUCAAGAAGAUCGGCCCACAUGCAAGCUCGAUGAAUCCUCUUAUCAAUGAAGUUGUCGAUUGUCGAUGAAGUUCGAUGAAGUUGUCGAUUCAACCGAGAAGCCAUAUUGAUAUCUUGAGUCCAUCCUGGAAGCUUGAAAGAAAACACCUUGUCGAUCUGUAUCGACAAAGAUAUGAUUGUUCUCCUAAGCUUGCAUAGUAAAUUUCUGUUCGUCUUAUUUCCUGUGUGCGAGUCACUCUCCCGAUCCUACCGUUUGAGAAAGCUUAACCUUGGCUUGCAUCAUUUUGGUAUUAGAGCUUUGGAGGAGAGGACAAUGCCUCCAAGACAAGCUAGAUGUCGUGGUGGCAGAACCAUUCCCCUCGAUGAAGUGCACACACUCGCUGAGAAUUUGCAACAAUGUAUGCAACAACAAAUUGACGAAUUGACGCUAGAAGUUUAGCGUUUGAGGGCUGAAGCAAAUAAUUCUCCACCUCGUUCCAGGACUGAAGAUUCCUAUGGUGACUCUUCCUCUUUGGAGAGUGUUCAAUCUAUUCACGGUUAGAGGAAUGUUUGACAUCAUUUACAACAUGUUCGUGAGCCAGAUUGGGAAAAGGAAGUCAUGUUCCAGAAUUUACAUGUACUAAGUCUCCUGAUGAAAUUGUUGAUUGGCUGACACUUGUGAAUGAGGUAUUUGAGCAUCGAAAUGUUCCGGAGAAUCGUCAAGUUGGGAUCAUUGCUAUGUGAUUCCAAGGCAAGGCAAUUGCUGGUGGAGACAUGAAAAACAAACUUGCCAAGCAGUUGGCAAAGCACUAAUCACUUUGUGGAGAAAGAUGGAGGGCAAGAUUCAAAAAUAUUUUCUUCCCAUAGGAUAUAAGAGAGAGCUCUACCAACGGUACCAAAAUCUAAAACAAGGUAAACAAACGGUGGAUCAAUACACCAAUGAAUUCAAUGUGUUGGUGAUUUGUAACAAUAUCUAGGACUCGGAGGAGGUGCUUGUGAACAAAUACUUGAACGGUCUUCAAUUUUACAUUCAAGAUGCCUUGGAAGUCCUCGACAUUUGGGACUUAGGACAUGCACACCAACGGGCACUCAAAAUGGAGCGCUCUCGUUCUUGGAGAUAGCAAUCAAUUACCAUGACAAGUCGGGCCACUAAGAGUACCACUAGCAUUGCUAAAGUUGUUGAGGGUACAAUGCAAUAUGCUAGUAAGCCUUCUACGCAACCCCAUGUUUCGAAGCAACCUGCUAUGUUCAAAAUAUGUUGCUAUUCUUGUGGGGAGUUGGGUCAUCAUGCUAGCAAUUGUCGAAUCAAUAAGAGUCAACCUAUCGGUAAAGCCUUCUUAGUGGAUAAUGAUUCUGAUGAGAAUAUUGAGGAUCCACUUGAAGAGGAGUUGAACAAUGAUGAAGAAGCUGUGCAUGAUGAACAAAUAGUGCAUGUUGACACUAGCGAACUUCUUACGGUGAGGAAAUUUUUUUUACUCCUUGAGAUGACACUGGAGAUAGAUGGCUGCGUACCAAUAUUUUUCAUUCUGCUUGCACAAUCAUGGGAAAGGUGUGUCAAUUAAUUAUUGACUAUGGUUGUUGUGAGUAUAUAAUUUUUGAAGUAGUGGCUAACAAGCUGGAGUUGGAAUUAAAGACGCACCCUACGCCUUAUAAAAUGUUGUGGUUGAAGAAAGGCGCUGAGGUAACUAUUUCAAAAUGAUGCCUUGUUAAUCUGUCCAUUGGUUUUGUUUAUAAUGACAAGAUAUGGUGUGAUGUUCUGCCGAUAGAUGCUAGUCACAGUAUUCUUGGUCGACUGUGGCAAUUCGAUAGGAGGACUAUGCAUGAUGGUUAUCGAAAUACAUAUUCUUUUGAAUUUGGAGGCAAGAAGAUUAUGUUGGCACCUAGUAGGGAACCUUGAGAAUUCCUUCUCCCCUACGUUGUUUACAAUGAAGGAUAUGAACGAUGCUUUGAAAGGAGUUUGUAUCUUGUAUAUUUUGCUUAAUAAAACUAGUGAGAAGAAUGAAGUUGCCUCUAUCAUGCCUCAUUGAGUUCAACCUCUUUUGGAAGAGUUCAAGGAUGUCCUCUCGAUGGACUUACCCGAUGGUCUCCCUCCUAUUAGAGAUAUUCAGCAUCAAACCGACUUGAUGCCUGGAGCCUCUUUGUCGACUCUCGCUCAUUACCGAAUGAGUUUGACCGAACAUGAGGAAUUGCAUCAACAAGUUAUGGAGCUAUUGAAUAAGGGUUUUAUAAGGGAGAGCCUCAGUUCGUGUGCUGUUCCAGCUCUUUUAGUGCCUAAGAAAAAUGGUACUUGGAGGAUGUGUGUCGACAAUAGAGCGAUCAACAAGAUCACCAUCAAGUAUUGAUUUUCUAUUCCUCGCCUUGAUGAUCUCUUAGAUCAACUUUCUGGUGCAAUUAUAUUCUCGAAGCUAGAUUUGAAGAGUGGAUACCAUCGAAUUAGAAUCAAACUCGAAGAUGAAUGGAAGACAGCAUUCAAAAAUAAAGUUGGGCUACAUGAGUGGCUAGUCAUGCCAUUUGGAUUGUCGAAUGCACCAUUGACAUUCAUGAGGUUCAUGACUCAGGUGUUGAAGCCUUUUCUGGGAAAGUUUAUUGUGGUUUAUUUUGAUGAUAUCUUGAUUUUUAGCAAGUCUACUGAUGAGCACUUGUAGCAUCUUCAAGAAGUAUUAUGUGUGUUGAGGCAGGAAUGAUUGUAUGAGGCUCUCAACAAGUGCUAUUUUAUGGUACCACAAAUCCUUUUCUUGGGGUUAUAUAUUUCAAAGAAUGGCAUUUCGGUGGAUGAUUCUAAGAUCAAGGUGAUUCGAGAAUGGCCAACUCCAACAAAUGUGCAUGAAGUGCAACGUUUUCUUGGUCUCGCUUCAUUUUAUCGACAGUUUAUUGCGCAUUUUAGCACCACUGCAGCCCCACUCACUUCUUGCAUGAAGAAGGGAGAGAAAGCCCAACCUUGGCUUGCAUCAGUUGCUCUAUGGGAUGAUGAUAGGAUAAAAAUCCCAUCUAUUAUUUCUUGACGUCUGGAUACAGCAUGAUUCAAAUAAAUAUUUUUUAAAUGAGUGUUUGAUUUGUAUAAUUAAAAUUAAAAUUAAACCAUGGAAGUCGUAAAUACUAUUCAUCCUUUCACAAUCUUCAUCCAUAUCAAACACCCCCGUUCCAUGUGACUUCAAGGACUCUCGCUCCUUCUGCAACACCCCUUUCGCUGCCCUUGAUCAACUUGAUGGAUUACGCUCGCUCUACCUUUGACUUCGCCACAUUGAGAGGCCCUUGGGUUUGAGUUCUCCGCUAGUCUAGCCAUCUUUACUUUCAACGCUUUUCCUGCGAUGAAUCCAUCCCCUUCGACGAGUGCGAAUACUGCGUCGAUUCCCUGUUACCGUGCCCCGACUUGUUCAGUCACUUCAACAGCUUCCCCCGAGACAGCGUGCGGAUCCGGUUUGUGAGUGGUAGCACGAUCGGUACUAGUUGCUCCGAGUGACGUGGUUGAGGAGCUCUAUCACCUUGGCUGCCGCCUCUUUCGGAUCAUCUUCUUCACAGAGGAGGUGUCCAGCUUUGAUCGGGAUCACAAAUUUCCCUACUAAAAUGAAGUUGAGUGACACAAGAAAGAGGUAGGGCUGACGAGCUCCGCGAUACUCAUGCUCAUGCUCUAAUUUUGUGGUGGUCAUUUUAGCGAGACAAAUUGGAACAAGAGAGAGAUGAUGGUGACACUGGUCAAAAGCGCCCCGGGGGGUGGUCAGUUUUUCAAAUUUCACAUAUUUUAUCUGGCUUUAUAUACUUUCUAGAUGUGAUUUUUUAUCCGGACUAUAUCCUAAUUUCACAUUACUCUAGACACCAUAUAGGAUUAAACUUAUCAUAUUAGAGUUCUAUCCAGCCCUUCAAAUGCAGUCUUAUGAGAUAGAAUGCAAUGAUAUAAUCUGUGAACUAAAUUUAAACAUUUAUUAAAAGUUUACGAACGAAAUUUCACAUUUUGAUUGUUAAGAUGCAUGAGUGAGUUAUGUUAAAAUAAUCACAUAAUAUAUUGAUAGCUUUAAAAAUGGGCCUUCUCUUGGUGAUGACGUUGAUCCAUAUGGAGAAAUUAAUGAGAGGGUUUAUUUGGCCUAACUAAAUGGGAGGCUAUGGGCUCGUUUGAUAACGUUUCUGUUCAAAAAUUGUUCCAGGGAAUAGAAAUAAAAAAAAAAGUGUUUCUGUUCCGGGGAACAAUUUUUGACCAAAAACACUCGUUUGGUAAACUUGUUCUGGGAACAAUUCUUUUUUUGUUUCUUUUAAUUUUUUAAUAUUUUUAUUUUAUUUUUAUUUUUUUCCUUUCUUUUUUCUUUUUUCUUUUUUUCUUCUUUUGGCGGGCGACCGGCUGACGGGGGCCGACAGCCUCGCCCAGCCACGGCGAGGCCAAGCCUUGCCGGUGCGGGCGAGGCUGAGCCUCGCCUUGGCUGGGUGAGCUUGGCCUCGCCCAGAUCUAGUGAGGCCGAGCCUUGUUGGCCACUGGGCAAGCUCGGCCUCAUCAGCCACUGGGCGAGCUCGCCCAGCCAAGGCGAGGCCGAGCCUCGCCCAACUACAGCCAGGCUCGGCCUCGCUGGGGGCCGGCGACGCUCCGGCGAGGUCGUCGGCCCUCGACGGCGUCGCUGACCCUCGACGGCCGGUCGCCGGCCAUGGCCGAGGCCAGCAAUCGGCCAAAGAAAAAAGAAAGAAAAAAGAAGAAGAAAAGAAAAAGAAAAAAGAGAAAAGUGUUAAAAAAAUUUGUUUCAGAAACAAGAAACAACUUUUUUUUUGUUUUUUGUUUCUGUUCCAGAUGUGUUUUUGGGAACAAAAAAAAUAGUUUUGGAACAAAAACGCACACAAACGCGUUUCUGUUCCCUUUUUGUUCUCAGGAAAAAAAAACAGAAAAAUUGUUCAAAAACAUAAAAAAGAAACAACAACAAAUGCAGCCUAUAUCAAUGGGAGGUUUUUCAUUGUAACAUUCCCUUGUGCUUGGAAUUUGUUUUUUAGUAAAGGAUUUUAUUAGCAUAAUAAUAGUCUUUGGAUUAUUAUGUGAAUAACAAUUUAUUGUGAGUCACAAUUUUUUUUUUAAAGUAAUGAACCCCAUAAUAAUUUCAAUUAUUUGUUACUUUAUUUUCGUAGUUGUUAGAAAAAUAGAAAGCUUGGAAUUUUGGGAGAAUUGUAUAUUGCUUUUCUAUAUUCCUUUCAAUAUGUAAUUACAAUCUAUUUAUAAUACAGAGAGUCUAAAAUAAUAAAGGAAUAAAAAUAUACACAAUAUCCCAAAGAUGUACAUAAAAUAUUCCCUAUCAAUUAAGAUCAAUCGACAUCAGCAACGGUAUCUUCAACACUCCCCCUCAAGCUCGGCGGUUUAUACACAUCGAAGACGCCUAGCUUGUUUAAUAGAUACAAAUGUUGCCUCUGACAUAAAGCCUUGGUAAAAAUGUCUGCAGGUUGCUCUGUUGUUCUUAUCUCUUUUGUUCUAAUCACCCCACUUUGGAUCUUGUCUCGAAUGAAGUGACAAUCAACCUCUAUAUGUUUUGUCCUUUCAUGAAAUACUGGGUUCAUUGCAAGCUUAAUUGCAGCAUCAUUAUCACAAAAUAGGACAAUGGGCUCUCUUAUCUGUACACCAAGGUCUUGAAGGAGGCCUCUUAUCUAGACUAUCUCACAGCUAGUCUUCGCCAUUGCUCGGUAUUCUGCCUCAGCGGAUGAUAAAGAUACGGUUGACUGUUUCUUUGUCUUCCAUGAAAUUAGAGAAUCCCCUAAUUUUAUACAGAAUCCUAUGACUGAUCUUCUACUCAUGGGACAAGUAGCGUAAUUUGUGUCACAAUAUGCUGUCAUCUCCAAAUUGUUGUCUCGAGACAACAAUAUUCCCAAUCCAGGACACCCUUUUAAGUAUUUUAUGACUUUCAGUGCCGCAUUCAUGUGAGACUGUUUCGGAGCAUGCAUAAACUGGCUAAGAAUCUGAACUGCAUAAGAAAUGUCUGGCCUGGUCAUGGUCAAAUAAAUAAGCUUUCCAACAAGUCUUUGAUAAGCAGAAGGAUCUUUAAGCAAAGGAUCCUUGUUUACAGGUGACAACCCUUUGUCAUAUUCAGCUGUCGUUAAUCUGAUAUUCUGAUCAAUUGGAAUAACAGCCGGUCUAGAUCCUAACAAACCGGCUUCUGACACAAUUUCUAAGACAAAUUUCCGUUGGCUAAGACAAAUGCCCUUAUUUGACCGUGCAAUUUCUAUCCCAAGAAAGUAUUUGGGAGAACCCAAAUCCUUAAUAUGAAAUGUAGAAUGCAAAUACUCAUUGAAUUUCUCAAUGGCAGGCGCAUCGUUUCCCAUAAUGAGUAUAUCGUCAACAUAUAUAAGUAAAUAGAUUGACGACAUACCUUGUUUCCAUGUGAAUAAAGCAUAGUCAUGCUUAGAUUGCUGGAAUUUUGCAGUUGUAAGUGCACCGGUGAACUUGGCGUACCAUUGACGAGAAGCUUGCUUGAGUCCAUAUAGGGAUUUCUGAAGACGGCACACACUCCCCUCCCCCUGUCUGCGAAAUCCCGGUGGAAUAUCCAUAUAAAUCUCUUCUUCAAGAUCUCCAUGUAAAAAAGCAUUGUGAACGUCCAUUUGAUGAAGGGGCCAGUCACGGAUGGCAGCAAUGGAAAGAAAAGACCGUAUGGUGACUUCUUUGGCAACUGGAGAGAAAGUUUCCGUAUAGUCAAAGCCUUCCUUCUAUGUGAAUCCCUUCGCAACCAAUCUGGCCUUGUAAUGUUCAAUGGAUCCAUCUGCUUUAUAUUUGAUAUUGUAUACCCAUUUGCAUCCUAUGGAUCGACGAUGGGGAGGUAGACGAACAAUAUCCCAAGUCUCAUUUUCGAUGAGAGCUUGUAACUCAUCUUUCAUAGCCUGUUGCCAACGAGGAUCCUUGGCAGCCUCAUCAUAAGAGGAAGGUUCCUGCUGUGCAAAAAUUCUACUAACAUAGCAUAUAUGUUCAAGAGAGAGAUUAGCAAAACUGACAUAAGAGGAGAUGGGGUAUUGUGUACCACGCCUUUUUGACGAUGAACAAACGUAAUCCGCUGUCCAUGUUGGUGGUCGGACUGUGCGUCUUGAUCGCCGAAGAUUAGUUGGUUCAGAUGGAACAUCAGUUUGUGAGGCUGCAGAGACAUCAUCCGCCGGAAUAUUUGCUUGCAAAAAAUCAGGUCCUUCAAGUAUACUUGAUGAAGGAAGACUGGAAAUUGCAUUGUCCCCAUCUGAGCUGAUAGGUGCAUUGAUACUUGAGGAUGCUAUAGGAGAUAUCAUUUGUGGAAGCAUCAUCAUUGAUCCUUGUGGAGGAUCGUCUUCAUGCAGAAAGGGACGAGAAGAUGUCAGGGGAUCAUCAUGCUGAUAUGAUGGUAGCCUAUCCUUGAAAGGGAAGACAUCUUCAUGAAAUGUGACAUCUCUGCUGACAAAGAAUCUGCCAGUAGAUGGAUCAAGAACCAAGUAUCCUUUUUGAAGGGUAGAAUAUCCCAUAAAUACCGCAAGAAAGGCACGNNNNNNNNNNNNNNNNNNNNNNNNNNNNNNNNNNNNNNNNNNNNNNNNNNNNNNNNNNNNNNNNNNNNNNNNNNNNNNNNNNNNNNNNNNNNNNNNNNNNGGACGUUUUCCAAACAAUGACUCGAAUGGAGUCUUUCCACUCAAAAUUCGAGAUGGCAUUCUAUUGAUCAGGCAUGCUGCUGUGACCACACAGUCUCCCCAAAAAAUUUUAGGAAUUGAAGCUUGAUACUUAAGAGCUCGAGCGACUUCUAACAAAUGACGGUGUUUCCUUUCUACAAUCCCAUUUUGUUGGGGAGUAUAAACACAAGAGCUUUCAUGAAGAAUGCCAUUGGAAAUGAACAAUGAAGAACAUUCAUGAUUAAAGAAUUCUCGUGCAUUGUCAGUACGAACCCGUUGUACGGAUUUGUUAAAUUGAUUUUUGAUCAGGACAAUGAAAUUUUUGAGAUGUGAAAGAACUUGGGCUUUGGAUUGCAUAAGAAAAACCCAAGUUGCUUGAGUAUGAUCAUCUACAAUAGUAAGAAAGAAGCGUGACCCAUCACGAUGAGAGGUGUGAUAUGGGCCCCAAAUGUCUAUGUGCAAUAGAGAGAAGGCUCUAGUAGCACGCGAUGCACUUUGUGGAAAAGACAUUAUAGACUGUUUAGCUAAUGGGCAUAUAGGACACUUAGGAUGAGGAAAAAUGGCGCUGUGGCCUAGACGCUGAUGAGAUAAAAAAGGUAUCUUUAUUAUGAUUGGCAUUACAUAAGAUGCUCUUAUUGAAUGAAAAAUUCUUUGGAAAUGCCGUCCAGAAAUAAAGUCCCUCGAAAUUCCUACCUGAGCCCAUCAGUGUCCUAGUCAAAGGGGCCUGGAAGAGACAAGUGUCAAAAUCGAAAAUGACCUGACAGAAAUUGUCUUGACAAAUCUUGGAUACAUAAAUGAGAUUGAACUGAAAAUUCAGAAUGAAGAGGACAUUUUUUGGUGUGAUGGAAGAGCUCAGUUUAACAUCCCCAAUUUUAUCUACUGAAAUAUCACUACCAUUUGGGAGGCGAACGGAAGUGUGAUUUGAGGAUUUUUCUAAUUUAGAGAAGAACCGUUCAUCACAGACUAUAUGGUCACUAGCACCUGAAUCAAUAAUCCAUGCGUUGCUCGAAAUAUUGCAGUUCAAACAAUGAGAAAUACCUGCAUAGCUAGGCAUCUUUUCUUGAAUGCCCAUCUGACUUAAGGUCCUCAUGAUUUGUUGGAGUUGGUCAUUGCUGAUGGGUUGAUUUACCUUAGCAUUUGUUGCUAUAGAAUUUCCAAUAGAAAAUUCUCAUUCCUUCUUCUCCCCUGGUCUUCCAUGCAAUUUCCAACAAUUUUCUUUGGUAUGAUAAGGUUUUUUGCAAUAAUCACAAAAUUUACCUUUCCAUUUGUUUGAAUUAUUUCUGGUCGAAGACGUGGCAAAAUUUGGGCCGUUGGAUCGCUUUAAAACGGACGCUGAUGGUCCGUUCGAUCGCGGUGCUGCAAGGGCGAAAUUUGAGCCGUCCGAUCGCGCAAAAGAACCUCCACUGUCCGAUCGCGCAAAAGAACCUCCACCGUCGGAUCCGAAGAUUGGAUCUCGGCCAUUCAAUCCGCGCGAGCUGCCCGAGCCGUCCGAUCUCCCGAAAUGAUCCUGGCCGCCCAUUUGAGACAUAUAAAAAACCUCAUCUUCUUCCUUCCGAAACCCUAGUGUUCCUGCCCUUUUCGAAAAACCUCCAUGGUCGGACCUUGAAGACCCGAGCCGCUGCUCCGACGAAGCCUUGGCCGCGAGAACGACGCGCUCGCCACUCUUCACAUACUCGGACGACGCCAGCUUCUGGGAUUCUUCUUGAACCGCAAGCUGGUAUAGGACNNNNNNNNNNNNNNNNNNNNNNNNNNNNNNNNNNNNNNNNNNNNNNNNNNNNNNNNNNNNNNNNNNNNNNNNNNNNNNNNNNNNNNNNNNNNNNNNNNNNNNNNNNNNNNNNNNNNNNNNNNNNNNNNNNNNNNNNNNNNNNNNNNNNNNNNNNNNNNNNNNNNNNNNNNNNNNNNNNNNNNNNNNNNNNNNNNNNNNNNNNNNNNNNNNNNNNNNNNNNNNNNNNNNNNNNNNNNNNNNNNNNNNNNNNNNNCACUCUGACCCGGGAAGGACCAGUUCGCCCCAUAUCCGGACCCGCUCCAGGUAUGUGAGAUGAGCUUUCCUUUAGCCCACCAAUCCUUCCGGGGUUGAUUUGAGGUGAAUUCUGUGUCGAAUCUCCUUGAUUUGGUUGGAUUGAUACAGGUACCCACUGAACGUAUGGUCUUGUGAGGGGAUUUCCAGGAUUAAAUCCUAUGUUGAGCUGUGCAGGCUGCACGAGGCUUGUUUGACUUUCUGAUGGAUUCAUCUGUCGUUUUGUAGGGAUGACUUGUGGAUUUCCCUCAAUCCCCACAGAAACGCCGGAAGUUGAAUCCUCAGUCUUUGACAUGAUUUCUCCCUAAGAAGGCGUUGCGGAAGCUAGGCCAAGGCGGGAGGCUCUGAUACCAUGUCAGAAAAAUAGAAAGCUUGGAAUUUUGGGAGAAUUGUAUAUUGCUUUUCUAUAUUCCUUUCAAUAUGUAAUUACGAUCUAUUUAUAAUACAGAGAGUCUAAAAUAAUAAAGGAAUAAAAAUAUACACAAUAUCCCAAAAGAUGUACAUAAAAUAUUCCCUAUCAAUUAAGAUCAAUCGACAUCAGCAACGGUAUCUUCAACAGUAGUAACUGUUGUUUUCAAUUAAGUUUGCAUCGGAGAAGAGAUUAUUUUGUUUUGCUACGCUUGUCGGAUAUUGCGCAGGAUAUUGUCAUUUUCUUAGCACUAGCAACGUUGCGUUCAGACAAGGCGGCAUGGAAUUAUUUGCUUAGCUGCACAUCGCACGACCAUACAUUCAUGGACUGUUCCUCAGGAAAGCAUAUAGACAUGUGGCAGAUGCAGAACAUUUCACGAGAUUAAAAAAAAAAGAAAAUAAUUUUUAAAAAACAAUACUUUCGACUUCAAAACGUGCCAAUCGAACGCCUGCUAGUCCCGCCUAUAAAGCUCGGCUCACCCAACGGCUUCGUUGUCGUCUCGAACUGUCCAUUCUCCAUUCUCUGUUCUUGCAUCGACCUCGAGCUAGAGGAUGGCCCGCAAUGGCGUCGUCAGACGGUGAGGAGGAUCAAGUUGGGGUCGUAGGGUCUCAAGGUCUCGGCGCAGGGGCUGGGCUGCAUGGGCAUGUCUACUUCGCCGGCCCUCCCAAGCCCAACCCCGACACGAUCGAGCUUGUCCACCACGCCGUUGAAUCUGGCGUUGCCUUCCUCGACACCUCCGACAUCUAUGGCCUUAACGCCAAGGAAGUCCUCCUUGGAAAGGUCGGUAUUUAUUUUGUAGAUAUAAUUGAAGAUCUUGAUCGUGACGCCAAUCCUAAUUGCGGACUAAUUGANNNNNNNNNNNNNNNNNNNNNNNNNNNNNNNNNNNNNNNNNNNNNNNNNNNNNNNNNNNNNNNNNNNNNNNNNNNNNNNNNNNNNNNNNNNNNNNNNNNNNNNNNNNNNNNNNNNNNNNNNNNNNNNNNNNNNNNNNNNNNNNNNNNNNNNNNNNNNNNNNNNNNNNNNNNNNNNNNNNNNNNNNNNNNNNNNNNNNNNNNNNNNNNNNNNNNNNNNNNNNNNNNNNNNNNNNNNNNNNNNNNNNNNNNNNNNNNNNNNNNNNNNNNNNNNNNNNNNNNNNNNNNNNNNNNNNNNNNNNNNNNNNNNNNNNNNNNNNNNNNNNNNNNNNNNNNNNNNNNNNNNNNNNNNNNNNNNNNNNNNNNNNNNNNNNNNNNNNNNNNNNNNNNNNNNNNNNNNNNNNNNNNNNNNNNNNNNNNNNNNNNNNNNNNNNNNNNNNNNNNNNNNNNNNNNNNNNNNNNNNNNNNNNNNNNNNNNNNNNNNNNNNNNNNNNNNNNNNNNNNNNNNNNNNNNNNNNNNNNNNNNNNNNNNNNNNNNNNNNNNNNNNNNNNNNNNNNNNNNNNNNNNNNNNNNNNNNNNNNNNNNNNNNNNNNNNNNNNNNNNNNNNNNNNNUUAGACAUUGCUUUAUGUUAUGAAGUACCUACCAAGGCUGCGGCCAGAGAACUUGGCUAACGCAAAGUUAUUCGACCAAGUGAAUGAAAUUGCACAAAGAAAGGGAUGCACCCCAUUGCAGUUAACCCUCGCGUGGGUACACCACUGGAGUGAUGACGUUUGCCCGAUGCCCGGCACGAUCAAGAUCGAGAAUUUCAACCAGAACAUUGGAGCUCUGUCAGUGAAGCUUUUGCCAGAAGAGAUGGCCAAGCUCAAAUCAAUUGCUGAUAUGGACAAUGUCAGGCGUGAGAAUUAAAACCACAUUUGAUACUAAAUUAUGCCUAGGUAGAAAUUCAAAACUCCACCUCCCGCUUUUCAUGUGGGAAGUUUGGCCCCACCUCGCGCUUAUGGAAAGAGUAAUCACGAAGACAUCACAAUAGUUCAAUUGACGUGAGCAGGUACGUCUUCCCUACAUGGUAAGGGUCGUCACUGGGCGUGCAAUUGACGUAAGCACGUGCGUCUUCACAGCCACUACCGCUCCCCUCCUACUCAUCGUAGCUUCUGCCACUCCCCUCCUAUAAAUCUCGGCUCGCCCGACGCCUUCGCCAUCGUCUCGGUGCAUUGCAGGGAACGAUCGAGCUCGAGCUAGACUACGGCAAUGGCGGCAUCGACGACGACGACGGUGAGGAGGAUCAAGCUGGGGUCGCAGGGCCUCGAGGUGUCGGCGCAGGGGCUGGGCUGCAUGAGCAUGUCCGCCUUCUACGGCCCUCCCAAGUCCGAGCCCGACAUGAUCGCCCUCAUCCACCAUGCCGUCGGCUCCGGCGUCACCUUCCUCGACACCUCCGACGUCUACGGUCCUCACACCAACGAAAUCCUCCUCGGAAAGGUCGUUCUCUCAGUCUCUCUUUUGCCUCUGCAUGAAUUAUAUAUGCUUAUGGUUUUACGGAAAUUUGCUUCAUCGAGCAGGAUGCUCUGAUCCUGCGCCUUGGUUUUCUGAUUUCGGGGUUGAUUUUGAGCAGGCACUGAAGGGAGGGGUGAGGCAGAAGGUGGAAUUGGCGACCAAGUUCGGAAUCAGAUUCGCGGACGGGAAGAGGGAGAUCCAGGGCGAUCCGGCGUACGUGAGGGCUGCUUGCGAGGCCAGCUUGAAGCGGCUCGACAUCGAUUGCAUCGACCUCUACUACCAGCACCGUAUCGACACUCGCGUCCCCAUCGAAGUCACUGUAUGGAUCCCUUAUCAAACUUUCACCUCGCUUGAGACUUUCUCUGAGCCAUAUGAUGCAUCGUCAUGUUGUUACAAGUUUGUUGAAUUUUGUUAAAUGACACUUAAGUCAGCUGNNNNNNNNNNNNNNNNNNNNNNNNNNNNNNNNNNNNNNNNNNNNNNNNNNNNNNNNNNNNNNNNNNNNNNNNNNNNNNNNNNNNNNNNNNNNNNNNNNNNUUUUAUAUAUUUUAUUUCCGAAAUUCUCAAAAUAAAAGACAACAUUUGAAUUUACUAACAAUUAAUAAAAAUUGUUGGAGAAAUCUUCCUGGAGUAUUUUGAAGCUGACAAAACGUUUCCAUCAGUCUAAUCUGAAGAUUUGCAGACUCUACUAUUUAAAGUCUGAAGACCUCCGGACUGCCAGAUUCAAGAUUCAAAGUCUAUUCUCAUUGACAGUUUCUAGAUCGUCGAAGAAGGGUUAUCCAGAACUUGAUGUUUCAUUAAGGAUUUGACCUUAUCGACUGGAGAAGAUCUCUUGGCUGGAUAUGUCAUAACAGAAUCCUUUAUUUGAUCAUGAUUGAUUCAGAGAUUAAGGAUCUGAUGAUUGGCGAAGUAUACUUGGUUCUACUUAUGGAAACCGAGAUCCUAAUUGUAUGGGCGAGCAAAAUUGAUGGGCUAUCGACAUGUUCCUUUAAUAGCUCGAAUGAUCUUCCUAAUUGAUUUCGUCCAACGGGUAGAUUGGAGGAAUUCUUUUGGUAAGUGCCAACGGAUAUGAUGGCAUAAAGGAGUAUAAAAGGAAGACGUUCCAGUUGUUCGAGUGUGUACACGAUAGAAAAAUUCCAAAGUCUGAAGCUCUUUGUUCUUAGUCAAUUCAUUUACUGAGCAAAAUCUUGUACACAAAAGAGAGUAUAUACUUUGAGAGACCUUAAAGAAGUGUGGUAGAGGUUCUACACUGUGGAAUCAAGGAAGAGACUUGAUGUAACAUCUCUUUUGUUCAUAGUGAAAUCUAGCCGGUGGGCUGUUAGUGUGGAAGAGUGGAUGUAGGCUUGAAAUAAGCCGAACCACUGUAAACCUCGUGUUCAAUUUUCUCUUUCCUACUCUCUGCUUUACUUUGAUCAUAAUUCAUCCUGUUAACCAAAGAAGAACUUCCUUCUAUUGUCUGCUUAGUAUUGUUCUUAUAUCACGAAGAAUUAUUUUUACACACCUACUCACCCCCCUCCAUGUGCUUAUACUAGCUAUCUCAAUUGGUAUCAGAGCUUGUGUACUCACUUUGUUUGAAGUGUUUUACUUCAGAGUUAAAGAUCCAUAACUAGUAUGUUAACUCCAAGGCUGGUAGAAGGCCAAAGCAAUACCAGACCGCUUUACUUUGAUGGAAAGCAUUACAAUAUAUGGAAAAACAAGAUGAAGGCGUUCCUAAGAUCAAAGGAUCCUCUGGAAUGGGACGUUGUUGAAAAAUGAAUCAUUCCUAAAGCUGCGCCUAUCUCAGAGAGAGAAAAAUAUACUGUUGAGUCUAGUAAAAUGACUCAGGAAGAGAUAAUCAAGAGACAAGCUCUUGAUACAAAAGCAAUUUAUUUUUUAUAUUGUGCAUUGUCACCUACUUAAUAUAACAAAAUAUUUUCUUGUUUUACAGCUAAAGAAGUCUGGGAUAGAUUACACAUCACUUAUGAAGGAACUGAUCGAAUGAAAGAAACCAGAAUCAACAUUCUGCUCGGUCAAUAUGAAGCAUUCAAAAUGAAAUCUAGAGAAUCUAUCACUGACAUAUUUAGUCGUUUUACAGAGAUUGUGAAUGGCCUUGAAAAUCAAGAGCAACCAAUUUCUGAUCCCAUAAAAGUAAACAAGCUUCUUUGUGGACUCUAUAAGGAUUGGAAUAACAUAAAGACCUUAAUAAGAGAGACACAAAAAAUUAUGCCACUUUCGGUCGAUGAAUUGGUUGGGACUCUUCAGUCUUAUGAAGUAGAGCGAAUCAACGAAGAUGAAGAUCCUUAAGGUAAGAAAUCCAUUCCAUUAAAAUCUAAUGAUAAUUCUGAUGUCACAGAUUCUGAAGACGAUAUGGAUGGCGAAGAGCUUGCUCUCAUGAUAAGAAAAUUCAGAAAACUGAACAGAAAAUGAAGAAGAUUCAAUCCAAAGAAACAGAGUUUUCAAAAGCAACAGACUAAGUCUGUUGAGGAUGAUGAAUCAAACAAAGAUGUAGUCUGCUUUGAAUGCAAGAAAAAUAGACACAUCAGACCCAACUAUCCUCUUUUGAGGAAGAAGAAAGGAAAAUCUGAAAAAUAUUGAAAGGCUCUUAAAGUAGAAACCUGGAGUGAUAUAGAGUGUGAAGAAAGUGAUGAUGAUUAUGCCAAUAUAUGUUUGAUGGCACAAUCGGAUUCAGAUUCAAACUCCGAGACAAACUUAGAUUCAGACAGUGAAUUUAAGGUGAGUAACUUUAAAAUCCCUAUUAAAGUUUCUAAAUACAUUGAUGAAUUGUGUUUCAGUCUUAAGACUUCUCUUAAAAGGAUUUCCAAACUUAAAAAGGAAAAUUCUGCACUAAAACAACAAGAAAAUGUUUUGAAAGAAAAUGUCAAAGUUUUAGACAAAAAUGUUUCUACCUUGAAAGAAAAUGAAGGCAAUCUUUCAAAAGAAAAUGCAUUCUUGAAAAAUGAUAUCUCAAAUAUUUCUAAAUGAUUUUCUAUAGGAUCUGAGAAACUAGAAAAAAAUUCUUUCUGUUCAAAGACCUUAUUUCAAUAAAUCUGAUUUGGGAAUGUCUGCAUAAACCAUUCAUUUAAUUGAUUUUCCUAAAGUAAAGGAAAUAAUUAAGCAAAGACCCACAAGAGAUGCUUACAAAAAUCAUUUUAAAAAGAUCUUUGUAAAACUAGUAGGUCACAAUGCUCUCAGAUGUUCAAAGUGCAAUAGUGCAAAUCAUUUUGAAAAAGAAUGCCCUAUGGUUUGGAAACUUGUUAAGAAAGUAUGGGCAAAAACCGCAUGUCAUACUAACACCAAUGGACCCAAGAAAAUAUGGGUACCAAAGAAAGUUUGAGUUUCUUUUUUAAAUGCAGGUCACUAUCAAGAAAAAGGUAAAAUGGUAUCUGGAUAGUGAUGCUCAAGACAUAUGACAGGAGAUUCAAAUUUUUUGUAAAGCUCGUUCAAGUAAAUUGUGGAAAAGUCUCAUUUGGAGGGAACGGCAAAGGAAGAAUUGUGGGAUUUGGAACUGUAAAAAUUGGAAACCUCACAAUAAGUAAUGUUUCCUUAGGGGAAGGACUCAACUACAAUCUGCUCAAUAUCAGUCAGCUGUGUGAUACCGGUUUCAAAAUCAAUUUUCAAGAGGGAAUAUAUUCAGGAACCAGUAAAGAUUCUACUCAGUCAUUCAUGGGUCGAAGACAUGGAAAUAUCUACCUCUUGGAUGUGAAACCAGAUGCAUCACAAUGUCUAAUCUCAAUUCAAGACAAAGCGAACUUAUGGCACAGAAAACUUGGGCACAUCAAUAUAAAGCAGAUAGCCAAAAUUUCAGCAAAAAGGCUUGUUCGUGGUUUACCCAAUCUAUCAUACCAAAAGUCUGAUCUAUGUACACCAUGCAUAUUGGGAAAGCAGGUAAGAAAUUCCUUUAAACCAAUAAAUCAAGUUUCCACUAAUCGUGUAUUGCAGCUUCUGCAUAUGGAUCUCUUUGAACCAACUAGAACUUAAAGCAUUGAAGGUAAGAAAUAUUGCCUAGUAACUGUGGAUGACUACUCACGAUUUACUUGGGUAUAUUUCCUGGUAAGUAAGUCUGAAACCUUCUCUUACUUUAAAAAGUUUGCUAAAAAUGUUCAAAAUGAAAAAAAGGGUAUAUUAUUUCAAGCAUAAGAACAUACCAUGGAGGUGAAUUUGAAAAUCAAGAUUUUACAAAGUUUUGUGAUGAAUCUGGUUUUCAGCAUGUGUUCUCCUCUCCAUAUACUCCAGAGCAAAACGGAGUUGUGGAAAGAAAGAACAGGUCGCUUCAAGAAAUGGCUAGAACACUUUUAAUUGAAAGUAACAUCUCUUCACGUUUUUGGGCUGAAGCCGUUUCUACAGCAUGUUAUAUUAUUAAUAGAGUUUUUCUAAGACCAAUUCUAGAAAAAAAAAACCCCCUAUGAGUUAUUCAAAGAAAAGAAGCCUAUUGCUUCAUAUUUUCAUGUGUUUGGAUGUAAAUGCUUUAUAUUGAAAAAUGCAAAUGAUCGAGUUGGCAAGUUUGAAGAAAAAUCAGAUGAAGGCAUCUUCCUUGGAUAUUCAACCACAAGCAAAGCAUAUAGAGUCUACAACAAGAAGACUCAAUCUGUGGAGGAAUCAAUGAAUGUCAAAUUCCAAGAUUCUAUGCAAAAUGAAUCUAUUCAGACUCAUCUUGAAGAAUCUGAAUCUGCUCUAGACUCUACAAAGUCUAAAUCUCAGCAAGCAGCUCAGACUUCGAAAGACCAUCAUCAAAUGAUUGAUGAAGAUUCAAAUGAAGAAAGUGAUCAUCAAUCUGAUAAAUCGACCAGUAACUGGAAGCAUAAGUCCAGUCAUCCCAAAGAUCUCAUUAUUGACGACAUUAAUGAAGGAAUUCGCACAAGAUCCAAAAGGCGCAAAUAGUCUAGUGCUGUGACUCUUAUUUCUGAAAUAGAAUCCAAAAGCAUAUAAGAAGCUUUAUCUGAUGAAAGCUGGAUUGAAGCUAUGCAAGAAGAACUCAGGCAAUUCAGCAUUAAUGAUGUCUGGGAGUUGACUCCUAAACCGAAAGGUAAAUCUAUUAUUGGAACUAAAUGGGUUUUCAGGAACACGAUGAACGAGAAAGGAAAUGUCGUAAGAAACAAAGCAAGACUCGUGGCCAAGGGAUAUACGGAAGAAGAAGGGAUAGACUAUGACAAGACUUACGCACUAGUAGCAAGGUUAGAAGCAAUUCGAUUAUUACUUGCUUUUGCUUGUUAUAAGAAUUUCAGGUUAUUCUAAAUGGACAUCAAAAGUGCUUUCCUGAAUGGAUUUAUCCAUGAGGAAGUCUAUGUGGAACAACCAUCUGGGUUUGAAGACCCAAGGAAACCAGACUCAGUAUUCAGAUUGAAAAAUGCCUUAUAUGGUUUAAAGCAAACACCUCGAGCUUGGUACGACAGGCUGAGUAAGUUUUUAAUUCAAAACGGCUUUGUCAAAGGUAAAGUAGACACUACUCUGUUCAUCAAAAGAGAAAACAAAAGUUUUAUGCUUGUUCAAAUAUAUGUUGAUGAUAUUAUUUUUGGAUCCUCUAAUGAAAGUCUGUGCAAGAAAUUCUUUAAGUCUAUGCAAGAUGAAUUUGAAAUGAGCAUGAUGGGUGAACUAACCUUCUUUCUUGGACUUCAAGUGAAACAAUUGAAGAAAGAAACUUUUAUUCAUCAAGAAAAAUAUGCUAAUGAUCUUGUAAAAAAAUUUGAACUUGAAAAUUGCAAAAAGACUGAUAUACCAAUGUCAAGCUCUUUGAAGAUAGGCAAAGAUGAAUGAGGAAAGAAAGUUGACCAGAAGCUAUAAAUGAGUAUCAUUGGUUCACUUCUUUAUCUUACUGCUUUUAGACUUGACAUUUUGUUUAGUGUUUGCAUUUGUGCUAGAUUUCAAGCAGACCCAAAAGAAUCUCAUCUAAGUGCUGCCAAGCGUAUUAUCAAAUACAUUGCAUCAACUCCGAGCAUUGGUCUCUGAUAUCCUAAAAAUGGAGACUUUACUCUUCUCGGAUAUUCAGACGCAGACCUAGCUGGAUGCAGAGUUGAUAGAAAGAGCACCUCGGGUACCUAUCAACUACUUGGAAGCAGGACAGUAUCUUGGUUUUUAAGGAAGCAAAAUACAGUAGCUCUUUCUACAGCAGAAGCAGAGUAUGUAGCUCUUGGAAGUUGUUGUUCACAAAUUCUGUGGAUAAAACAAUAGCUAAGAGACUUUGGAAUUGAAGAUUAAUGCACGGAGAUUAACUGUGACAAUACCAGCGCAAUCAAUCUCACUAAGAAUCCAAUUCUUCACUCAAGAGCAAAGCAUAUAGAGAUUCGACAUCACUUCAUUAGAGAUCAUGUUCAAAAUGAAGAAGUUUCGAUUCAGUUUGUUGGCUCAAAGAACUAACUGGCAGAUAUAUUUACAAAGCCUUUGGAGAAAAAUCAAUUUGAAAUCAUUCGUUCCAGACUCAACAUCUUGAAGUUUGAAGAAGUUAAAGUCUAGAGACUCCUAGACUCAAACGAUCAGGAUUUUCUUUCCUUGGAAUCUCUCAAAGACUGUUAAAAAUGUCUUCCCAAAGAAAGUCUUCGAGGAUCGCAAGUAGGGGACCACAGCAAAUGCGUGAGGGGCCUACGCACUUCGAUCUCAACGAAGAAGAAGAGUUUCCUAGUCAGUAGUAAAGCCUACAACAUUCUUAGCAGUGUCCAUCUUCUCCAUCUAGACAACAGGAGGUUGCUCGACAAGAAAAGGAAGAGAUAAUUGAAGAUGCAAAACCUGUAAGAGUCUAUAAGCCUUCUUUUACCUACACGUUUUAUCGUGCUUUAAAAAGGGGUGGAACUCCUUUGAGCUACAUUGACGAAUUUCUGAAAGACAAAGGGUACAAAAAUGAAACCUUCUUUUUACACAUAAUGGAGUGUUUGGGAAUUGCCCCUGCUGGAUCAGCGGAAGAGGCAUUCGCAAAUAUCCCAAUCGAUCAUCGUGUUGGAGGGCUGAAUCAGAUAGAUGGGAAUGAUGAUGACAAGUUGUACAGUCAGUUUCAACCGAGAAUGGGUGUUGCGGCAAAAAUUCGGGGAAAAAUGACAGACUUGUUUCGAUCGGAGGAACAAAAGCAUCUAUACUCUAAGUUGUUGAAGUGUGGGGUAAUAAACCCUAGAAGUGUAGACUUUGAUUUCCUUGAUGCUGUGAAUGUUAAAUUGAGGGAAAAAUUUAGUCUUCUUCAACUUGAACAGUUCUGUUCUAACUCUACAGAAGCCUAUGCUGAACUCACUACUUAUUUCUAUUCAAAUCUUAGUUUCCUAGAUGCGAAUAGAUUCUUUUUUAGUGUCCGAGAUCAGGACUAUGUGGUGGAUGUAGAUAUGUUGGUUGAUGUGAUUGGGGUUGAGAGAGGGAGAUAUCAACCUAUCAAUGUCUCUAUUACUCGUACUACGUUGGAACUUAUUAAGGAUAAAAGAACCGAGGGAAAGGUUUCCUACUCAAGGAUGAGUGCAUUCAACAUUCUGCUUCACAAGAUUGUGAUUAAUUGCCUCAGACCAAAAUCUACUUCAAAGACUGAUGUUUCAAACUUAGAGGCAAAGCUGAUGUAUGCCAUUAAUGCAGGGAAAAAAGUUAUCUCUUCCACAUACUAUUAUGUUCCACAUGUAUAGGGCAUUGGUGAAGGACAAGGGUCAACUUCCUUAUUCAGCUCUUGUGACAAAGUUAUUCAGACAUUUGAAUGUUCAGCCUCCAUGAAUUCUUUGUGUUCGAUCGUGCGAUCAAAUGGUGGUGGGACUGAAAAUGGUCUCUAAAAUGCGUCUGAAGGAACUCAACAAGGCAUUGGAAAAAUUCAAGGAGAAAACCCCUGUUAAGUCUCAUCAAGUCUCUUCAGCUACAAAGAGAAAAGGAAAGGAGCCCAUGGUAGCUCCAUUCAAGAAAAGAAGAGCUCCCAUUGUUGAGGAUGAAGAUGAUGAGGAAGACAUCACCAUUUCUGCUAUGGCAUUGAAGAACUUGAGUCGUUCUGUUCCAGAAUCAAUGGAGAGACAAGAAAAGGACACAGAUGAGACAGAAUAGAGGACUGGAGAAAGAGAAAAUUUGGAAGCAGAGGAGAAAGAAGCAGAGGAAAGACAAACAGAGGAGAGAGAAGUAGAAGAAGUAGAUGAAGAGGAGGAAAGAAUUAAAGAAGAAGAAGAGAGAGGAGAUCAAGCGGAAACAGAGCAUGAGGAUCACUCUUCUCCACCUGAAGGCAUGGAAACAGGGGGAGAUCAUGAGAAAAGAAGAAUGUCCUCAUAUCAUGCUAUCAGUGAGGGAGUCAAUCACUCUCCAGCAAAUCCAUAGGACAUCUAUGCCUCUCAAUUUCCUGAAGAGGGACAUGAUGUUUCAUCGCCCAAUCUGCGUGACCAUGCUGAUUUGUCAUCGUCUGCCUUUACUCCAUCUGAUCGAGCAGAAGCCAAUACGCAGACUGAAAAUCAGCAUACUUUCGUAGAAUUCUUGAUGUUCUCUUGGAAAUGCGGGGUCACAUUUAUGCUCUGGGAUACGAAGUUCAGAAUUUGUAGAAUGCGGGUCAAGCUUCUUCAGUAUCCUUGAAUAAUCAGAUCCAAGCCAUUUCUCUUCAGAUUCAGGCAAAUGCUAAGGGUGAAGAUGUGGCACAACUGAAUGAGGACUUGAAAAAGCUAAAAGGCAUUGUCCAGUCAAUGGGAGAUUUCCAGCUUGUUCGUGUUCCCAAGCAUUCUUGAAUCCAUUCUUUUUCCAUCUCAACCUUUUUUAUGAUGACAAAAAAGGGGAGAGAUGCGAGAUUUGAAACUUUGAACUUAAUCUUGUUGAACUUUGGUUUUUGAACUUUGGUUUGUCUUGAUGUUUGACUUGACUUGACUUGUGUGUCUGGAUGUGGACUGAAUUUGGGAUUUGGAUUUGACUGCUUAUUGACUACUUAUAUUAAGUACUAUUGAUAUCUUAUGAAUGGCUUCACUCACAUGAAAGACUAACCUAUUUUCUGUGGUUGCAAAUUCUAGUGUUAUCAUUAAGCUAUUUAUCUUUAUAAGAUAUCCAUAUUUGCUUGAGUAAUAUUUUGCAGGUCAAAGUUAUUCAAAUCUGCAGGAAAGUUUUGUCACCAUCAAAAAGGGGGAGAUUGUUGGAGAAAUCUUCCUGGAGUAUUUUGAAGCUGACAAAACGUUUUCAUCAGUAUAGUCUGAAGAUUUGUAGACUCUACUAUUCCAAGUCUGAAGACCUCCGGACUGCCAGACUCAAGUUUCAAAGUCUAUUCUCAUUGACAGUUUCUAGACCGUUGAAGAAGGGUUAUCCAGAACUGGGUGUUUCAUUAAGGAUUUGACCUUAUCGACUGGAGAAGAUCUCUUGGAUGGAUAUGUCAUAACGGAAUCCUUUAUUUGAUCAUGAUUGAUUCAGAGAUUAAGGAUAUGAUGAUUGACGAAGUAUACUUGGAAAGUUCUACUUAUGGAAACCGAGAUCCUGAUUGUAUGGGCAAGCAUAAUUGAUGGGCUAUCGACAUGUUCCUUUAAUAGCUCGAAUGAUCUUCCUAAUUGAUUUCGUCCAAUUGGUAGAUUAGAGGAAUUCAUUUGGUAAGUGCCAACAGAUAUGAUGGUAUAAAGGAGUAUAAAAUGAAGACGUUCCAGUUGUUCGAGUGUGUGCGCGAUAGAAAAAUUCUAAAGUCUGAAGCUCUUUGUUCUUAGUCAAUUCAUUUACUGAGUGAAAUAUUGUACACAAAAGAGAGUAUAUAUUUUGAGAGACCUCGAGGAAAUGUGGUAGAGGUUCUACACUGUGGAAUCAAGGAAGAGAUUUGCUAUAACAUCUCUUUUGUUUAUAGUGAAAUCCAGCCGGUGGGCUGUCAGUGUGGAAGAGUGGACGUAGACUUGAAAUAAGCCGAACCACUAUAAACCUCGUGUUCAAUUUUCUCUUCCCUACUCUCUGCUUUACUUUGAUCAUAAUUCGUCCUGUUAACCAAAGAAGAACUUCCUUCUAUUGUCUGCUUAGUAUUGUUCUUAUAUCAUGAAAAAUUAUUUUUACACAUAUUUACCCCCCUCUAGGUGCUUAUACUAGCUAUCUCAAAAAUAAAAUAAAAAAUAAUAACAAAGGAAUUAGUGUUAAUUAAACCGUGGCGGGCAUGUGUGUUAAGUGUGCCAAAACCGCACAAUUAUUCGCGCACCCGCACGCUGGUAUGGUGGGGUCUAGCCCCACCCAAUCAUUCCUUGAUGUACACAAGGAAACCAUUCACUUAUAAAUCAGCCCACUUCUUCCCACUUUUCCUAUUUGAGACUAGAAAAACACACUCAGCUUGUUUCGACAAACAAACCUCCAACAAUCCCCCACUUUGUUUGUAAAACAAAGAUUUUAGAAUUAAAAUUUAAAAAAACAUACAGCCAAAAUUUUAGUAAGAUUAAUAUACAUACAUAAAGGUCUCUUUCGAGUUAAACCUUUAUUUAGUGCAAGUAUAUCAAAGCUCUAUCAAAGUGACAAGUAGCUCGGCUUUAAACUUGUACUUUAAUGUAAUAGAACCGGACAUACCGCAUAUACACUAACCUCUUGUUUAAGUGAGAAGUUCUAUAUUACUCCGCACUAUUUGUGGCAUCCCAAAAUUCAAGUCAUCCUCUAGAGAAAUUAAAGCCUAUAAUUAGGUAAUGAAAUUACCUAUGGUCUAUGUGUUAGCCAUUAGUUUUCUUAAGGCUAGGUGUUAUUGUGCUUGUGUUUAUGAAUUUUGAAUUUAGGACUAUAGGAUAAAUUAAUAAUCUAUGCUUGGCCAUGCACUUUAUAAAUUAAAUUUCAAUAAAUGAAAUGUCAAAAGACUUUGGCCAUGUGGAAAAUUUAAAGUUUAAAAUAUUUAUAAAAGAAAUUUUAAAAAAAAAAGAGAGGAAAAUGUCAAUUUUUAGGAUGGGCGUUAGGCCCAUUGGCCUAAGCUUUUAAUGGGCCAAGAUGGCCGGCCCAAUAGAGGCCCAAAAGGAGUGGUCGACCAGCCCAUUUGAUGGCCCAAGGUUGGCCCAAGAAGAAGGCCCAUUAACCUUGCAUGUCAUCCAACACUUGUCCUCUCCUUGUUGCCACUUGUUCUCCUCAUGAGAACACUUGUCCCCCCAUGCAAAGAGGGGAUACAUGCAAUAUAAAAGGGAAGGAAAGGAGAGAGAAUGGCUGGUUAGCCAUUCGGCCAAGAGAGAAAGGGAGAGAGAGAGAGAACCGUGCGAGAGAGAGAGGAAGAGGGUGCGGCCGAGAGAGAGAGGAAGGAGGUGGAGCCGAGGGGUUGCCGCCGUCCGUCCGCCGUGUUCGCCGCCGUACACCAUCGUUUCCUUCGGUUUAGAGGCAAGUGGAGUCCUAUAACUUCUCUUGCAUGUGUGUAUAUGGUUUGCAUUUUCGAUUUUGGGUGAUAUUUGUGAGAAAAACCGAGGUAAGGGUUGGUUGUUUUCAAGCCGUGUGACUGUUCUUGUUCGGGUUGUGUGAGUCCGAAACUUGUUUGACCUUGCAUGUGUGUUUAAAGACAGAUUUUUGCUUUGAUGUCUUCAUGGAAGUUGUAGCUAACAUCUUGUACUAUAACAUACUGAAAUUUCGUGAAAAAUGAUGGAGAUUUGAGGGGUUAAAGCCUUGUUAUACGGAGACCUCAGAUCUGUGAUGUUUUCACUGACUUCUUGUUGGAUUCUUGGUUGCAUGUUGGUUUGUGAUGAAAAUAUGACUUCGGUGUCUUCAUGAAAGUUGUAGGUAACACCUUAAAAUACAACAUACUCAAAUGUUAAGAGAAAUGAACAAGUAUAGCCUAGUAAAUCGGCUAGAUCUUGGAGACGAUGAUUCUGGUGAUGUGUUCCGAGACACCCGAGACUUAAUGGACUUAAAUGGUGAUCAUACCUUGGUUAUUUGACCUAGAUCUCUUCAUGAAACUUGUAAAGGACACCUUGAUACAUAACUAUCCGAAUUUCAGAAGAAACUAAAGAGAAUAGAUGGGUGAAAUCUUAAUAUUUCGGAGAUGUGUAUUCUGGACGAUGCGGUAAGGGUUCCAGAAGCUUCAUGAGGUUGAAUAAAAUAAUCUAUAAGAAAUUUGACUUGUAGUUCUUCAUGAAAGAUGCACGAAAAUUUCUUGGAUAUCACCCUGUAAAAUUUCGUAAUUUUUGGAGGCCGAAUGGAUAUUUUAAUUGAAUUUAUUCGGAAACUGUGCAUUUGGUUUAAAUCCGAGAAUCAUAGGAUGUUUUGGAAAAUUGUGGAAUUUGGUAAAAAUUUCAUAUUGGCCAUGAAUUUUGCAAGUAAAUAUCAUCCUAUGGGUUUGUUUAAUAAUUUCUUGGAUUUUUGUAAUCUUGGGAAAUUAUUGAUAUUAAAAUAAAAUAAUAAAAUAAUAAUAAAAUAAUAAUAAAAUAAAAUGGAUUUAUAUUUGGCCAUGGAUUCAAUUCUAUUUGUGUGGCAUAUGUGUGAUGAGGUCUUUGCACAUGUAUUGGAUUGAGAUGUAUAUGUGAUAAAGUUUUGGUAUGCGUAUGACAUGGUCCUUGUACAUGUAUUGAAUUGAGAUGUGUAUGGGAUAAAGUUUUGGCAUGUGUAUGACAUUCGAAUUGAGAUGCAAGUGUGAAUUCCAUGUCAAAUGUGAUUUGUUUGAUACCAUGCCAAUUGCCAUGUUAAAUUGAGAUAAGGAAAUGGUAUAUGUGGGUGAUGAUGCUCGGUGGCCUAGUGGCGUAAUUCCGGAGAUUCCCCGGGAGUGUCGGGAUGCCCGGUGGUAUACGGUACGUAAUUCCAGGGGAGGCCUGGUGGUAUGUCGGUACAUAAUUCCGGAAGCCCUGUCGGAGGUCUUUGCCCGAAGGGAAUGCCUCGCGAUGCCAGAUUUGGGUGCGAGAUGCCUGGCUAGAAAGGUAAAGGCCAGAUGUCCGGUUGUAUCUGGAUACAUGCCCGGAGGUUUUUCUCGCAUGGGAUGCGAGUGUAAAUAUGGGAUGAAUUGAUGAUCGAGGAAGGGUGAUGUGGUGAUCAAAUUUAAAGAUAAAGAUGAAAAUUAACUCAUGGCAUGAUAUGGUAUGAUAUGCAUGAUGAUAUGCAUGAUGAUGGUGAUGAUAUGUGAUGUGAUAUGAUGAUCACCCAUGGUAUGAUAUGCAUGAUGAUAUGCAUGAUGAAAUGAUGAUAUGUGAUGUGAUAUGAUGAUCACCCAUGGUAUGAUAUGCAUGAUGAUAUGUGAUGUGAUAUGAUGAUCACUCAUGGUAUGAUAUGCAUGAUGAUAUGCAUGAUGAUGAUGAUAAUAUGUGAUGUGAUGAUAUCAUGAUAAGGAUGACAUGUAUGAUAUAGUGAUGCCAUGAUGAUGAUUAUUAUGAUGACAUAUGAUGAUAUGAUAUGCAUGAUGAUAAGGCAUGAUGAUGCAUGAUAGUAUUACGCAUGGCUGCAAGGUAAGUUACGCCUGCAAUGCAUGUAUGAUUUGCAUGAUGCAUUGAGUUGUUAUUGGAUUCCUUUAUCUGCUGAGUGGUUGUACUCACCCCUUUUGGGGACCAACAUUUCAGAUUAGUAGAUGGUUUGAACGGUUGGAUGUGACCGUGAGGAGGAGGAUAACAAGGGAAGGAGCUUUUGGACGCUGACACGGAUCGAUGGACUUAAAGUGUAUGACUGUUUGAGGAAAUGUCGGUCAUCUUUUGGAGUGUAGCCGAAUAUAAAAGACUACGGCAUUUUGAUGUACCGAUGAAUGAUGUCCAUCUGAUUUAAGUAAAUAAAAGUGUACGGCUUUUACUUAUAAAUAUUUAGUAGGUGUGCAUCGUUUUCUGAAUAUAGGGAAGUGAGUUGUUGGACGUGCUUCCAUAUAUGAAUUGCGCAAGGGACCUUUAGUUGAAAAGAAAAAAAAAAGUGUAAACCCCCAUGGUUGUAUGGACCCGCUGCAAUUGAAAUGGUAUCAGAGUAACAUGUUAAUAGGGAAAUUGAAAGGUAGAGCGAACUGUGGCGACCCUAACGGAUCGGGGGCCGUCGAGGGGUGUCACACUAUUAUGGCCUUGUGCUUGAUCAUGUUUCAUGAGCUCUCUAGAAAGCAACCCUAACUUUCGUAAGAAGUGGCACCACUUCUAAGCUCAUAUAGGUGAAGUAUCUACCAUGUGUUUCUGUUACUAUCAACACACUACAAACUUGUAUCAUACUUUAUUAAGAAUUCAAUUCAGCCUACAAAACGUAACAGACGAUACUGACUUCUCAUAUCAGGGCUAUGUCAGUAUCAAACAAUCACAUUCAAUAACUUGUUCUUACCCAUUAAACCUUGUAACUAGUGAUGUUCUAGAAAAAUGUCGGGUUACCAUUUUUGGUGAUUUCAAUUAAAGGGUUUCAGCCCAAUUUCUUGUGAGGUCGUUAUUACCAUAUGGGCUUGGUNNNNNNNNNNNNNNNNNNNNNNNNNNNNNNNNNNNNNNNNNNNNNNNNNNNNNNNNNNNNNNNNNNNNNNNNNNNNNNNNNNNNNNNNNNNNNNNNNNNNNNNNNNNNNNNNNNNNNNNNNNNNNNNNNNNNNNNNNNNNNNNNNNNNNNNNNNNNNNNNNNNNNNNNNNNNNNNNNNNNNNNNNNNNNNNNNNNNNNNNNNNGAAUGCCGUCGAUGUGUUGACGAAGUGCGCUCUAAGGAGGGGAGGCGAUGCCUAGCUAGAUAUCAGUAGAUAGCCGGAUUGUGAGUAGGCUAUGCCCUGGUGUGACAGUGGAUAAUGAUGAUUUGGAAAUGCUUACUGUGAUUGCGAAAUUGAGUGAAAUUGAUUGAGUUCCGAUAAAUUGCCUUCUUGUCAUUACUUGUGCUUAAGUGAUAUGAAUUGUACUAACCUGCAGGGAGGCAAGAAGGUGAGGUAAGUCUUCUUGAUGUCGUGGCUAAGCUACUCUGGGGCGUAUUUACUUUCUAAUAGGGGUUUAGGAGGGGUGAACUUGCUGAGACAAAGUCUCAUCCCGGUUUGGGGAAAAAUAUUACAGGACCGUAGAUGGCGAGACCCCCGGAGAUGAGUGGCCUGCCGACGGAGAUUGACCAGACGACGGAGAGUGCUCCUGACCCUGGGAGUCCUUGGGUCUAUCAGUUGGUUAGGACCCUCAUCUGGGUCGAAGUGAGCGUGCACGGCAGGGUACCGUACAUGUUUAGGGCAUGGUUUCGUACCGGAGCAGAUGGUGUUAGGGUCGGCCCCCUAGAUAGCAUGGAUAUUCCGCUGGCAGUCUUGAAUGCCAUCCUGGGUGAAGGUGUGGCGGACCUUCCUACCGGUGGAGUGAUCAACGCCUCGCCCCCGCAAUCUUGGGUGUCAGAUCCGGAGGACGUGGGAUCGUCCAAUGGGGCUGACCUGUAGUUCUAGAGUGGUUGAUUGUUUUCUUUUUGGCGGACUAAUCCUUGCUAUGUAGGCUGACCCCCUUUUGAUGCACAUAAACUCUAACCCAUUUUUGGUGCAUAUAGCCUCCGGAUCCUGUUGAUGUAUGUAAGACUUGGAUUGUUGAUGAUGUAUGGAAUUAUGCUCGUUUGAUUUUUGAAUUAAUUCUUCCUGCUGUCCUAUCCCGCGAGUUUUUGUCAGGGGUUUUAUAAUACAUUCCGCUUGCGCAUUAAUAAAUGAAUGGGUCGGCGACUUAUCCUGGGACGUCGCAUUUGAAUGACCAUGGUGGGAUGUUGACGCGUUCGAGGUUCGGGGCGUGACAGAGUGUCUAUCACUUCCGCUUCAUCCUACAUCAUUCUUGGAGGAUCGGGGAAUGUCUCGUGAAUGCUCAGGGGUAGUGGGUUUUGCCUCCCUUGCCCUUGGUCAAGUGGCAAGCUCCGCCUUUCUUGUCUUUGUCGUUCAGAACUUCCCCCAUCUCUUCCAUGGUAUCCUAAACCAGUAGGACAGGACCUCUGAGGGGCUUCAAUGGGGCUUUGAAUGCCCUGACUAUUUCUCCCAAGACCAUUACUAGGGACGAAGCCAUUCCCAACCAUUACUCUUCCCACCAUGAGGGCAGCAUCUGAUACUUUAGGGGUAGGCGGUGAUGAACCCCGAGAAGCAUGUAUGGUGGACACCAAUUUAAAUGAGUGGUAACUUGAUUCAAAUUGGGAAUCCAGCUUUACAUAGGGGAUAUCCGUCUCAUGAUAGAUCCGGUGGUCUUCCUCACUAUACAUAGUGACCAACUUCUUUUCAAUCACAAAUUUCACAGCUUGAUGUAGACUUGAAAGCACUGCUCCAACAGUAUGUAUCCAGGGACGACCUAGCAGAAAAUUGAAUGCAGUAGGGAUGUCCAGCACUUGGAAGGGAAUGUUGAAAACGACCGGUCCUAUUUGUACAUCGAGGUGGAUUUCCCCGAUCACCUCCUUUUUUGUUCCAUCGAAAGCUCGCACCGAAGUUUUCGCGACAUGUAUCCUCGACGGGUCUACCUUGAGGCGGUGAAGAGUGGCCAAUGGAUAAAUGUUCAGAGCAGAUCCAUUAUCGAUGAGCACUCGGGACACAUGGGAAGACUUGUGCUUAACGGAUAUGUAGAGUGCUUUGUUAUGUCCCCUGCCUUUGAGAGGGAAUUCCUCAUCAGAGACGCAAUCAAAUCCUUAAGAUGACCGAUCCCAGAAUUCUUCCAGCUUGUCUGCUUUUAUAAUCNNNNNNNNNNNNNNNNNNNNNNNNNNNNNNNNNNNNNNNNNNNNNNNNNNNNNNNNNNNNNNNNNNNNNNNNNNNNNNNNNNNNNNNNNNNNNNNNNNNNGAUGCACGGGGGACGUCAUCAAGAGCUCGAGUAAGGAGAUCUGAGCGGGCAUCUUUGCGGUUGGUCAAACCACGUUAUACUCGCUUGCUUUGAUUACGGCCAAAAACUCCUUAGCUUCUUCAUCGGUGACCGGCUUUUCAGGUUGAGCACUUGCUUGACCAUCGGUCUAACCAGACCUUGUUACAAGGUCCACAUCCAGGUCAUAGGACCAAGGCACUGCCUUAUCAUUGACAUACUCAUACGGCUGAGGCACCUCUAUCACUAUCUUUCGUCGGAUGCAUCUUUUAAUGGGGGCAUGUCCACAGGCGAAGGAUCAACCUCUUUCUUGUUAGCAUCAAGUGCAGCCUGCUCCUCCUCCCAAUCGAUGAUGAGGUGGGAAAUAGUAGAAACUAUACAAUUACGAUCAGCAUACACAAUGAUACCGUCAUCCACCAUUUUGGCAACUCUUUCUCUCAUCAUUGAUAAAGAGACAUCUUCUUGACCUCGGUAAUACCCAGCUCUCACUAGCCCGUUGUGGGCAUCUGCCACGUGCACCUUUGAGUUCCUGAUCCUUCCGACUUCAGGUUCCAGGAUAGUAUUCACCGUACCCUCAUGCUUUGGUAACAUAUUUUUCUAGACGUUUGGCUAAGCAAUUUGGAAUGGAAAGGCCUUUGUGUCCAGGAGAUUUUGGAUCUUGUGCAUGAGGGUGAAACAUUCAUCAGUUGAAUGUCCCAGUUUACCGUUAUGGUAGUCACAUUUCUUUGUCGGGUCGUAACCGCAAAUGCCUUUGCGGUUAGGGCGCUUUGGUUUACUAGUAAGCAAACCCUUCUUUCGGAGGACUGUCAGCACUUGGGAUGGAGAUCCGGGGAGAGGGGAGAACUGCCUUCUAUUAUUUGCUUAGGCGAAUGAUCGACGGCCAGCGGGUUGUUGCUGUCUUGGGUUCACUCGUAUAGUCGGGGCACGUUUGGCACUUUCUUGGCUAUAAGCCAUGUUCACAUCCACGGCUGCUUCCUUCUCCUUCUUAGCAGAGAACCUUUUAGUAGAUGACUCAGAAAACCAUCAUUCCCUUAUCCCCAUCUCGAUCUGUUCUCCAACAGGAAUAAGCUGAUUGAAGCUCUCGACAUGCGUACUAGCCAUUGGGUUACGAAACUCAAAUGGAAGGGUCUUCAUGAAUAACUUCAUCAACUCCUUGUUGGUGGGCUCAGGAGUAAUUUGGGUCGCCAGGUUUCUCCAUCUCACAUCAUACUCUUUAAAUGACUCGCUCCUUUUCUUUUCCAUCCGCUCCAAGUCUUCUCGGGAAGGCGCGAUGUCCAUGUUGAACUUGUGCUGUUUGAGGAACGCGUCUGCUACUUCGUUCCAGGUUUUGAGGAGGUUUACGUUCUUCAUCACGUAUUAGUUUAGUGCGGGCCCAAUCAAACUCGCAUGAAACGAUUGGAUCAUAAGGGACUCAUUUUUGACGUGCUGGGCUAUGCGCACGUGGUACAUCUGCAAAUGAGAUUUCGAACAAGAUGUCAUGCCAUACUUCUCGAACUCUGGCAUUUUGAAGUUGCUUGGCAUUUUGACCUACUAAUAGACCGAGAGGUCGGAUGGGAGUGAGCUUUGAGACUCCUGUAGCUGUCUCACUUUCUCUUCUAGCUUUACAACGCACUCAUCCUGAUCUGCCUUGGGAACAUUGUCAAGCUUGGCCUUUUCAACAAGGACCAUGUCAUCUUCCAACUCAAGCAUUUCGUCGUCACUCAUUUAGGCCCUAUUUGCCGGCCUUGGAGCUCCAAUUUCAGGGAGAGCGGGUGCAGGAUUUGGAUUCACCCGGAAGGAUUGAAAUUGAGCUGUUAUAAGCUGCAUAGAGACAGCUAGCUGUUGGAGUUGCUCUUCCAUGGAGGACAUAUGAUCAUGCAUCUCGUUUUGGUUAGCCAUUUUAGCCUUUGAUCACGUAAUAAUGAGAGGGUGCGGAGGAUCCGUUAUUACCUAAUUUGAAUAAAUGAAUACACAUAAACACUUCAUAUAAAACAAUGCCGGUCCAUGACGAAAGUCUAACCGCUUUUAUUCAUUACUGAAAUUGUUUGACAUUAAUAAUGUAAAGAACUUGUAAAAUCUUAAACUAAUCAAGUAAACAACUCAACUUCCUAAACAUUAAGCUAAAGUAAAAAGACCGAAUAGAUUCAAGCCACUUUAUUUGGCCCGAUCUAUAAACACAUGGGAAGCCAACGCUCGAUGUAAUUGCCUCUUCUCCUUAGCGUCCUUCUUGGCUUGCUCUUCAAGUUCUUCAAUCUUCCUCUUGUGACGGUUAAGCUCCGCUUGCCGAGUGGGCUUCUCGGUCACAUUUGGCACAUUUGGGAGAUACUCGGCUGGAAUCUUGUGCUGACGAAUGUAUCGAGCUGUGGCAUAGUAAGUUUUUUCAUUCCUCUCAAGCUCAUCUUCAGGUAAGAUCAACUUUUGUUCACGACAUGCGAGCCAAGCUUGUUCGAUACAGUGAAGUUCUUUCUUGUGAUUGCCAUCCAUAACAGUGAAUUGGACUUGGAACAAACCCAGCUUGAGAGGGAGCAGUAGAUCUUGCACAACUCGAUACUGACGAGCCACUUGGAGUGGGUAGUAGGAAAUGGCACCGAUGAUCCCCAAUAGCGGGAUCGGCUCAUCAUCGCCACGAGAGAGAUGUGCUUUGNNNNNNNNNNNNNNNNNNNNNNNNNNNNNNNNNNNNNNNNNNNNNNNNNNNNNNNNNNNNNNNNNNNNNNNNNNNNNNNNNNNNNNNNNNNNNNNNNNNNAGCCUUCGUCAAUUUCUAGGUGUAAGUAAUGUACUUGACCUCACAUAGGACAAUUGUUAUGGUACCAUCUUUAAUCAAUUGUCUCACAUAUUCAUGUCUUAGACUAAUGUGUCUAGACUUACCAUUAUAGGUGCUACUAUAGGCUCUUGCCAAAGUGGCCUGACUAUCAUAAUGGAUAGAAAUAGGAGGCAUAAGACUAGGCCAUAAUUUGAUAUCUAACAACAAAUUUCUAAUCCAUUCAGCCUCUUUCCCAGCUACCGCCAAAGUAAUAAAUUCAUAUUCCAUUGUUGAGUGAGUUAUACAUGUCUGUUUCUUGCUUGCCCAAGAUACAGCACCUCUAGCUAAUGUGAAAAUCCAUCCAGAAGUGGAACGCUCAUCUCCCACACUUGUAAUCCAACUAGCAUCAGUGUAUCAUUCUAAUACAGCCGGAUAAUUAUUGUAGAACAAUCCUAAAUUUUUAGUUCUCUUAAGAUAACCAAAAAUUCUAGUAAUAGCUCUCCAAAAUUCUGUACUUGGAUUACUAAUAUACCUACUCAACUUGCAUACAAAAUAAGCAAUAUCGGGUCUAGUACAUUGCAUCGCAUACAUUAAAGACCCUAUAGCACUUGCAUAUUUUAGUUGUGCCACCGCUCUACCAGUAUUAUAAUUUAAUUUAAUAUUAGAAUCAAAUGGAGUACUUAUUUCUUUAAAACCAAGAUGUUGAAAUUUAUUUAAUAAUUUUUCAACAUAACUACAUUGGCUUAAAGAAUAACCCACACUAUUUUUCUUAACAUUAAUACCUAAGAUAAUAUCUACUUCACCCAAAUCCUUCAUUUUAAGCAUGGAAGUUAGAUACUUCUUAAUCUCAUUAAUUCCAGUAAUAUUUUUCCAAAGAUAAGCAUAUCAUCAAUAUACAAGCACACUAAGACAUCAUAGUCUUUAGUGAAUUUAGAGUAUAUACACCUAUCGGCACUACUAUUGAUGAAACCAUUUGACAAUAUGACCGAAUUAAACUUUUCAUGCCACUGCUUAGGAGCUUGCUUAAGUCCAUAAAGAAACUUAAUCAAUUUACAUACUUUUCUUUCAUUUCCAAGAAGAACAAAACCCUCCAAUUGUUCCAUGUAAAUCUCCUCAUUUAAGUCUCCAUUUAAGAAAGCAGUCUUAACAUCCAUUUGAUUAACACAAAGAUCAUAAAUGGAAGCUAGAGCAAAAAGAACUCGAAUAGAAGUUAUACGUGCAACAGGAGCAUAUGUAUCAAAAUAAUCUAUUACUUCUUUUUGUCUAUAUCCCUUAGCUACAAGCCUAGCUUUAAAAUCUUGAAUAGAACCAGCAGAAUGAUAUUUUCUUCUAAAAACCCAUUUGCACCCAAUAGGUUUUGAUCCUUUCGGUAAAUCUACUAAUACCCAAGUAUUAUUGUACAUAAUUGAGUACAUUUCAUCAUUCACAGCUUCUUUCCAAAAAGAAGCAUCUCUAGAAGAUAUAGCAUCAUUAAAGCUUCUAGGAUCAUCUUCUAAAUUUAAUACUAAAUGAUAUUUAUUUAUCACGUUAUUAUAUCCAUCUCCUUCAACAAGAAAAACAUGAGUUAUAAAAACAGGACCUAAGUCUUUUAUUUUCCUAGCUCUAGUACUUCUCCUUGGUUCAAUCAUGUCUUUAGAAUCAUUCGUUUCUUUCUCUUGACAAUCACUUUGAGUUUCCAUAGAUCUUGAAUUAUUUUCAGUAAUUUCAGAACUUGUAAAACAUAUAUUCUCAAAGAAUUCAACGUCUCUCGAUUUUACUAUGACAUUAGACUCUAAAUCAAGAAGUCUAUAAGCUUUACUAUUUUCAGCAUACCCAAUGAAAACACUUUUGAUAGCUCUAGGACCGAGCUUUGUUCUCUUAAGAUCUGGAGCUCGGUAGUAUGCCAAACACCCCCACACUUUAAGAUAUGAUAAAUUUGGCUUUCUACCUUUCCAUAUUUCAUAGGGGGUUAUGUCAUUUUUCUUGGAAGGUAUUCUGUUAUGAAUAUAGCAUGCAGUAAGUAAUGCUUCUCCCCAAAGAUUAAUUGGUAGAUUUGAAUUUGAAAGCAUACAAUUAACCAUUUCUCUAAGAGAUCGAUUUUUCCUUUUAGCUAAACCAUUUUGUUGUGGAGUAUGUGGUGCUGAAUCUUGAUGAAUAAUAUCAUAUUCUUCACAAAACGAAGAGAAUUCAUUUAAGAAAUAUUCUACACCUCUAUCUGAUUGUAGAACUUUAAUUUUCUUUUCUAAUUGAUUCUUUAUUCAGCCUUAUAUUUCAUAAACAUGGUAAAUGCUUAAUCCUUUGAUCUCAUGAGAUAAACAUAUAAGAACCUACUGCAAUCAUCCACAAAGGUAAUAAAAUACAUUUUACCUCCACGUGUUAGCAUACCAUUAAAUUCACAUAUAUCACUAUGAACCAAAUCCAAUAAAUUCGAAUUUCUUUUAACACUAGGAAAUGGCUUCUUAGUAAAUUUUGACUUAGCACAUAUUUCACAUUUAUCAAAUUCGCCAUUAAAAUUUAUCAAGUCUAAUUUUCUCAUAUUCUUCAAAUAACGAAUAUUUAUAUGUGUCAACCUACUAUGCCAUAAAAUUGAAGACUCGACAAUAUAAGAAGAACUAUAAAUAUUAUUAUUGAUACUCAGUUGAUACAUGUCAUCAUUGGCAUAACCCUUCCCAACAAACAGCCCAUUUUUCGACAGGAUAACCUUGUCGAAUCUAAACAGAAUCCGAAACCCCCUUUUACAAAGUAAAUCAAUAGAAACUAGGUUCUUCAUAAUUUCAGGUAUAAAUAACACAUUAAGAAGAGUUAUCUUCUUUCCAGAAGUGAAGUCUAUCUCCACCGUACCUUUUCCAGCAACCUUUACAAGAGCAUUAUUCACCAUCAGGACCUCUUAAACAUUUGAGUCAACAAUCUCUUCAAAUUGCUUGAACAUGUACUUGUCCUUGCACACAUGGACUGUUGCUCUAGAAUCUAUCCACCAACCGGAUUGGACAGUGGUAGAUUUAAUUUCAGAAACCAUAGCCAUCGCAUCAUUGAUUUCAGAAAUUUCCAUGUUUGAAAACAUGUUUGAAAUCAUGGCUACAUAAUUUUCUUCAACCAGAUUUGCAUCUGCUUUCACCACCGGAAUGUUCUUGUCCUUUGAAAUGCUCUUGCGGUGAAUACAAUCCUUGGCGAAGUGUCCCUGUUUGCCACAAACAAAACAGCAACCCUUUUGCUUCUUUUGUGUUCUCUUGAAUUUAUGCCCCCCGCUUUUUACUUUGAAGUUCUGGCCGAGUUUCCGUUUUUUGUCCACAGCAUUCACCUUGGAAUUGUACAAAACAGAAUUAUCAUGUAAACGUGACUCUUCCUCAAUGCGAAGAUGUUUCUGUAUUUGCUCCAAAGUAAAGUCUCCCGACUUGUGAAUCAGCCUUUUUACAUAGUCUUUCUAACUUGGAGGCAAUUUCGCAAUAAUUGCUCCAACUUGAAAAGCUUCUGGAAUAUCAAUUUUGAGGGCAUGAAUCUUAUUCACAAUCACUUGCAAUUCAUGGACUUGUUCUAGCAAGGGUUCAGUAUUAAUAAACUUGAAAUCAAAAUACUUUGUGAUUAGAUAUUUGUUGGUACAUUGCUCCUCCGCUUUGUACUUGAAUUCCAGUGCAUUUCAAAUUUCUCUGGCCAACUUUAUUUCAGUGAAUAAGUCAUACAGACGAUUGGAUAGUGUGUUCAGAAUGUUUCCUCGACAAAGUAAUUCAUCCUCCGCACGUUUCUUCUUUUCCUUAUUAACCCUCUCAAUGACUUCCGCACUUAGCUAUCCUCCCUCGACAGUAGGCUUAGGAUCUUCUAUAGCCGCCAAGAGUUAGGAUCUAGUAGGUAGGAAAUCUUCAAAGCAGUGAGUAAGAACGUCAUCUUGUCUCUCUAGCGAGCAAAAUCGUUCCCAUCGAACCGGUCCAAUUUGACCAUAUCUUGAUUCAUAACUUUGAUUGUCUCCAACUCCAUUGUAGCAAACUAAAUCCUUAAAUUUUUUGUAAAAUUAUGGCUUUGAAAUUGGGUAGAACAAUGAAAUUGGAUCGAGUAAAAAAACUCGGACUUUGAGGCCCGAUAUUACUUUCUUUAAGGAUUUAUUUGCCCCACAACGUUGCUAAUGGUCACCAGCAAAAAUCCUCCAGGAUACAACAAAGUCUCGAAUGAGAAUACUAGAUAGCAAUUCAAGUAUUUCUCCAGGGUCUCUCUAAGAAACAAUCGAAAAAUUGGCUGCUGUUUUUCAGAAAGAAGACUCGAAAAUGACCACUCUUUUUCUUUUCGAAAAAUGACAAGUAUAUAUAUGAAACAGUCUUGCAACUCUUCGUGAAAAUUGCGAACAAACACGUCUUUUUUAAUAAAUUGUUCUGAUAAACAAAUGCGACUCUUCGGAAGAAAUCGAAAACGAACAAUUGCAACCCUUCGGGAAAAGUUGAAAACCGGAUAAGUAAUUUUCCAAAUGUUGUACUGAAAGAACACAAAUAAAAUUCGGAAUAAUUUUUUUAAUAGAAUUUCGAAUUUUCAUUUUAUAUAUUUUAUUUCCGAAUUUCUCAAAAAUAAAAGAACCUUUGAAUUUACUAAAAAUUAAUAAAAAUUAAUAAAAAAAUAACAAAGGGAUUAGUGUUAAUUAAACCGCGGGUGCGUAUGCGUGUUAAGUGUGCCAAAUCCGCGCAAUUAUUCACGCACCCACACGCGGGUAUGGUGGGGUUUAGCCCCACCCGAUUAUUCCUUGAUGUACACAAGGAAACCCUUCACUUAUAAAUUAGCCCACUUCUUCCCACUUUUCCUAUGUGGGACUACUAGAAAAACACACUCAGCUUGUUUUGAUAAACAAACCUCCAACACAUACUAGAGUGACGCUUUAUUCUCCCCCAACCAAGCAUUCAAUACUAACACCGUGUGCAACACACUCUUAAGACUAAAUGCUACACAUAGAUACAAAGCUUCGGUUUGUGUUUGGUUUGGUAGCGAAGUUAAGGAACAGUAAAAUGUUACCGAAUGUUCUCACGAAAGCGAAGUUGGGGAUAAAAUGCUGGCGCGGUUGAUAUGAGUGUCGGGGAAAUCGAAGGUUUCUUGUUCAAGUUUCACCACCUACGGUUCACGAGCUUUUAUGUAGCUCGAUACCUUCACUCAUGCCUUUGCAUUAUUAUAAAACAGUUGGAGAUAUUGCGUGGGUUUCCUAAAAUUAAAAACCACACUUCUAUUGUUUUUUAUUUGGAGUUAGAGUGGAGCAAUGUUGUUUUGUUUUGGUCUAGGAAAAUAACGCAAAUAGUCAUUAAACUUCGGUCCAAUGUGUUAUGUUCUUACUGAACUUUUAAUUUAUUUAGUAUGGUUGUCGAACUUUUUGUACAUGUUUAAUUUAGAUCCUAGGCUAGAUAAAUCCAAUGAUGCUGUGUUUGAUCGUUCGAACAUCUUUGCUAUAUGGGAUAAUGAUAGGAUAAAAAUCCCAUCUAAUAUUUCUUGACGUUCGGAUAUAACAUGAUUCAAAUAAAACAAAUUAAAAUGAGUGUUUGAUUUGUAUAAUUGAAAUUAAAAAUAAACCAUGGAAGUCGUAAAUACUAUUCAUCAUUUCCCAAUCUUCAUCCAUAUCAAGCACCCCCAUUCCAUGUGACUUCAAGGACGCUCGCUCCUUCUGUAACACCCCUUUCGCUGCCCUUGAUCAACUUGAUGGAAGUCGUAAAUACUAUUCAUCAUUUCCCAAUCUUCAUCCAUAUCAAGCACCCCCAUUCCAUGUGACUUCAAGGACGCUCGCUCCUUCUGUAACACCCCUUUCGCUGCCCUUGAUCAACUUGAUGGAUUACGCUCGCUCUACCUUUUUGUUGGAGAAAUCAUCUUGAAGUGUUUUGAAGUUGACAAAACGUUUCCAUCAGUCUAGUCUGAAGACUUGCAGACUUUGCUAUUUAAAGUCUGAAGACCUCUGGACAGCCAGACUCAAGACUCAAAGUCUAUCCUCAUUGACAGGUUCUAAUCCGUUGAAGAAAGGCUAUCCAAAACUAGAUGUUUCAUUAAGGAUGUGGCCUUAUCGACUGGAGAAGAUCUAUUGGCUGGAUAUGACAUAACGGAAUCAUUUAUUUGAUCAUAAUUAAUUCGAAGAUUAAGGAUCCGAUGAUUGGGAAAGUAUACUUGGAAGGUUCUAUUUAUGGAAACCGAGAUCCUGAUUGUAUGGGCGAACAAGAUUGAUGGGCUAUCGACAUGUUCCUUUAAUAGCUCGAAUAAUCUUCCUAAUUGAUUCCGUCCAACGGGUAGAUUGGAGAAAUUCCUUUGGUAAGUGCCAACGGGUAUGAUGGCAUGAAGGAGUAUAUAAGGAAGACGUUCCAGUUGUUCGAGAGUGUGCACGAUAGAAGAAUUCCAAAGUCUGAAGCUCCUUGUUCUUAGUCAAUUCAUUUGUUGAGCAAAAUCAUGUAAACAAAAGAGAAUCUAUAUUCGUGAGAAACUUUGAGGAAGUGUGGUAGACCAUCUACAUUGUGGAAUCAAGGAAAAACUGUGAUGUAACUUCUCUUUUGUUCAUAGUGAAAUCCAGCCGAUGGGCUGUCAGUGCGGAAGAGUGGACGUAGGCUUGGAAUAAGCCGAACCACUAUAAAUCUUGUGUUCAAUUUUCUCUUCCCUAACCUUUACUUUACUUUGAUCGUAUUUUCUUUUCUAUCAUUUGCCUAGAAUCGCUUCCAUAUCUCGAGAAAUUGUUUGUGCACCUAUUCACCCCCCUCUAGGUGCUUAUACUAGUUAUCUCAAUUAGUAUCAGAGCCUGUGUACUCACUUUGUUUGAAGUGUUUUAUUUCAGAGUUAAAGAUCCAUAACUAGUAUGUUGGCUCCAGGGCUGGUAGAAGGGCAAAGCAAUACCAGACCACCUUACUUUGAUGGAAAGGAUUACAACAUAUGGAAAAACAAGAUGAAAGCGUUCCUAAGAUCAAAGGAUCCUCCGGAAUGGGACGUUGUAGAAAAAUGAAUCAUUCCUAAAGCUGCAUCUGUCUUAGAAAGAGGAAAAGAUGUUGUUGAGUCUAGCAAAAUGACUCAGGAAGAGAUAAUCAAGAGACAAGCUCUUGAUGCAAAAGUAAUUUAUUCCUUAUAUUGUGCUUUAUCCCCUAUUGAAUAUAACAGAAUAUCUUCUUGUGUUACAACUAAAGAAGUCUGGGAUAGAUUACAUAUUACCUAUGAAGGAACUGAUCGAGUGAAAGUGACUAGAAUCAACAUUCUCCUCGGUCAAUAUGAAGCCUUCAAAAUGAAACCAGGAGAAUCUAUAAUUGAUAUGUUUAGUCGUUUUACAGAAAUCGUGAAUGGUCUUGAAAAUCAAGGUCAACCAAUUUCUGAUCCCAUGAAAGUAAACAAGCUACUGCGUGGACUCUCCAAGGAUUGGAAUCACAUAAAGACCUCAAUCAGAGAGACCCAAAGAAUCAUGCCACUAUCUGUUGAUGAGUUGGUUAGGACUCUUCAGUCUUAUGAAGUGGAACGAAUCAAUGAAGACAAAGACCCUAAAGGUAAGAAAUCCAUUGCAUUAAAAUCUAAUGAUAAUUCUAAUGUUACAGAUUCUGAAGACGAUAUGGAUGAUGAGGAACUUGCUCUCAUGAUAAGAAGAUUCAGAAAGUUGAACAGAAAAGGAAGAAGAUUCAAUCCAAAGAAACAAAGUUUUCAAAAGCAAUAGACAAAGUUUGUUGAGGAUGAUGAAUCAAACAAAGAUGUAGUCUACUUUGAAUGUAAGAAAAAGGGACACAUCAGACCCAAUUGUCCUCUUCUGAGGAAGAAGAAAGGAAAAAUUGAAAAGUAUCGAAAAGCUCUUAAAGCUGAAACCUGGAGUGAUACAGAAUGUGAAGAAAGUGAUGAUGAUUAUGCCAAUAUAUGUCUGAUGGCACAAUCGGAUUCAGAUUCAAAUUCCGAGACAGAUUCAGAUUCAGAAAGCGAAUUUGAGGUAAGUAACUUCAAAAUCCCUAUUAAAGUUUCAAAAUACAUUGAUGAACUGUGUUUUAGUUUUAAGACUUCUCUUAAAAGAAUUUCCGAACUCAAGAAGGAAAAUUCUGCUCUAAAACAACAGGAAAAUAUUUUGAAAGAAAACGUGAAAUGUUUAGACAAGAAUGUUUCUUCUCUUAAGGAAAGUGAAGAUAAUCUUUUAAAAGAAAAUGCAUUCUUGCAAAGUGAUAUAUCAAAUAUUUCCAAAAGAUUUUCUAUAGGAUCUAAGAAACUGGAAAAAAUUCUCUCUGUUCAAAGACCUUAUUUCAAUAAAUCUGAUUUGGGAAUGACUGCUGAAACCAUUCCUUUAAUUGAUUUUCCUAAAGUAAAGGAAAGAAUCAAACAAAGACCCACAAGAGAUGCUUACAAAAAUCAUUUUAAAAAGAUCUUUAUAAAACCAGUAGGUCGCAAUGCUCUCAGAUGCUCAAAGUGCAAUAGUGCAGAUCAUUUUGAAAAAGAAUGUCCUAUGAUUUGGAAACCUGUUAAAAAGGUAUGGGCAAAAACCACAUAUCAUACUAACACCAAUGGACUCAAGAAAAUAUGGGUACCAAAGAAGGUUUGAGUUUCUUUUUUAAAUGCAGGUCACUAUCAAGAAAAAGGUAAAAUGGUAUCUGGAUAGUGGAUGCUCAAGACACAUGACAGGAGACUCAAAUUACUUCAUAAAGUUUGUUCGAGUAAAUGGUGGAAAAGUUUCUUUUGGAGGAAACAGCAAAGGAAAAAUUGUGGGAUUUGGAACUGUAAAGAUUGGAAAUCUCUCAAUCAGCAAUUUUUCAUUAGUGGAAGGACUUAAUUACAAUUUGCUCAGUAUUAGUUAGCUAUGUGAUACUGAUUUCAAAAUCAACUUUCAAGAGGGAAUAUGUUCAGGAAUUAAUAAAGAUUCUACUCAGUCAUUCAUGGGUUGAAGACAUGGAAAUAUCUACCUUUUGGAUGUGAAACCAGAUGAAUCGCAAUGUCUAAUCUCAAUCCAAGACGAAGCAAACUUAUGUCACAGAAAGCUUGGGCACGUCAAUAUGAAGCAAAUAGCCAAAAUCUCAGCAAAGAAGCUUGUUCGUAGUCUACCCAAUUUAUCAUAUCAAAAGUCUGAUCUAUGUACACCAUGUAUAUUGGGAAAAGAGGUAAGAAAUUCAUUUAAACCAAUAAAUCAAGUUUCCACUAACCAUGUAUUGCAGCUUCUGCAUAUGGAUCUUUUUGGACCAACCAGAACUCAAAGCAUUGGAGGUAAGAAAUACUGCCUAGUAAUUGUGGAUGACUACUCACGAUUUACUUGGGUAUAUUUCUUGGCAAGUAAGUCUGAAACUUUCUCUUACUUUGAAAAGUUUGCUAAAAAUGUUCAAAAUGAAAAAUGAUAUGUUAUCUCAAAUAUAAGAACAUAUCAUGAAGGUGAAUUUGAAAAUCAUGAUUUUACAAAAUUCUGUGAUGAAUCUGGUUUUCAGCAUGUAUUCUCCUCUCCAUAUACUCCAGAGCAAAAUGGAGUUGUGAAAAGAAAGAAUAGAUCAUUUCAAGAAAUGGCUAGAACUCUUUUAAUUGAAAGUAACAUCUCUUCACGUUUUUGGGCUGAAGCAGUUUCUACAGCAUGUUACAUUAUAAGUAGAGUUUUUCUAAGGCCUAUUCUGGAAAAAAAAACCCCUAUGAACUAUUUAAAGAAAAGAAGCCUAUUGUUUCAUAUUUUUAUGUAUUUGGAUGCAAAUGUUUUAUACUGAAAAAUGAAAAUGAUCGAGUUGGUAAGUUUGAAGAAAAAUCAGAUGAAGGCAUCUUCCUUGGAUAUUCAACCACAAGCAAAGCGUACAGAGUUUACAACAAGAAGACUCAAACAGUGGAAGAAUCAAUGAAUGUUAAAUUCCAAGAUUCUAUGCAAAAUGAAUCCAUUCAAACUCAUCUUGAAGAAUCUGAACCUGCUUCAGACUCUACAAAGUCUAAAAUAGCUCAGACUUUGAAGGACCAGCAACAAGUGACUAUUGAAGAUUCAAGUGAAGGAAGUGACCAUCAGUCUGACAAAUUAACCAGCAACUGGAAACAUAAGUCCAGUCAUCCCAAAGAUCGUAUUAUUGGUGACAUCAAUAAAAGAAUUCGCACAAGAUCCAAAUGGCGCGGAGAGUCUAGUCAUGUGGCUCUUAUUUCUGAAAUAGAACUCAAAAGCAUAGAAGAAGCUUUAUCUGAUGAAAGUUGGAUUAAAGCUAUGCAAGAAGAGCUCAGGCAAUUCAGUAUUAAUGAUGUAUGGGAAUUGACUCCUAAACCAAAAGGUAAGUCUGUUAUUGGAGCUAAAUGGGUUUUCAGGAACAAGAUGAACGAGAAAGGAAAAGUCAUAAGAAACAAGGCAAGACUCGUGGCCAAGGGAUACACACAAGAAGAAUGGAUAGACUAUGACGAGACUUACGCACCAGUAGCAAGGUUAGAAGCAAUUCGAUUAUUACUUGCUUUUGCUUGUUAUAAGAAUUUCAAGUUAUUCCAAAUGGAUGUCAAAAGUACCUUCCUAAAUGGAUUCAUCCAUGAGGAUGUCUAUGUGGAACAACCACCUGGGUUUGAAGACCCAAGGAAACCAGACUCAGUAUUCAUACUCAAAAAGGCUUUAUAUGGCUUAAAACAAGCACCUCGAGCUUGGUAUGACAGACUGAGUAAGUUUUUAAUUGAAAAUGGAUUUGUUAAAGGUAAAGUAGACACUACUCUUUUCAUUAAAAGAGAAAGCAAGAGUUUUCUACUUGUUCAAAUAUAUGUCGAUGAUAUUAUUUUUGGAUCCACUAAUGAAAGUCUGUGCAAGAAAUUCUCUAAGACUAUGCAGGAUGAAUUUGAAAUGAGCAUGAUGGGUGAGUUAACCUUCUUUCUUAGACUUCAAGUGAAACAACUGAAUGAAUGAACUUUUAUUCAUCAAGAAAAAUAUGCUAAUGAUAUUGUGAAGAAGUUUGGACUGGACAAUUGCAAAAAGGCCGAUAUACCAAUGUCAAGUUCCUUGAAGAUAGAUAAAGAUAAAAGAGGAAAGAAAGUCGACCAAAAGUUAUACAAGAGUAUCAUCGGUUCACUUAUUUAUCUUAUUGCUUCUAGACCUGACAUUUUGUUUAGUGUUUGCAUUUGUGCCAGAUUUCAAGCAGACCCUAAAGAAUCACGUUUAAAUGCUGCAAAGCGUAUUAUCAAAUAUAUUGCAUCAACUUCAAGCUUUGGUCUUUGGUAUCCUAAAGGGGGAGACUUUACUCUUCUUGGGUACUCAGACGCAAACUUAGCCGGAUGCAGAGUUGAUAGAAAGAGCACCUCAGGUACCUGUCAACUACUUGGAGGCAAGACAGUGUCUUGGUUUUCAAGAAAGCAAAGUACAAUAGCUCUCUCUAUAGCAGAAGCAGAAUAUGUAGCUCUUGGAAGUUGUCGUUCACAAAUUCUGUGGAUAAAGCAACAGCUAAAAGACUUUGGAAUUGAAGAUUCAUGCACGGAGAUUAAAUGUGACAACACCAGCGCAAUUAAUCUCACCAAAAAUCCAAUUCUUCACUCAAGAGCAAAGCAUAUAGAAAUUCGACAUCACUUCAUUAGAGAUCAUGUUCAAAAUGGAGAAAUUACGAUUCAGUUUGUUGACUCAAAGAACCAACUGGCGGAUAUAUUUACAAAGCCUUUGGAGAAAAAUCAAUUUGAAAUUAUCCGUUCCAAACUCAACAUUUUGAGGUUUGAAGAAAUGAAAGUCUAGAGACCCUCAGACUUAGACAAAUAAGACUUUGACUAUAAGUUAUUCUCUCUCUCUAAUCUCAUCUUGAAAAGGCACGUUCAUCAAUCGUGUUUGAUUAUUGUUAUCUCAACCGCUAUCUUUAAUUAAUGAGAUUAUUGCAUCGUUUCCUUUAGAAAAAGGAGUUAUUUUGAAAUGACCAUUUUUCGAAAAAGGCAGUUAUUUUUUUAAAAAGGCAUCUUUUCACUUUCCAUUACGACGAUUGGUAUCCCCUCCUUUCGACUGUCUUAUAUACAGUCGGUUUCUCUUUGCUUAACUCCAAAACCCUAAAAAGCAUCAAUCUUCCAUUCCUGUUUUCUUCUCUUGUUUAAUCUUUGAAAAAGUUGUCAUCUUUCUUGGGAAAGUCAAGCAAAGAAUCUUUCAAAGACUAAGAAAGAUUUCGUAUUCAAGAAAGUCUUCAAGGAUCGCACGCAGGGGACCACAGCGAAUGAGUGAGGGGCCUACGCACUUCGAUCUCACUGAAGAAGAAGUGUCUCCAAAUCAGCAGCAGAGCCCACAACAUUCUCAACAGCGUCAUUCUCCUCCAUCUAGUCCUCAAGGUGUUGUUCAUCAACAAGAGGAAGAAAUCAUUGAAGAUGCAGAUCCUGUAAAAGUUCAAACGCCCUCUUUUAUUUAUAAGCUGUAUCGGGCUUUCAAAGGGACUGGUACUUCAUUGAACUAUGUCGAUGAUUUUCUUAAGGACAAAGGAUAUGGAAAUGAAUAUAUCUUUUUGCGAAAAAUUGAAAGUUUGGGAAUUGCUCGUAAAGGGGUGGCAGAAGAAAGCCUUGCGAAUAUCCCAAGUGAUCCUCGGGAUUGGGGAUUUAAUCCGGUAGAUGGAAAUGAUGAUGACAAAUUAUACAGCCAAUUUCAACCAAGAAUGGGAGUCGCGGCGGAAAAUCGAGAAAAAAAGGGAGAGUUGUUUAGAUCGAAGGAACAGAAGGAUCUAUACUCAAAACUGUUGAAGCGUGGGGUGAUAAACCCUAGGAGUGUGGAUUUUGAUUUUCUGGAUGCUGUGAAUGUGAACUUGAGGGAAAAUUUCGGUCAUCUUCAACUUGAAAAAUUUUGCUCUGACACCACAGAGGCCUAUCCUCAACUAACUGCAUAUUUCUAUUCAAAUCUUAGUUUUUUGGAUGCGAAUAGAUUCUCCUUCAGCGUCAAAGAUCAAGACUUUGUAGUAGAUAUGGAUAUGCUAGCAGAUGUGUUAGGAGUGGAGAGAGGAAGAUAUCAACGGAUCAAAGUUUCUAUUGCUCGUACUACACUGAAACUUGUUAAGGACAGGAGAACAGAGGAAAAGAUUUCCUAUUCAAGGAUGAAUUCAUUCAACAUCUUGCUGCACAAAAUUGUAAUAAAUUGCCUCAGACCAAAAUCAACUUCCAAGACUGAUGUCUCAAGUUCAGAGGCAAAGCUAAUGUAUGCCAUCAUCACUGGGAAAAGGUUUUCACUUCCUCACACUGUUAUGUUCUACAUGUAUAGAGCUGUGAUGAAGGACAGAGCUCAACUUCCUUAUCCAAGUCUUGUGACGAAGUUAUCCAGACAUUUGAACAUUCAGCCUCCGCAAAUUCUUUGUGCUCGAUCGUGCGAUCAUAUGGUGGUAGGAUUGAAAAUGGUGACCAAGAUGUGUCUGAAGGAACUAAGCAAGGCAUUGGAGAAAUUUAAGGAGAAGACUCCAGUCAAAUCUCAUCAAUUCUCUUCUAUAGGAAAAAGGAAAGGGAAUGAGCCCAUGGAUGCUCCAUCCAAGAGAAGAAGAGCUCUCCUCGUUGAGGAUGAAGAUGAUGAGGAUAACAUCACCAUUUCUGCAAUGGCUUUGAAGAAUCUCAGUCGAUCUGUUCCAGAGAAAGAGUCAGAACAGCAGAUAGAAGAAAGAGCAGAGAAAGAAGCAGAGGAAAAAGAAACGGAGGAAAGAGAAGAAGAAGAAGAAGAAAGAGAUGCUGAGAAAGAGAGAGUUGAAAAAGAAGAAGAAGAGAAAAGAGAUCAAGAAGAAGGAGAAAAUGAGGAGCACUCUCCACCUGAAGGCAUGAACACAGGGGGAGACCAAGAGAAAAGAGGAAUGUCCUCAAAUCCUGUAACCAGUGAGGGAGUCAGUCAAUCCCCAGCAGAUCCAGAGGAUAUUUAUGCCUCUCAGUUUCCUGAGGAAAGUCAUGAUGUUUCUUCGCCAAAUCUGUGUGAUUAUGCUAAUAUACCAUCGUCUGCAUUUACUCCAUCAGAUCGUGCCAAUGCUAGUAUGCAAACCGACAAUUCAGUAGACUUUCGCAGAGUAAUGGAUAUUCUCUUGGAGAUGCAAGGUCAGAUAUAUGCAUUGGGAUGCGAAGUUCAGAACUUGCAGAAUGCAGGACAAGCUUCUUCGGGUUCAUUGAAUGAUCAAAUCCAAGCCAUUUCUCUUCAGAUUCAGGCUAAUGCUAAGGGUGAGGAUGUUGCACGACUGAAAGAAGACUUGAAAAGGCUAGAAGGCAUCGUUCAGUUGAUGGGAGAUUUCCAGCUUGUUUGUGUUCCCAAGCAUUCUUAACUCCAUUUUCAUCUCAAUCUUUUUUAUGCUGACAAAAAUGGGGAGAGUUGCGAGGACUUGAAAAACUUUGAACUUAAAUUUGUCGAACUUUUGGCUUGUUUGGUUUGUGGUUUAUUUUGACUUGACUUGUGUGUCUGGAUGUGGACUAAAUUUGGGAUUUGGAUUUGACUACUUAUUAUUGAUUUCUUAUGGAUGGCUUUAUUGCAUACUGGACUAACCUAUUUUCUGUGAUUGCAAGUUCUAGUGUUAUUCAUUUAGCCAUUUAUCUCUAUAAGAUAUGCAUAUGUGUUUGAGAAAUGUUUUGCAGGUCAAAGUUUUCCAAAUCUGCAGGAAAGUUUUGUCACCAUCAAAAAGGGGGAGAUUGUUGGAGAAAUCCUCUUGAAGUGUUUUGAAGUUGACAAAACGUUUCCAUCAGUCUAGUCUGAAGGCUUGUAGACUCUGCUAUUUAAAGUAUGAAGACCUCCGAACAGCCAGACUCAAAAUUCAAAGUCUAUCCUCAUUGACAGGUUCUAAUCCGUUGAAGAAAGGCUAUCCAGAAUUGGAUGUUUCAUUAAGGAUGUGGCCUUAUCGACUGGAGAAGAUCUCUUGCCUGGAUAUGACAUAACGGAAUCCUUNNNNNNNNNNNNNNNNNNNNNNNNNNNNNNNNNNNNNNNNNNNNNNNNNNNNNNNNNNNNNNNNNNNNNNNNNNNNNNNNNNNNNNNNNNNNNNNNNNNNNNNNNNNNNNNNNNNNNNNNNNNNNNNNNNNNNNNNNNNNNNNNNNNNNNNNNNNNNNNNNNNNNNNNNNNNNNNNNNNNNNNNNNNNNNNNNNNNNNNNNNNNNNNNNNNNNNNNNNNNNNNNNNNNNNNNNNNNNNNNNNNNCCAGUUGUUCGAGAGUGUGCCACGAUAGAGAAUUCCAAAGUUUGAAGCUCAUUGUUUUAGUCAAUCAUUUGUUAAGCAAAAUCGUGUAAACAAAGAGAGUCUAUAUUCGUGAGAAACCUUGAGGAAGUGUGGUAAACCAUCUACACUGUGGAAUCAAGGAAAAGCUGUGCUGUAACUUCUCUUUUGUUCAUAGUGAAAUCCAGCCGGUGGGCUGUCAGUGUGGAAGAGUGGACGUAUGCUUGGAAUAAGCCGAACCACUAUAAAUCUUGUGUUCAAUUUUCUCUUCCCUAACCUUUACUUUACUUUGAUCGUAUUUUCUUUUCUAUCGUUUGCCUAGAAUCGCUUCCGUAUCUCGAGAAAUAGUUUGUGCACCUAUUCACCCCCCUCUAGGUGCUUAUACUAGCUAUCUCACUUUUGACUUCGCCACAUUGAGAGGCCCUUGGGUUUGAGUUCUCCGCUGGUCUAGCCAUCUUUACUUUCAACGCCUUUUCUUGCCUUUUCCUACGAUGAAUCCAUCCCCUUCGACGAGUGUCAAUACUGCAUUGAUUCCCAGUUACCGUGCCCCGACUUGUUCAGUCGCUUCAACAGCUUCCCCCGAGACAGCGUGCGGAUCCGGUUUGUGAGUGGUAGCACCAUCGGUACCACUCGCUCCGAGUGACGUGGUUGAGGAGCUCUAUCGCCUUGGCUGCCCCCUCUUUCAGAUCAUCUUCUUCACAGAGAAGAUGUCCAGCUUUGAUUGGGAUCACAAAGUUCCCUACUAAAAUGGAGUUAAGUGACAUAAGAAAGAGGCAGGGCUGACGAGCUCCGAUGCCACUUUUCCAAGGCAGCCAAAGGUGGUAAGCAGCUUGUCACUGGUUGUGACAGUCUGAUUUUUCGCUUCUGUUUUCAAUUAAUUCGGGCUUUUCGUCGACGUGCCUAUAGCGCUAUUCUCUGAGCUGAUCACUCAUGAGAUAACUUGACUAAUCGGGAAAGUUAUUAAAGAAUUUUGGUGCAACAGACUUGAAAAUUCGACCAGGAAUCGACUGCUCGACCGUGUUAGUCUACAAGGAUCAGUUCGGCACAGUCGAAAAUCUAUCAGAAAUCGGAAAUAGGUCGAUUCGAUAGAAAUAAAAUUAGGCUUGGGUGAUUCCAACUAAUUUACAAAUUUCUCGUCGAUCGGCACUAAACCGAUUUUUCUGUUGUUUUGGUACCCUGUGCUCGUAAUUGAAAUCUCGAGAUUUUUCACGACAAUCGAGAGUUGCUAAUGCGUCGAAAAUAUAUAUCGUGGCUCGGGAAUAAUCGACCACGGGUCAGUGCACCAAAAGUUCCCAAAAACUAACCGAUAGUUUAAGUUGUGCUAGAAAUCACAUUUUGACUGAAAUUAACCGAGGAAAUGAUGUCGAUUACAGAAAUUAAGAAUUGUCACAUGUCACAAUUCAUCCCAAGGACAUUGUUGCGUCUUCUCAAAAUUUACGGAUGAUGGGAAUUGCUCACGAAAUAUGCAAGAUCAGCAAAUUAGAAGAGCAAGGGAAUUGCCACAUUUUAAGUAGGAUUUUAAGACCUCUAAUGUGAAACAAUUUAAGAGGCAUUAUAAUUGGUUACUAAAGGACUUGACCCUAUUGAAUGGGAUAUUAGAUUGGUAAUUAAAUAAAAAGAGAGGUCUCCUCAAAAAGGAAAUUCGUAGGACUCCCUCUCUCCUACAACCUCACCUCAAUUUCCCUUGGUAUUUAAUGAAAAUUGACUUGAAAAGAUAGGGGGACCACUUGAUAAGGAAGAAACUCAUUCUCCAUGGAAAAGACUAUGAGAGUCACUUCAAAUUCGNNNNNNNNNNNNNNNNNNNNNNNNNNNNNNNNNNNNNNNNNNNNNNNNNNNNNNNNNNNNNNNNNNNNNNNNNNNNNNNNNNNNNNNNNNNNNNNNNNNNAAAUGUUUCAGCUAGAAUAGUAUUGACAAAACUUAUCCUAGCACACACUUGUUUGACCACCCAUGCGACAAAAGGAUUAAUGGCGCCCUUACGAAGAGGGAAAAUAACAAAUCUGAAAGAAGCUAGGAGGAAAAUCCUACUUUUUAAGAGAGUGUUAGCACUAGUAAAACUCUGAUCUAGAAAAGAAAAAUGACAUGCAAGACAAUUAUCUUUCAGCACUCUUUUUAUCAAAUUCUUAUCCAUCUUAAGAAAAUUUGACAAAAUUGAUUUUGGUUCUAAUCCGAUGGGUGGAUUUAUUAAUUCCAAUUCCAAGGGUUUUCCUAUGGCAAUAUUGUAUUCUUCCAGAGUUGGAGUCAGCUUAUGCUUACCAAAUAUAAACGUUGAUGUUCGGGGGCUCCAGAAAUGAGCAAGUGCUUGCAUGACGCCACUCUAGACAUCAAUGUCAAGGAGGGGAACAAUGCGACCAAGUCUGCUCUCUACAUAGCUUUGGUUCUCGUGGCCUAAACAAUCCCACCAUGAUUUGAGUUCAACCUUUGGUGCAGGCACGAAUCGAAUGUCGGAUCUUCCCAUUGUUUAUAGACCAGGACUCGACCAACCUAAUGUCAUGGACCGACCAAAUACAUAAAUAAGUAAAUUGCAAGAGUAAAGGAUAGAGAGCUUACUUUACCAUACGAUUAAAGCCAUCACAUAGACAGUGCAUGAAAGUGUAAGGCUCAAUUUCUAUAUAGAUGGGCUUAGCAAAGUGGAGUUAAAAGGGUGGGAUGACUUAGUUGCAGUCUCGCAUACUAAGUCAAGUCUUCCUAACUCCGGGCUUAGUCGAGAAUGAUACCCCAAUGCGACGGAGCCUCGCGGGAAAAGGUAAACAUUCUUAACACCAAGAAAAACUUUCGGAAUGGAGUUGGGCAACUUCUACUACGCGGCCUCGCGGUUGAAGUUGUAUCCAACUCAAUACCAUCCUAAGUGUCCUAGUGCGGCCCAGGUCUGGCGGCAGGUUGUGUGUGCAAAAGUAUAGUAUAAAUGCAAGACAUACACAACAGUUUAAAUCAAGCAACAGUUCAAUAACUUGAAUUUAAAACAUUCAUCCCUAACUUCAACCUGCAAGACAGGGGUUAGCAAAGACUACUCCCCUUAUAUCUCCCCAUCUGCAAAAAUAUUUAACACCUUAAAUAUUAGGGACGUACCUGGAAUCCUCGUUGCCAAACAAAAACAUUUUUCAUAAAGAAGAAAAUUGGCCUAAGUCCACUAAGUGUUUUAACACAAGUCCCCAACGGAGUCGCCAAGUUGUCGCGACCAAUUUUUCGGGGUGUGAACUACCUAAAAAUUGGCUAAUGGAUUGUUAAGGCUAAACUUAACUUAGGCUCUCCCAAGCUCAUACCAAUUCACGACUUAGGUUUAAGUUCUUAUCAUGCAAUUGAUUUUUUAACCAGGAAUCGCCACUAAUCUAUUUUUUGGUGGGUCGAUUAGAAACCCAAGUAAAGUAAUGGGAGUUUCACUUUACUCCUACAAACCAAAUAUUAUGGGCACGGGGACUUGGUUACACUAGAUUUCUUUAAUGCCCAUUCGGUACCACUUCUUUUUAAUUUUCAAAAAUGUUUUUUGCAGGCAAUUUAAACUGAUGUUAAAUCUAAUUCCAUAACAUGUGAAAUGAUCAUGCGGAUACCCAAUUCACCAAUUUAACACCUGGAUAAACAAUAAAUAAAUUGCAAAAACUUACCUCAAAGCAACAAAAUCAUCUGCAAUGUUAAAUUAAAAUCCACAUCAACAACCCUAGAUAUGGUUUCUAAUUAACACGUAAUUUCUUUUUGUUUUCACUUAAUUAAUGAAAAUCAUGCAAUAUGCAAUGCAACAUUAACUAAAUGACCUAAUUCUAAUGACAUGUAAUUUCUAAUUAAAUGGGCCAAGCAAAAAUACUAAAUGACAUUCAUCUUAAUGAAUCUAAACCUAAUGACGUGCAUAUGACAUUUUUUCUUUUUCCUAAAAGAAUGCAUUUUAUCCUAAAUAAUAAAACUAAUUUAACCUAUGACAUUUUUUGUAUUUUUUAUGAAAUUCGAAAUUAGAAAAUUGUGAAAAUUAUCUAAUUAGAUGAAGAUUCUAUUCAAUUUGUAUUAGGAAUUAGGUUGAACUAAAUCCUAAUUUAAACUAAAAUAUUAUCUUAACCCAAAUAAUCCUAAAAUGCAAUCUAUUCAAGAAAAUACCUAAACUUAUAAUAAAUUAAGAAAAGUAUUAUCUAAAACUAAACUAAGUGCAGUUUUACCCUAAUAUGCAAUGAUAUACAAAACAUGCCAUAAUUCUACAUGACAAAUGCAGGAUGAUUUUUUUGUUGUUUUUCCUUUUUUCUUUGUUUUUUAUUUUGAAAUUAAUAAUUGCCAAAUAAUUAAACAUGCAUUCCAAGUUUAAAGAAAAAAAAAUAGCAACCUAAAUAAAUUGAUUUGACUUCUUUUUUAUUAUUUUUAUUAUUUCUUUGAUUUUUAUUUUUUAUUUUUUAAAAAUUUCGAAAUAAUAAAACUCCUAUCCUAAACAUGCAAGAUAACCCUAAACCAUGCAAUAUUCUAAUUCAAACAUAUUUCAAAAUAAACAAAGCAAUCGAGACAAGCCAAACCAUAGAUAUCAUACAUUGUUCAAAUCAAGGGAUAGUAUUUCGCUAGUAAAAUCGAUAGAUUAAUCUUAAGCCUUAAAGAUCAAAAUAUCAAUUUCAUUCUCGCUUAAUUAAUUAUUUCAUCUAAAGCCUUAUAGAUAAAAUAAAAAAAUUCAAAUGCGGUUGUGAAUCAGGUGGCACAUCAUAAUUUCUAAAUAUGCAUUGGGAAACAUUUCGACUAAAGAAAAGCAAGAAAUAAAUAAAAUAUAGAUAAAAUGAAUUUGCAUAAUAAAAUAAAGUAAAUCUACCUAAUUUGAUUUUUUUUUCUUCCAAAACAGAGUUUGGCAACUGGUUCGGAGCUUUGGGGCUGGAAGUCAGGUGUUGGUGCAGACACGAGUAAGGCAAGCAGCGGUAGCGUGGGCACGAAGCUAGCUGUCGGGCACCGAGGAGAGGUGAGCAGCGACGGUGCGAGCUCUAGCGGCAUCGGGUUGCGGCAGGGACAGCGGCACGGCAGCGGCUGAGCGUCAGGUGGAGAUGAGCAGGGGCGCCAAGACUCCUGGUGCUGCAGAUUGGCGACGGCAGAGGCGGAUCAAAGGUGUUCGGGUCGCAACUGUUGUGCUCGGGCUGCUGCAAGUGACGGGGUUGUACUAGUGUUACGCGGUUGCAGAGGCGCGGGUCGUCACAGGCAAAGGUCACCGGCAAGGGGUCACUGCAGUUGUUGCGAGCGAGCGGCAGCAGGAGGGAAGCAGCAAUAGUGGCGUCGGGCUCUAGUGGUGCCGGUCGCGGCUAAAGCAGGGAACAUCAAGAGCUGGGUUGCAAGUAAAUCUCGGGCACGGGUGUCGGGGAGCUCCGCAGGUGUCGGCGGGGGCAGAGAUGCGGACGGAGCGGCGAGACCGGUGGCGCAGCGUGGCGGAGGUGAGCGGACCAGCAAGGUGGCGAGGCGCGGUGGUAUCCGGUGUGGCACGGAUUGGCGCAAUCGAGGGGGUCUUCUCUGUUCUAAACCAAAACCCCCACUUUUCUGACUUUGACCUAAAACAAAGAAAUCCAGAAAAAAAAAAAAAGACAACUUUUCCUCAAAUUCUUUUUCUCUCAAUUCUCUUGAAAAUUCCCCCAUUUUUCUUUUCAUUUUUUCGUUUUAUUUGUUCCGAUGCAAUUUUUAUUUUAUUUAUUUUCCUAAAUUUGCUAAAAUUAGGUGUAAACAGAAGGUUUAUUUAGCCUAACUAAAUGGGAGGCUAUAUCAAUGGGAGGUUUUUCAUUGUAACAUUCCCUUGUGCUUGGAAUUUGUAUUUUAGUAAAGGAUUUUAUUAGCAUAAUAGUCUUUGAAUUAUUAUGAGAAUAACAAUUUAUUAUGAGUCACAAAUUUUUAAAGUAAUGAACCCCAUAAUAAUUUCAAUUAUUUGUUAUUUGAUUUUUUGUAGUUUGGAAUAAAAAUUAUCACCAAAUUAUUUCUUUUUAACAAAUAUAUUGCUUAACUGUUGUUUUCAAUUAAGUUUGCAUCGGAGAAGAGAUUACUUUGUUUUGCUACGCUUGUCGGAUAUUGCACAGGAUAUUGUCAUUUUCUUAGCACUAGCAACGUUGCGUUCAGACAAGGCGGCAUGGAAUUAUUUGCUUAGCUGCACAUCGCACGACCAUACAUUCAUGGACUGUUCCUCAGGAAAACAUAUAGACAUGUGGCAGAUGCAGAACAUUUCACGAGAUUAAAAAAAAAAAGAAAAUAAUUUUUAAAAAACAAUACUUUCGACUUCAAAACGUGUUAAUCGAACGCCUGCUACUCCCGCCAAUAAAGCUCAGCUCCCCCAACGGCUUCGUUGUCGUCUCGAACUGUCCAUUCUCCAUUCUCUGUUCUUGCAUCGACCUCGGGCUAGACGAUGGUGGCAAUGGCGUCGUCAGACGGUGAGGAGGAUCGAGUUGGGGUCGUAGGGUCUCAAGGUCUCGGCACAGGGGCUGGGCUGCAUGGGCAUGUCUACUUCGCCAGCCCUCCCGAGCCCAACCCCGACACGAUCGAGCUUGUCCACCACACCGUUGAAUCUGGCGUUGCCUUCCUCGACACCUCCGACAUCUAUGGCCUUAACGCCAACGAAGUCCUCCUUGGAAAGGUCGGUAUUUUAUUUUGUAGAUAUAAUUGAAGAUCUUCAUCAUGAUGCCAAUCCUAUUUGCGGACUAAUUGAUUUGGUCAAUUUGUAAUUGUUUAGUGAAUUUGAAAUUUAUAAUUCUUUAUAUAUUAUUUAAUUUUUUCUCUUUCAUUCCUACACUAUAAAUAGACCAAUGAACUAAUAUACAGAUUAAUCAAUAUAUAAUGAAAUUUUCUUCAUUUUCUCUAUUAUUUUCUAUCAUGCUGUCAGUGUCGUUCUUCCUCACCUAGCUUCCCAUAUCUUAGAGUUGCCUUUCUUUUUCUCUUGGGUUUUUUUUUUUUUUAAUUGCAAGUCCUCAUCCUGCAAUACAAAUCAGCAAAUCGAUUAGGAAUUCAAUUUAUUUAUUUUUUUCGAUAUCAAGGCAAAAAUUAAGAACACUGAGAGCUCCACUACCUCACCUCAAAAUCAAGCCCCAUCACCAUCGGAUUCGAUUAUGAUUUGGGACAAGAUAUUUUAAUCAUUUUGAGAUAAUCUUUAACUGAUCAUGCUCUUCUAGAUACACAGCGAUUGCGCACUUCCAAAUGCUUAUUAUGUCAAGUAACAUGACAAUCUGAUGGCAUGCAAUGCAACCAAUUUUGCCCUCGUUGAUGUAGAAUUUGGCGUUAAAAGGAAAAUGAUAGUUGCUCGUAUGCUCUCUGCUUAGACAUUGCUUUAUGUUAUGAACUACCUACCAAGGUUGCGGCCAGAGAACUAAGCUCACAACGCGAAGCUAUUCGACCAAGUGAAUGGAAUUGCACAAAGAAAGGGAUGCACCCCAUUGCAGUUACCCCUCGCCUGGGUACACCACCAGAGUGAUGACAUUUGCCCGAUUCCUGGCACGAUCAAGAUCGAGAAUUUCAACCAGAAUAUUGGAGCUCUGUCAGUGAAGCUUUCACCAGAAGAGAUGGCCAAGCUCAAAUCGAUUGCUUAUGCGGACAAUGUUAGAGAAUUGAAACCACAUUUGAUACUAAAUUAUGCCUAGGUAGGAAUUCAAAACUCCACCUCCCGCUUUUCAUGUGGGAAGGUUGGCCCCACCUCGCGCUUAUGGAAAGAGUAAUCACGAAGACACCACAAUAGUUCAAUUGACGUGAGCAGGUACGUCUUCCCUACAUGGUAAGGGUCGUCACUGGGCGUGCAAUUGACGUAAGCACGUGCGUCUUCACAGCCACUAUCGCUCCCCUCCCACUCUUCGUAGCUUCUGCCACUCCCCUCCUAUAAAUCUCGGCUCGCCCGACGCCUUCGCCAUCGUCUCGGUGCAGUGCAGGGAACCAUCGAGCUCGAGCUAGACUACGGCAAUGGCGGCAUCGACGACAACGGUGAGGAGGAUCAAGCUGGGGUCGCAGGGCCUGGAGGUGUCGGCGCAGGGGCUGGGCUGCAUGAGCAUGUCCGCCUUCUAUGGCCCUCCCAAGUCCGAGCCCGACAUGAUCGCCCUCAUCCACCAUGCCGUCGGCUCCGGCGUCACCUUCCUCGACACCUCCGACGUCUACGGUCCUCACACCAACGAAAUCCUCCUCGGAAAGGUCGUUCUCUCAGUCUCUCUUUUGCCUCUGCAUGAAUUAUUAUAUAUGCUUAUGGUUUUACGGAACUUAGCUUCAUCGAGCAGGAUGCUCUGAUCCUGCGCCUUGGUUUUCUGAUUUCGGGGUUGAUUUUGAGCAGGCACUGAAGGGAGGGGUGAGGCAGAAGGUGGAAUUGGCGACCAAGUUCGGAGUCAGAUUCGCGGACGGGAAGAGGGAGAUCCAGGGCGAUCCGGCGUACGUGAGGGCUGCUUGCGAGGCCAGCUUGAAGCGGCUCGACAUCGAUUGCAUCGACCUCUACUACCAGCACCGUAUCGACACUCGCGUCCCCAUUGAAGUCACUGUAUGGAUCCCUUAUCAAACUUUCACCUCGCUUGAGACUUUCUCUGAGCCAUAUGAUGCAUCGUCAUGUUGUUAUAAGUCUGUUGAAUUUUGUUAAAUGACACUUAAGUUCAGCUGAUAGCAGAGUUCAAGAUGCGGCACGGUGUUGUUCAAGGGUUGUGAAAUUUAGUAGUUUAGUGGCUUGAGUUUUCGUUUUGUGGGAAUCUUUUACAAGUUAAGGGUCAACAAGCGUGGAAAUUAUUCGAAAUCUUCCUUUAAGAUGAAAGUGCUCCGGGGUUCAUCCUGAAUUUAUAUACGGGAAUCACAUAUAAAGUUGUUCCUGGACUUUAUACGGAGACAUUUGAUUCUUGACAUAUUGUGAAAUAUGACAAGUACUUGGAAUACUUCUUUUAUUUGCUCUCUUCUGUGAGAGAUUCAAGAAAUCUACCUCCGUUAACUCAAUACCUUAUGGGUUUUUUGUCGCAUUGAGAUGCAUGAUAAUUGAGGGAUCUAGACACAUAAAAAGCUAAUGACAAAAAUAAUUUUCUGGAUCUUAACAUGUAAGAUCUUGAUGUUGUUGUUCUGUCAUGUGAAUAUGCACAGAUCGGAGAGCUAAAGAAGCUCGUUGAAGAGGGUAAGAUAAAGUACAUCGGUUUAUCCGAGGCCUCUGCAUCAACAAUCAGAAGAGCACAUGCCGUUCAUCCCAUCACAGCAGUGCAAUUGGAGUGGUCGCUUUGGUCAAGAGAUGUGGAGGCGGACAUCGUUCCAACGUGCAGGUAGGAUAUCACUCUGUUAAUUGUUUAUGCAGCAACAACAGCUUCCUUCUGACUCUGCUUUUCCUUUAAAAUGUUGACUAGGGAGCUUGGCAUUGGAAUUGUUGCCUACAGUCCUUUAGGACGAGGAUUCUUUUCUGUUGGCUCCAAGUUGGCGGAGAAUUUCUCAAAGGAUGACUUCAGACAGGUCUGUUCCUGCUUGUCAACAUAAUUAGAUGCUUACAGUGGCUGUCAUUCUUAUUGAAGUGCUGGAAACCUGUUCUUGUGGUAUCAAGAAAAAGUAUCUGGAUGGGAUGAAUAAAACUUGGUGACACGAAUGCUUCGUGUUUUUAUAUGUCUUUAAUCCAGCACUUGCCAGACAUCCCACCUCUCUCGAUUCUAGAUAAAUGUAAAAUCACAAGUAAUGGCUUUAGUGAGCCUGAAAGAGGCAGUUUCCUGGAUUCUCGUGCUUUUGGGAAUGAAUACAUAUAGGUUUAUAUGUAAGUUGCUCUGUUUCCCAGCCUUCCCAACAUUUGCUUAUCACUAUCCUUUCCCCACUUUCCACCCACCCUUUUUCUCUCAUCUUUCUUCACAAGAUUAGCGAUAUUUCCUCGAAAUAACUGACGCCAGUAUCGGGCUCUGGCCCUCCGUCCUUUUUCAUUCUCAUCUUUCUUCACAAGAUAAACUAUAUCUUGACACAACCAUUUCUUGAGUGAGGACUCCCGACACCCUUCUUAUGAGAGUUUUGGAUCAAGUUCCCAUCUGACAUAAAGCCAAUUGUGUAUUACUCCCCGCCAUUAGCGUUUGACUAGCGAUAGUGCUGGGCAAGUGAGGUAGCUAUUUUUCUUUGUAGCUAAAAGAGCUCUGCGUCUGAUAACACUCUUCUACACAUCAUCUACAUUUCUGAUUUCUUAUUUUAUGUGUGACUAAUGGUAUCAUCACACGUACAAAACUUAGAUUGUCGAGUUUGUUUCUGUUUUCACAUCCUACAUCAAGCCCAUCAGCCUUGUGUGGUAGUUGCUAGAUCACUUCGCUUGACGUUUCUAAUGCUUAUGAUUUGGGACAUGAUAUUUUAAUCAUUUCAAGAUUAUUUAUAACUGAUCAUGCUUAUCCAGAUAGACAACGAUUGCACACUUCUAAAUGCUUAUUAUGUCAAGUAACAAGACAAUCUGAUGGCAUGCAAUGCAACCACUUUUGCACUUGUUGCUGUAGAAUUUAGCCUUAAAAGGAAAAUGAUAAUUGCUCAUAUGCUCUCUGCUGAGACAUUGCUCCAUGUUAUGCAGUAUCAUCCAAGGUUCCGGCCAGAGAACUUGGCUCACAACACGAAGUUAUUUGACCGAGUGAAUGAAAUUGCGCAAAGAAAGGGAUGCACCACAUCGCAGUUAGCCCUGGCCUGGGUACACCACCAUGGUGACGACAUUUGCCCGAUUCCUGGCACAACCAAGAUCGAGAAUUUCAACCAGAACAUUGGAGCUCUUUUAGUGAAGCUUACACAGGAAGACAUGGCCGAGCUUGAAUUGAUUGCUUCUGCGGACAAUGUCAAGGGUGGCAGGUAUGAUGGAAGCAUAUCUACAUGGGAAAACUCCGACACUCCACCCCUUUCUUCUUGGAAACCUGCCUAGAAGCGUGUCUGCUUCUGUUGCUGCAUCUUUGAUGUGCAGAGUUUGAGCAUUUGCUGCUGAAGUAAUUUGAGUUUAUGUUGUGUGGCUGUUAUAAGUAUGUGUAAUAAGAGAGUGACUGUUUUCAUUUUGUACAUGUGACAUUCACUAUGAGAAGAUUAUGGAUGUGUACUAACCUUACUGGGGAAAGAUCACUUGAUAAACACGGGAGCGAGUUGAAUACGAACUGAGCCUUCCGUGUCGACUUUAUGGGGUGACUUUUAGAAUAUGAGAAAUUGGGAUUUUGAAGAAUUCAAACUCAGUCGUACAUACUGUUGGAAAUAUGGCUUCGAAAUUGGGUAGAAUAAUGAAAUCGAAUUGAGUAAAACAACUUGGACUUUGAGGCGCGAUAUCGGAUUUAUUUGCCCCACAAAGUUGCUAAUGGUCACCGGCAAAAAUCCUCCAGGAUACAACAAAGUCUCGGAUGAGAAUACUAGAUAGCAAUUCAAGUAUUUCUCCAGGGUCUUUCUAAGAAACAAUCAAAAAAUUGGCUGCUGUUUUUCAGAAAGAAGACUCGAAAAUGACCACUCUUUUUCUUUCUGAAAAAUGACAAGUAUAUAUAUGAAACAGUCUUGCAACUCUUCGUGAAAAUUGUGAACAAACACGUCUUUAGAAAAUUGUUUGGAUAAACAAAUGCGACUCUUCGGAACAAAUCGAAAACGAACAAUUGCAACCUUUCGGGAAAAGUUAAAACCGAAUAAGUAAUUUUCCAAAAGUUGUAUUGAAAGAACACAAAUAAAAUUCAGAAUAAUUUUUUUAAUAGAAUUUCCAAUUUUCAUUUUAUAUAUUUUAUUUCCGAAAUUCUCAAAAUAAAAGACAACCUUUGAAUUUACUAAAAAUUAAUAAAAAUAAAAUAAAAAAUAAUAACAAAUGGACUAGUGUUAAUUAAACCGCGGCGGGCAUGCGUGCUAAGUACGCCAAAAUCGCGCAAUUAUUCGCGCACCCGCACGCGGGUAUGAUGGGGUCUAGCCCCACCCAAUCAUUCUUUGAUGUACACAAGGAAACCAUUCACUUAUAAAUCAAGCCACUUCUUCCCACUUUUCCUAUGACAAACAAACCUCCAACAAUCCCCCACUUUGUUUGUAAAACAAAGAUUUCAGAAUUAAAAUUUUAAAAAACAUACAGCCAAAAUUUCAGUAAGAUUAAUAUACAUACAUAAAGGUCUCUUUCGAGUUAAACAUUUAUUUAGUGCAAGUAUAUUAAAGCUCUAUCAAAGUGACAAGUAGCUCGGCUUUAAACUUGUACUUUAAUAUAAUAGAACUGGACAUACCGCACAUACACUAACCUCUUGUUUCAGUGAGAAGUUCUAUAUUACUCCGCACUAUUAUGGCCUUGUGCUUGAUCAUAUUUCAUGAGCUCUCUAGAAAACAACCCUAACUUUCGUAAGAAGCGGCACCACUUCUAAGCUCAUAUAAGUGAAAUAUCUACCAUGUGUUUCUAUUACUAUCAACACACUACAAACUUGUAUCAUACUUUAUUAAGAAUUCAAUUCAUCCUACAAAACGUAACAGACAAUACUGACUUCUCAUAUCAGGGCUAUGUCAGUAUCAAACAAUCACAUUCAAUAACUUGUUCUUACCCAUUAAACCUUGUAAAAGGUCAGGUUACCAUUAUCGGUGAUUUCAAUUAAAGGGUUUCAGCCCCAUUUCUUGUGAGGUCGUUAUUACCAUAUGUCUUGGUAAAGCCUUCGUCAAUGGAUCGGCAAGAUUUUUACUUGACCUCACAUAGACAAUUGUUAUGAUACCAUCUUUAAUCAAUUGUCUUACAUAUUCAUGUCUUAGACUAAUGUGUCUAGACUUACCAUUAUAGUUGCUACUAUAGGCUCUUGCCAAAGUGGCCUAACUAUCAUAGUGGAUAGAAAUAAGAGGCAUAGGACUAGGCCAUAAUUUGAUAUCCAACAACAAAUUUCUAAUCCAUUCAGCCUAUUUCCCAGCUACCGCCAAAGCAAUAAAUUCAGAUUCCAUUGUUGAGUGAGUUAUACAUGUCUGUUUCUUGCUCGCCCAAUAUACAGCACCUCCAGCUAGUGUGAAAAUCCAUCCAGAAGUGAAAUGCUCAUCUCCCACACUUGUAAUCCAACUAAAAUCAGUGUAUCCUUCUACAUCGGAUAAUUAUUGUAGAACAAUCCUAAAUUUUUAAUUCUCUUAAGAUAACAAAAAAUUCUAGUAAUAGCUCUCCAAUGUUCUGUACUUGGAUUACUAGUAUACCUACUCAACUUGCUUACAUAAUAAGCAAUAUCGAGUAUAGUACAAUGCAUCGCAUACAUUAAAGACCUAUAGCACUUGCAUAUUUAGUUGUGCCAUCGCUCUACCAAUAUUAUAAUUUAAUUUAAUACUGGAAUCAAAUGGAGUACUUAUUUCUUUAAAAUCAAGAUGUUGAAAUUUAUUUAAUAAUUUUUCAACAUAACUACAUUGGCUUAAAGAAUAACCCCUACUAUUUUUCUUAACUUUAAUAUCUAAGAUAGUAUUUACUUCACCCAAAUCCUUCAUUUUAAGCAUGGAAGUUAGAUACUUCUUAGUCUCAUUAAUUCUAGUAAUAUUUGUUCCAAAGAUAAGCAUAUCAUCAACAUACGAGCACGCUAAGACACCAUAGUCUUUAGUAAAUUUAGAGUAUAUACACAUGUCGGCACUACUAUUGAUGAAACCAUUUGACAAUAUGACCGAAUUAAACUUUUCAUGCCACUGCUUAAGAGCUUGCUUAAGUCCAUAAAGAAACUUAAUCAAUUUACAUACUUUUCUUUCAUUUCCAGGAAGAACAAAAUCCUCCGGUUGUUCCAUGUAAAUCUCCUCAUUUAAGUCUCCAUCUAAGAAAGCAGUCUUAACAUCCAUUUGAUAAACACAAAGAUCAUAAAUGGAAGCUAGAGCAAAAAGAACUCGAAUAGAAGUUAUAUGUGCAACAGAAGCAUAUGUAUCAAAAUAAUCUAUUCAUUCUUUUUGUCUAUAUCCCUUAGCUACAAGCCUAGCUUUAAAAGCUUGAAUAGAACUAUCAUAAUGAUAUUUUCUUUUAAAAACCCAUUUGCACCCAAUAGAUUUUGAUCCUUUCGGUAAAUCUACUAAUACCCAACUAUUAUUGGACAUAAUUGAGUACAUUUCAUCAUUCACAGCUUCUUUCCAAAAAGAAGCAUCUCUAAAAGAUAUAGCAUCAUUAAAGCUUCUAGGAUCAUCUUCUAAAUUUAAUACUAAAGAGUACUUAUUUAUCACGUUAUUAUCUCCAUUUCCUUCAACAAGAAAAAGAGUUAUAAAAUCAGGACCGAAGUCUUUUAUUUUCCUAGCUCUAAUACUUCUCCUUGGUUCAAUCAUGUCUUUAGAAUCAUUCAUUUCUUUCUCUUGAGAAUCACUUUGAGUUUCCAUAGAUCUUGAAUUAUUUUCAAUAAUUUCAGAACUUGUAAAACAUUUAUUCUCAAAGAAUUCAACGUCCCUCAAUUCUACUAUGACAUUAGACUUUAAAUCAAGAAGUCUAUAAGCUUUACUAUUUUCAGCAUACCUAAUGAAAACACUUUUGAUAGCUCUAGGACCGAGCUUUGUUCUCUUAGGAUCUGGAGCUCGGUAGUAUGCCAAACACCCCCACAUUUUAAGAUAUGACAAAUUUGGCUUUCUACCUUUCCAUAUUUCAUAGGGGGUUAUGUCAUUUUUCUUGGAAGGUAUUCUGUUAUGAAUAUAGCAUGCAGUAAGUAAUGCUUCUCCCCAAAGAUUAAUUGGUAGAUUUGAAUUUGAAAGCAUACAAUUAACCAUUUCUCUAAGAGAUCGAUUUUUCCUUUUAGCUAAACCAUUUUGUUGUGGAGUAUGUGGUGCUGAAUCUUGAUGAAUAAUAUCAUAUUCUUCACAAAACGAAGAGAAUUCAUUUAAGAAAUAUUCUACACCUCUAUCUGAUUGUAGAACUUUAAUUUUCUUUUCUAAUUGAUUCUUUAUUCAGCCUUAUAUUUCAUAAACAUGGUAAAUGCUUAAUCCUUUGAUCUCAUGAGAUAAACAUAUAAGAACCUACUGCAAUCAUCCACAAAGGUAAUAAAAUACAUUUUACCUCCACGUGUUAGCAUACCAUUAAAUUCACAUAUAUCACUAUGAACCAAAUCCAAUAAAUUUGAAUUUCUUUUAACACUAGGAAAUGGCUUCUUAGUAAAUUUUGACUUAGCACAUAUUUCACAUUUAUCAAAUUCGCCAUUAAAAUUUAUCAAGUCUAAUUUUCUCAUAUUCUUCAAAUAACGAAUAUUUAUACGUGCCAACCUACUAUAUCAUAAAAUUGAAGACUCGACAAUAUAAGCAGAACUAUAAAUAUUAUUAUUGAUACUCAGUUGAUACAUGCCAUCAUUGACAUAACCCAUCCCAACAAACAACCCAUUUUUCGACAGGAUAACCUUAUCGGAUUCAAACAAAAUCCGAAACCCCCUCUUACAAAGUAAAUCAAUAGAAACUAGGUUCUUCCUAAUUUCGGGUAUAAAUAACACAUUAAGAAGAGUUAUCUUCUUUCCAGAAGUGAAGUCUAUCUCCACCGUGCAUUUUCCAGCAACCUUUGCAAUAGCAUUAUUCGCCAUCAGGACUUCUUGAACAUUUGAGUCAACAAUCUUUUCAAAUUGCUUGAACAUGUACUUGUCCCUGCACACAUGGAUUGUUGCUCCAGAAUCUAUCCAUCAACUGGAUUGGACAGUGGUAGAAUUAAUUUGAGAAACCAUAGCCAUCGUAUCAUUGAUUUCAGAAAUUUCCAUGUUUGAAAACAUGUUUAAAAUCAUGGCUACAUAAUUUUCUUCAACCAGAUUUGCAUUUGCUUUCACCACUGGAAUGUUCUUGUCCUUUGAAAUGCUCUUGCGGUGAAUGCAAUCCUUGGUGUAGUGUCCCCGUUUGCCACAAACAAAACAACAACCCUUUUGCUUCUUUUGUGUUCUCUUGAAUUUAUGCCCCCCGCUUUUUACUUUGAAGUUCUGGCCGAGUUUCCGUUUUUUGUCCACAACAUUCAUCUUGGAAUUGUACAAAAUAGAAUUAUCACGUAAACGUGACUCUUCCUCAAUGCAAAGACGUUUCUAUAUUGCUCCAAAGUAAAGUCUCCCAACUUGUGAAUCAGCCUUUUUACAUAGUCUUUCUAACUUGGAGGCAAUUUCGCAAUAAUUGCUCCAACUUGAAAAGCUUCUGGAAUAUCAAUUUUGAGGGCAUGAAUCUUAUUCACAAUCACUUGCAAUUCAUGGACUUGUUCUAGCAAGGGUUCAGUAUCAAUAAACUUGAAAUCAAAAUACUUUGCGAUUAGAUAUUUGUUGGUACCUUGCUCCUCCGCUUUGUACUUGAAUUCCAGUGCAUUUCAAAUUUCUCUGGCCGACUUUAUUUCUGUGAAUAAGUCAUACAGACGAUUGGAGAGUGUGUUUAGAAUGUGUCCUCGACAAAGUAAUUCAUCCUCCGCACGUUUCUUCUUUUCCUUAUUUACCCUCUCAAUGACUUCCACGCUUAGCUAUCCUCCCUCGGUAGUAGGCUUAGGAUCUUCUAUAGGUGCCAAGUUAGGAUCCAGUAUGUAGGAAAUCUUCAGAGCAGUGAGUAAGAACGUCAUCUUGUCCCUCUAGCGAGCAAAAUCAUUCCCAUCGAACCGGUCCAAUUUGACCAUAUCUUGAUUCAUAACUUUGAUUGUCUCCAACUCCAUUGUAGCAAACUAAAUCCUUAAAAUUGUUGUAAAAUUAUGGCUUCGAAAUUGGGUAGAAUAAUGAAAUCGAAUCGAGUAAAACAACUUGGACUUUGAGGCGCGAUAUCACUUUCUUUAAGGAUUUAUUUGCCCCCACAAAGUUGCUAAUGGUCACGGGCAAAAAUCCUCCAGGAUACAACAAAGUCUCGGAUGAAAAUACUAGAUAGCAAUUCAAGUAUUUCUCCAGGGUCUUUCUAAGAAACAAUCGAAAAAUUGGCUGCUGUUUUUCAGAAAGAAGACUCGAAAAUGACCACUCUUUUUCUUUCUGAAAAAUGACAAGUAUAUAUAUGAAACAGUCUUGCAACUCUUCGUGAAAAUUGUGAACAAACACGUCUUUAGAAAAUUGUUCGGAUAAACAAAUGCGACUCUUCGGAAGAAAUCGAAAACAAACAAUUGCAACCCUUUGGGAAAAGUUAAAACCGAAUAAGUAAUUUUCCAAAAGUUGUAUUGAAAGAAUACAAAUAAAAUUCGGAAUAAUUUUUUUAAUAGAAUUUCGAAUUUUCAUUUUAUAUAUUUUAUUUCCGAAAUUCUCAAAAUAAAAGAACCUUUGAAUUUACUAAAAACUAAUAAAAAAAUAACAAAUGGAUUAGUGUUAAUUAAAUCGCAGGCGUGUAUGCAUGUUAAGUGCGCCAAAUCUACACAAUUAUUCGCGCACCCACACGCGGGUAUGGUGGGAUCUAGCCCCACCCGAUUAUUCCUUGAUGUACACAAGGAAACCAUUCACUUAUAAAUCAGCCCACUUCUUCCCACUUUUCCUAUGUGGGACUACUAGAAAAACACACUCAGCUUGUUUUGACAAACAAACCUCCAACACAUACUAGAGUGACGCUUUAUUCUCCCCCAACCAAGCGUUCAAUACUAACACCGUGUGCAACACGCUCUUAAGACUGAAUGCUACACAUAGAUACAAAGCUUCGGUUUGUGUUUGGUUUGGUAGCGAAGUUAAGGAACAGUAAAAUGUUACCUGAUGUUCUCACGAAAGCGAAGUUGAGGAUAAAAUGCUGGCACGGUUGAUAUGAGUGUCGGGGAAAUCGAAGGUUUCUUGUUCAAGUUUCACCACCUACGGUUCAUGAGCUUUUAUGUAGCUCAAUACCUUAACUCAUGCCUUUGCAUUAUUAUAAAACAGUUGGAGAUAUCGCGUGAGUUUCCUAAAAUUAAAAACGACACUUCUAUUGUUUUUUUUAUUUGGAGUUAGAGUGGAGCAAUGUUGUUUUGUUUUGGUUUAGGAAAAUAACGCAAAUAGUCAUUAAACUUUGGUCCAAUGUGUUGUGUUCUUACUGAACUUUUAAUUUAUUUAGUAUGAUUGUCGAACUUUUUGUACAUGUUUAAUUUAGAUCCUAGGUUAGAUAAAUCCAAUGAUGCUGUGUUUGGUUGUUCGAAUAUCUUUGCUCUAUGGGAUAAUGAUAGGAUAAAAAUUCCAUCUAAUAUUUCUUGACGUCCGGAUAUAACAUGAUUCAAAUAAAACAAAUUUAAAUGAGUGUUUUAUUUGUAUAAUUAAAAUUAAAAAUAAACCAUGGAAGUCGUAAAUACUAUUCAUCCUUUCCCAAUCUUCAUCCAUAUCAAGCACCCCCGUUCCAUGUGACUUCAAGGACGCUCGCUCCUUCUGCAACACCCCUUUCGCUGCCCUUGAUCAACUUGAUGGAUUACGCUCGCUCUACCUUUGACUUCGCCACAUUGAGAGCCCCUUGGGUUUGAGUUCUCCGCUGGUCUAGCCAUCUUUACUUUCAACGCCUUUUCCUGCCUUUUCCUGCGAUGAAUCCAUCCCCUUCGACGAGUGUCAAUACUGCGUUGAUUCCCAGUUACCGUGCCCCGACUUGUUCAGUCGCUUCAACAGCUUCCCCCGAGACAGCGUGCGGAUCCGGUUUGUGAGUGGUAGCACCAUCGGUACCACUCGCUCCGAGUGACGUGGUUGAGGAGCUCUAUCGCCUUGGCUGCCGCCUCUUUCGGAUCAUCUUCUUCACAGAGAAGAUGUCCAGCUUUGAUCGGGAUCACAAAGUUCCAUACUAAAAUGGAGUUAAGUGACAUAAGAAAGAGGCAGGGCUGACGAGCUCCGACGCCACUUUUCCGAGGAAGCCAAAGGUGGUAAGCAGCUUGUCACUGGUAGGAGGAACGGUGGCCCUUAGAGUUUGCUCAGGUCGUUGUGGCAAGGGCUUCUCUAGGUAUCUUCGCGAUACUCAUGCUCUAACUAAGUUUGUGGUGGUCAUUUUAGUGAGAGAAAUUGGAACAAGAGAGAGAUGAUGGUGGCACUGGUCAAAAGUGAGGAUAAGCCAUCAACAAGCGCAGGAGUGGGGGAAAAAGUUGUGUCCCUUAUCUUUUCAGUUCUCUAAAUUUCACAUACCAUAUUUGAAUUUAUAUCACUUUCUAGAAGGGAUUUUUAUCCGGACUAUAUCUGAAUUUCACAUUACUCUAAACAACGUAUAGGAUCAAACUUAUCAUAUUAGAGUUUUAUCCAACCCAUCAAAGAUAGUCUUAUGAGAUAGAAUGCAAUGAUAUAAUUUGUGAGUUAUAUUAAACAUUUAUUAAAAGUUUAAGAACAAUAGUUCACAUUUUGAUUAUUAUGAUGCACCAAUAAGUUAUGUUAAAACAAUCCCACAAUAUAUUGAUAGCUUUGAAAUAUGGCUUUCUCUUGGUGAUGAUGUCGAUUAAUAUGGAGAAAUUAAUGGGAGGGUUUAUUUGGCCUAAUUAAAUGGGAGGCUAUAUCAAUGGGAGGUUUUUCAUUGUAACAUUCCCUUGUGCUUGGCAUUUGUAUUUUAGUAAAGGAUUUUGUUAGCAUAGUAAUUUUUGGAUUAUUAUGAGAAUAAUAGCUUGUUAUAAGUCAUAAAUUUUUAAAGUCGUGAACCCCAUAAUAAUUUCAAUUAUUUGUUAUUUGAUUUUUUGUAGUCUAGAAUAAAAAUUAUCAUCAAAUUAUUUAUUUUUAAUAAAUAUAUUGCUCUAACUGUUGUUUCAAUUAAGUUUGCAUCGGAGAAUAGAUUAUUUUGUUUUGGUGCGCUAGUCGAUUAUUGCACAGUACAUUGUCAUUUUCUGAGCACUAGCAACGUUGCGUUCAGACAAGGCGGCAUGGAAUUACUUGCCCAGCUGCACAUCGCACGACCAUACAUUCAUGGACUGUUCCUCAGGAAAGCAUAUAGACAUGUGGCUGAUGCAGAACAUUUCACGAGAUUAAAAUAAUAAUAAUAAUAAUUUUUAAAAAACUAUAGUUUCAACUUCAAAACAUGUCGAACGCCUACUUCCACAUCAAGAAUUUGGGACUUCCCAAAUAUUUUCUUGGUAUUAAGAUUGCUCAAUCUGGUAAAGAUAAUAGUCUUAGUAAGAGGAAGUUCAUCCCAGAAAUCAUUUCUGAAGCAGGAUUAUCUAGAUACUAAUCGGCCAUCAUACUAAUUGAACAAAAUACUAAGCUGCCAACUCAUGGACUUAGAGUCUUCAUCUUUUGAGGAUUCAUUGCUCAAGGAUCCAUUGGCAUAUCGGCAACUUGUUGCAAAAUUAAUAUACCUCACCAUCACAGGGCCUGAUAUAUGUUAUGUAGUGCAAGUACUCUUAAUUCAUGCAUAGUCCAAAAUAAUCUCAUAUGAAUGUAGCCCUAAAAGUUGUGAAAUAUUUGAAGUGAUGUCUCAGACUUAGAAUAUUUUUAUCUUCUGACUGCAACAUGAAGAUGAGAGCUUUUCGUAAUAUAAAUUAUGCCAAGAGAUCUAUUUUUGUUUAUGCAUUAAAUUGGGAAAGACAAUAAUCUCGUGGGAAAGGAAGAAGUAGUCAAUUAUAUCAUUGUCCUCAGCUGAAUCGAAGUAUUAAGCCAUGGGGAAAACUACCUGCGAAGUAGUUUGGAUAGGAGGAUUACUCUCAGAUCUUGGAUUACAGGUUAGUGGAGCAACUAAAUUGUUUUGUGAUAAUGAUGCUCCACUCAAAUUAACAACAAAUUUGGCAACAACAAAAAAAACAACAAAUCUAGUUUUUCAUGAAAGAAUAAGACAUGUAGAAGUUAAUUGCCAUUUUACUCGAGAUAAAAUCAUAGAAGGAGUUGUUGUAACUAAAGGAGUUGGAAUUAUGGACCAACCUGUAGACAUCUUCGCUAAGCCACUAUGUUAGAGACAACAUAUGUACCUAGUAUGUAGAAGGUUGUUAGCCUUCUUUUUGUCAAUCAUAUGACAAAAUCCCCAAUUUUAGUUCUAGUUCCAACCCAUCUAAACUUUUUUUGUCUCAUAAAAACCCUUAAAUUUAGAUGCAGUACCAAAUUUAUCUUAAAUGUUGUUUUGUCUCAUAAAAGAAACCCAGCUGUAGGUCCAAUUUUAUUUUCAUUGUAAUUUAUUUAUCUCAUAAAAGAUUAUCAACUGUUACUUGAGUCCUAAAUCUACUCUGCAUUAACCCUUUGUUAAAAUUGCCCCUAGGGAUUUUGCGCUUGGUUUUCGAUCUUUCGUGCUUGGAAAUGUUCUAUCUCUCUUGAACAACUCGUGUUUGGGAGCUUUCCUUCUCUUGAUGUCAAUAGAAUAUUUUGGAUGAAGGGUUAAUGGGAGCAAAUUUGCGACUCAAGUAAAAAUUUAUGAAUUUUUAUGAGAUUGUAAAAAUUUUAGGGUAUUAUAAAAAAAAAAGGUCUAAGGUAGAAUUAGUAUGUGAGUUAAAGUUGAGGAUUUUUUAUGGGACAAAAGAAGGUAAUGGUAGAAUUGUGAAUGGAUCUAAAAUUAUUGUUCUUUUUUUAGACGAAAGGUACAAUUAGGAGAAAAGCUAAAGUAGGGGGUUUUUUUAUAAGGGUGUUAGGGUCCAUUUUGUCAAUCAUAUGACGUCAGCAUUUCUUAUUUUCUCCUCCCUUUUCGUCAGCACGUGCGUCUACGGUAGCAUAUCCGGCCCCUCGCACCUACUGCUACUCCCCCUCAUAAAUAUCUGGGCUCGCCCGACACCUUCUUCAUCGGCGACUUCGGUAGCACGUGCAGGGAUCGAGCGAGCUCGAGCUAGACGACGGCAAUGGCGGCGGCGUCGACGACGACGGUGACGAGGAUCAAACUGGGGUCGCAGGGGCUGGAGGUGUCGGCGCAGGGGCUGGGCUGCAUGGGCAUGUCCGCCUUCUAAGGCCCUCCCAAGCCCGAGCCCGACAUGAUCGCCCUCAUCCACCACGCCGUCGGCUCCGGCGUCACCUUCCUCGACACCUCCGACAUCUACGGCCCCCACACCAACGAAAUCCUCCUCGGAAAGGUCGGUUCUCUCAGUCUCUGUUUUGCCUCCGCAUGAAUUAUAUGUGCUUAUAGUGUUACGGAAUUUAGCUUCAUCGAGCAGGAUGCUCUGAUCCUGCGUCAUGGUUUUCUAAUUUCGGGGUUGAUUUUGAGCAGGCGCUGAAGGGAGGGGUGAGGCAGAAGGUGGAAUUGGCGACCAAGUUCGGAGCCGUCAUUGGGGACGGGAAGAGGGAGGUCCGGGGCGAUCCGGCAUACGUGAGGGCGGCUUGCGAGGCCAGCUUGAAGCGGCUCGAGGUCGAUUGUAUCGACCUCUACUACCAACACCGUGUCGACACUCGAGUCCCCAUCGAAGUCACUGUAUGGAUCCUCCUUAAACCUUUACCUCUCUCUCGAGACUUUCUCGGAGCCAUAUGAUCAGUUGCUAAACUAGAUUGGUGUUAAUUAUGCAUCGUCAUGUUGUUACAAGUUUGUUGGAUUUUGUGGCAGUUGCUUGUAAAUAUUGUUAAAUGAGAUUUAAGAUCGGCUGAUAGCGGAGUUCAAGAUGCGGCACGAUGCUGUUAAAGGGGUUGUGGAAUUUAGUGGUUUAGUGGCUUGAGUUUUUGCUUUAUGGGCAUCUUUUACAAGUUAAGGGUCAACAAUCAAGAAAAUCAUUUGAAAUCUUCCUUUGAGAUGAAAGUGCUCCGGGGUUCAUCCUCAUUUAUAUACAAGAAUCACAUUUGAAGUUGUUCCUGGACUUUCUAUGGAAUGGAGACAUUUGGUUCUUGACAUAUCAUCGUGAAAUGUGACAAGUACUUCGAACACUUCUUUAAUAUGCUCUCUUCUGUGAUCGAUUAGAGAAAUCCACCUCCGUUAACUCAAUACCUAGUGACUUUUUUGUCACAUUGAGAUGCCUAAUAAUUGACUAAACUAUUCAGGGAUCGGGAAACAUAAAAAGCUAAUGAUGUGCAUAAUUUUCUGGAUCUUAACACGUAAGAUCUUGACGGUUGUUGUUUUGUUUUGUCUUGUGAAUAUGCACAGAUCGGAGAGCUAAAGAAGCUCGUUGAAGAGGGUAAGAUCAAGUACAUCGGUAUGUCUGAGGCCUCUGCGUCAACAAUCAGAAGAGCACAUGCUGUUCAUCCCAUCACAGCGGUGCAAUUGGAGUGGUCGCUGUGGUCAAGAGAUGUGGAGGCAGAGAUCAUUCCCACGUGCAGGUAUGAUAUCACUCUGUUAAUUUAUUUAUGCAGUAACAUCAUCUUUCUUCUGACUCUGCUCUUCCUUCAAAAUGUUGACUAGGGAGCUUGGCAUUGGAAUCGUUGCCUACAGUCCUUUAGGACGAGGAUUCUUUUCUGUUGGCUCCAAGUUGGCGGAGAAUUUCUCAAAGGAUGACUUCAGACAGGUCUGUUUCUGCUGGUCGACAUAAUUAGAUGCUCACAGUGACUGUCAUUCUCAUUGAAGUGCUGGAAACCUGUUCUUGUGGUAUAAAGAAAAGUUUCUGGAUGGGAUGAAUAAAACUUGGUGACACAAAUGCAUCACGUUCUUAUAUGUCUUCAAUCCAGCACUCGCCAGACAUACUACCUCUUUUGAUUCUAGAUAGAUGUAAAAGCACAAGUAAUGGCUUUAAUGAGCCUGAAAGAGGUAGGUUCCCGGAUUCUCAUUCUUUUGGGAAUGAAUAAAAAUAGGUUUAUUUGUAAGUUGCUCUGUUUCCAAGUCUUCCCACCAUUUGCUAAUCACUAUCCUUUCUCCACUUUUCGCCCACCCUUUUUCUCUCAUCUUCCUUCACAAGAUUAGCAAUAUUUCCUCAAAAGAACCGACACCAGUAUUGGGCCUCAGCCCUCCAUCCUUUUUUAUUCUCAUCUUUCUUCACAAGAUAAAUUGUAUCUUGACACAACCAUUUCUUGAGUGAAAACUCCCAAACACCUUUCUUAUGGAAGUUUUGGGAUCAAGUUGUGUAUUACUUCCUGCCAUUAGUUUUGGGCGAGUGAAGUAGCUAUUUUUCUUCGUAGCUAAAAGAGCUUUGCAUCUGAUAAUAUUCAUCUACACAUCAUCUACAUUUGUGAUUUCUUUCUCUAUGUGACUAAUGGUACCAUCACAUGAACAAUACUUAGAUUGCGGAUUUGGUUUCUGUUUUCACAUCUUACAUCAAACCCAUUAGCCUUGUGUGGUAGUUGCUGGAUCACUUAAUGAUUUGGGAAAAGAUAUUUUAAUCAUUUCAAGAUAAUCUUUAACUGAUGAUGCUUUUCCAGAUACACAGCGAUUGUGCACUUCCAAAUGCUUAUUAUGUCAAGUAAAAGACAAUCUGAUGGCAUGCAAUGCAACCACUUUUGCUCUUGUUGCGGUAGAAUUUGGCGUUAAAAGGAAAAUGAUAGUUGCUUAUAUGCUUUCUGCUGAGACAUUGCUCUAUGUUAUGCAGUACCUACCAAGGUUACAGCCAGAGAACUUGGCUCACAACGCCAAGUUAUUUGACCGAGUGAAUGAAAUUGCACAAAGAAAGGGAUGCACCCCAUCGCAGUUAGCCCUCGCCUGGGUACACCACCAGGGUGAUGAUGUUUGCCCGAUUCCCGGCACAACCAAGAUCGAGAAUUUCAACCAGAACAUUGGGGCUCUGUCAGUGAAGUUUACACCAGAAGAGAUGGCUGAGCUCGAAUCGAUUGCUUCUGCGGACAAUGUCAAGGGUGACAGGUACGAUAGCAGCGUUCCUACAUGGGAAAACUCCGACACUCCACCUCUUUCUUCAUGGAAACCUGCCUAGAAACAUGUCUGCUUCUGGUGCUGCAUCUUUGAUAUGCAGAGUUUGAGCAUUUGCUGCUGAGGUAAUUUGAGGCUAUGUUGUGUGGCUGUUAUAAGUACGUGUAAUAAAAGAGUUCGUUAUCUUGUAAUAAAAUCUGAACUCCAGAGAGUGACUGUUUUCGUUUUGUACAUGUGACAUUCAAUAUGAGAAGAUUAUAGAUGUGUACUAAGCUUAUUGAGGAAAGAUCACUCGAGAAACACGAGAGUUAGUUGAAUACUGUGAGAUAUUUGUAGGACUACUGUCAAUUACUCUAAAAACUUAAGCUGUAUGAAUGUGUGAAUAUUCUAAUAUUCUCUCAGAUGCUUAGUUUGGUCUUUUAUCUAAUACUAAGCAUGCAAAUUUAAUUGAGGAGACAAAUGGAGUAUGGAAAGAUUUAAACUUGGGACCUUCAACUCUGAUAUCAUGUAAAAUUUAAUCGUAUGAGAUUUUAUGAUAUUGCUAUCAACUAUUUUAAAAUCUUAAGUACAUAUUUCUGGUCCUCUCAUCCCCUAGCUUUGUGUUUAUAGACAAGACUGACAGCCAGGAAUUAGUUGCCAGUCAUCACAUUGUGUACCUCCACAUUAAUGGACUAUUCCUCCAGAAAAUAUAGAGUAUACAUUGAUGGACAUGUGCAGGUGCCCGUAAAACUUAAGGAAGAAGAAUUAGGAAGAAGAAUCCUCAAGGGGUGGAACUCCUUAAUGUCACAUCCUAUAUUCCCACCUAGGAAGAAAAAGAUAUGAAGGGAAUUAGGAGACCUUUAGUGGGAAAGGUAAAUAUUAUGUCAAGAUUUUGGUUCUGACUAUCUUAGAAUAGACAUAUAUAGUAGUCUCGUGCACUUAGAAUAAGAAAGUGGAGUGUCCAACCUCCUGCUAGGUUGCCUAAGGAUACACAUGGCAAUGAGUCCCUGAACAUAAGCCUAAUGUAUAGCGUCGUUCAAUUUUUAAUUUAUUCAAUAUAGUCUAUAAACGUUAGUCCAAUAUGCAAUGUAGACUCUGUAUUUUUUAUUUGUUCAAUCUAAUCCCUAAACUUUCGGUAUAUGUUUAAUUUGGUCCUUAAAUUAUGAUAAAAUGUUCAAUGUUUCCCUGAUUUUGAAUUCAUGGAGAGAUUACAUUUAACAUUUUCAUAGAUUUAAAUGAUUACAUUGAACAAAUUGAACAAAUUAAAAAUUAAAGGACUAUAUUGCAUAUUGAGUGAAAAUUUAUGGACCAUUUUUGUCAUUAUUCCCAUCACAAAAAUAGAACAUUUAACAAGGAAAAAAAAUCUAUACAUAGAUAAUAGAGAUACAUAGCAAUAAAUAUGUCAUGAAAAUAAUUAAAUCUACAAAAUAUUUAAUACCUUCAUUAUACGAAAAACGAGGUGGCUGAGGAUUGCGGCCUCCAGUCCAUCCCCCAAUUUUUCCAUUCACAUAACUUCAAAGUCGUGCAAAACUAUUAUUGAUGAUUACUCAAUCCGGACUUGCCUUUUGAGUCGCACAUUGUUAAUUUUGUUAGCAAAAAUUUUAUCAUGCACAUAUCACAAUUUUUCAACAUUGUGCAAUCAAUUCCUGAAAGUUCUGAAAUUGCAGAGUUAUGUAAUAUGAUAUAAACCUUUAUUCUUUCACGACUCCUAGUUAUGAUUAUUUUUAGGACCGUGCGAUUUUCAUUCCAAAUUUUGUUUUUCACAAGUCCUUUUACAUCGUUUUUCUUCUGAUCAUAUUACAUCCGCUAUCCCUCCUUUCGUUCGAUUGCUUGCUUUUCUUUUCUUGCAAGUCUCAUGUUGUUCUUUCUUUGCUAUUAUUGUAAUGACAUAAAGUAGUUUUUAAAUUUUGACUCAAUAUAUAAUUUGAAUGUGAUUUCUGGACUUUAUCCUAGAGUUGAUUUUCCUUGCUUUGUUGUCUCCCCUUUCGGCUCAUGCUGACCAGCCAUUUGUACCCCAUUCCUCUUCUUCUUACUCUGUUUUCGAGCUUUCGUCCACCCUUUCCUUUCCUUGCUGACCAUCUGAGGGAAGACGAAGAGCUGGGCUCUCUCUUCUCUAAAGAAGAGUCGCAGGACGUGCAUUCGAACCUGCAAUAAUGUCUCUCCUCAUUGAUUUUUGCCCCGAAAAUGUCUGUCUUCCAGCUGUUCGAUAAAAUGCCUCUGAGAAAAGUGUCAUUGGGUUGGCUUGUUCGGUUGCUCUAUUUGCUUUCGUUAUAUUUGUCUUUCAGGACGGGGACAGUAACUUCGUCUUCGAGGGAAAACCAUACGGAGGAUGCCUUUGUCCGGCGGCGCGAGAACGACGGGGAAGAAGGUUCGGGCACGGGUUCUUCCGUCGGGUAACCGCCGAACGACGGCACGGCGGACUCCGGAAUCUCGCCGGCAAGCUUGUUGUGGGAUUCAGUCGAGAGUAGGUGACGAGAGCCUGACGUCAGCACGCGCGCCUUUUUGUAGACCCGUUGACUUUUCACCGCCGGCAGCUUCGUUGUCGCGUCGGUUCAGUGGAGGAAGUGAGCGAGCGAGCAAGCUCUCGGACCGUUUCUUCUCCGCGCUCUCUUCUCGCAUCGACCUCGAGAUAGGCGGCGGCGGCGAUGGCGAUGGCGUCGGCGGCGGUGAGGAGGAUCAAGCUGGGGUCGCAGGGCCUGGAGGUCUCGGCGCAGGGGAUGGGCUGCGCGCGCAUGUCCCCCUUCUCUGGCCCCCCCAAGCCCGACCCCGACAUGAUCGCGCUCAUCCGCCACGCCGUUGGCUCCGGCGUCACCUUCCUCGACACGGCCGACGUCUACGGCUUUAGUGCCAACGAAGUCCUCAUCGGAAAGGUUGGUUUUUUGAGAUAUUGAGUCGCGUCUCCAUUCUAAAGGUUUCGUCUUGUUAGAUCAACUAGCUGACAGUCGUCGCAGAUAAUUCUGUAAUCUGAUCGAUUUCGGUGCUCGUGUGUGUUAUAAAGCUUAGUCUCAGCUUCUGCAUGAUGUAGAUAUGCUACAGUCAUGCCGAAUUCUAAGAUCCUGCAUCUCGAUUUCCGAAUUUCGGGGUCUUGUUGUGGUGAUUUGGUGUGGAUUUUGAGCAGGCACUGAAGGGAGGGGUGAGAGAGAAGGUGGAAUUGGCGACCAAGUUCGGGCUCUGCUAUGCAGAUGGAAAGUGGGAUGUCCGGGGCGAUCAAGUGUACGUGAGGGCGGCCUGCGAGGACAGCUUGAAGCGUCUCGACGUCGAUUGCAUCAACCUCUACUACCAACACCGUAUCGACACUCGCGUCCCCAUCGAAGUCACUGUAUGGAUCCCUCAUUAAACCUUUCCCCCUUUUGAGACUUUCUCUGAGCCAUGUGAUGAGUUGUUAAACUAGAUUCGUGUUGAUGAUGCAUCCUCGCGUCGUUAAUAGUUUGGGGGAUCUUGUGACAGAUUUAACUAUUUCCUUGCCUUUGACUGGUAAGGUUUUGUUAAAUGAGAUUUUGAUAUUCGAGAUCGGGAUGCAGCACGGUGUUGUUAAAGAGGUUGUGGAGCCUAGUCUUUUCAGUGGCUGAGCUUUUUGCCUUAUGGGCAUCUUUUACAAGUUAAGGGUCAACAAGCAUGAAAAUUAUUCUGGAUAUUCCUUCAAAAUGAAAGGGCCAUGGGCGUUCAUCCUAAUUUAUGUAAGUGAAUAUCGCAUUGAAAGUUGUUUAUGGACUUCCUGUAAAGACCUUUGAUGGUUGACAGAUUAUUGUGAAAUGAGACUGAUAGUUGAAAUGCUAUUUUUGUUUGCCCUCUUCUGUGAUAGAUUAGAGAAAUCUUACUCCGUUAACUUAAUUCUUCUGUUAUUUGCCCUCUUUUGUGAUAGAUAUAUGUCCGUUAACUUAAUGUCCAGUGACUUUUUUGUUGCAUUGAGAUGCAUGGGGAUCUACUCAUCCUUGCUAAGAACUGCCUAGUCAAGACGUAAUGUUUGAAUAGUGAUGUGAUAAAUGUGCAUAAACUUCUGGGCCUUAAUAUGUACGGUCUUGACUGUUGUUGUUGUUGUUGUUGUUGUUGUUGUUGUUGUUGUUUUGUCAUGUGAAUAUUUGAAGAUCGGGGAGCUAAAGAAACUCGUUGAAGAGGGCAAAAUCAAGUACAUCGGCUUAUCCGAGGCCUCUGCAUCAACAAUCAGAAGAGCACAUGCUGUUCAUCCCAUCACAGUGGUGCAAUUGGAGUGGUCACUGUGGUCAAGAGAUGUGGAGGCAGAGAUCAUUCCCACAUGCAGGUAAAGGAAUCACCUCAUUAGUUUGUUUAUGCAGAGCAACAGCUUUUUUCUGAUGCUGCUCUCCUUAAAAUGGUGACCAGGGAGCUUGGCAUUGGAAUUGUUGCGUACAGUCCUUUAGGACGAGGAUUCUUUUCUGUCGGUUCCAAGUUAUUGGAGAAUUUCUCUGAGGAUGACUUUAGACAGGUUUGUUUCUGCUGAUCAAACAUAACUAGAUGCUCACAGUGACUGUCAUUCCUAUUGAAGUUCUGGGAACUACGAGUUCUUGUGGUAUACAGAAAAUGCAUCUGGGUGGGAUGUUUAACAAUUGGUGACACAGAUUCUUUAUAUUCCUAUAUUUCUUCUCCGGCACUAGCCCCACACCCACCUCUCUGAUUCCACAUUAGUGUAAAAUCAUAACUAAUGGCUUAAUGAGCCUGAAGAGGCAGUUUCACGACUCUCAUGCUUUUGGGAAUAAGCAGAUAUAGGUUCAUUUGUAUGCUCCUCUGUUUCUCAGCCUUCACCAUUUGCUAUUCACUAUCCUUUCCCCACUUUCUACCUGUCCUUUUUCUCUCAUCUUUCUUCCCACGAGGACAAUUCUCCUCCAUUUGGCCGACACUGGUGUUGAGUCUUAGGCCUCCGUUCUUCUUUUUCUCAGCUUUCUUUAUGGGAUAAAUUAUAUCUCGACACACCAGUUCUGGAGUGGGGACUACCUAACACCCUUCUCAUGGAAGUUUUGGGAUCAAAUUCCUAUCUGACAUAAAGCCAAUUGUGGAUUACUUCCCGCAAUUUGCAUUUGACUAGUCAUUGCGCUGGGAAAGUGAGUAGCUAUUGCUUUUUAGCUAAAAAGGGCUUUACUUCUGAUAAUGUUUCUCUACACAUCAUCUAGAUUUGUGAUUUGUUUCUUUUAAGUGCGAUAAAUGGAUACCAUCCAUGGAGAAAACUUAGAUCGAUUUUGUUUCUGUUGUCAUGUCUUACAGCAAAACCAUCAGCCUUGUGCAGUAGUUUCUAGAGCACUUUGCUCCACAUUUUGAAUGCUUAUGAUAUUGAACAACAUUUUCUAAUCCUUUCAAGAUGAUCUUUUACUAAUCAUGCUUCUCAUAUCAAGACAAUCUGAUGACCACUUCUAGUAUUGUUUGCCCUUGUUGCAGUAGAGUUUUGUGUUAUAAAGAACAUGAUAAUAGCUCAUAUUCUCUCCACUGAGACAGUGCUCCAUAUUAUGCAGAAACUACCGAGGUUCCAGCCAGAGAACUUGGCUCACAACGCGAAGUUAUUUGACCGAGUGAAUGAAAUUGCGCAAAGAAAGGGAUGCACCCCAUUGCAGUUAGCCCUUGCCUGGGUACACCACCAGGGCGAUGACGUCUGCCCAAUUCCCGGCACAACCAAGAUCGAGAAUUUCAAUCAGAACAUCAGAGCUCUAUCGGUGAAGCUUUCUUCAGAAGACAUGGCUGAGCUUGAAUCGAUUGCUUCCGCGGACAAUGUCAAGGGCAGCAGGUAUGAUAGCAGCAUCUCUACAUGGGAAAACUCCGAUACUCCACCCCUUUCUUCAUGGAGCGCUGCUUAGAAAGCACGUCUCCUUCUGUCUGUCUCCGCAUCUUUGAUGUGCAGAGUUUGAGCAUUUGCUGCUGAAGUAAUUUGAGGCUAUGCGGUGCGGCUGUAUAAGCAUGUGUACGAAGAGAGUACUUAUUAUCCUGUUAGUAAAGUAAAAUCUGAACUGCAAAGCGUAAACGUUAACAUUUUGUAUAAGCAACGUUCACUAUGAGAAGAUCAUAAUAAGCUUACUGGGAAAUGAUCACUCAAGAAAGAUGGACCGAUGGCUCUCCAUAAGGCUUUGUCUUCGGGUCGGGAUCGGAGUUAUAGAAAAGUAGAAUGUGAAGCAAUGCUGAUGGACCCCGACCACCUAGAUCGCCGGCACGUGUCACUCCAUGUUGCUUCUCUUGAAAGUUGUCGAAGCCUCCUAAGGCACAAUUGGGUGAGCCUCGAUUGAUCAUUAUACUAUGCGGGAAGGGGAAUGCGUGUGCGGACUUCGUUGCCAAUUGCUAUGCACAUGGAGUUUCAUCUCCUAUUUUUCAAUUUCUCUCUCUCUCUCUCUCUCUCUCUCUCUCUCUCUCUCUCUCUCUCUCUCUCUCUAAUAGUAAAGAAAGAAAGGCCGCCUCACACUCAAAUUCCGUUUAUUCUGCCAAAAAUAAAUAAUUUAGAAAAUAUUUUCUUAAAUAUGGUCACCAUAUUAUUUAUAAAAUGGUUAAUAUUAUGAAAAAUUCUAAACUGGAUAAAUUUAUGCCAAAUUAAUUUUUGAGUCCACAAAAAUCAUAAUUUAUGCAAAUGUGACAAAUUACCUUAAAUUAAUUUUUGGACCAUCAAAAAACCUAAAUUAAUAUAUUUGUGAUAACUUUUUCCUAAAUUGAUAUGGAUUUCCGUUUGAACUUGUUAUAUCAAUUGAAUUAUUGUCAAUAUUCAUCAAACUCAGUAAUUUCAUAGUAAAAUUUAACAGAAAUUACUAGAUGAUAAAUAUGUUAUGGAUAUACUAGUUUAGGGUUUUUAAUGACCCAAAAAUUAGUUUAUGAUAAGUUUAUCACAUGUGUAUCAGUUUGGGGUUUUUUGUGAUAAAAAACCUAAUUUUGAGUAAAUUUGUCACAAGGGUAUUAGUUUGGAGAUUUUCGUGAUAUUAUCCCUAAGUCACUAGGAAAAUAUUUUCAUUGUCCAUAAAAAUAUUUGGAUAUAAAUUGUUGUUGAUAAUGUAAAAAAGUUUUCUUUCACUAAUUAUUUCAAAUGAUACAAUUGAUUUAUUUUCAAAAAAAUGUUUUCAAAAUCGUUCAAUUUCUAUGAAAAAAACAUAACGUUUGAAAAAACAAAAUUCUUCCCGACAAAAAGUGUGGAUCUGUGCAUUUGGUCCUUUUUUUUUUUCUUUUUAGCUUGGACUUUUAUCACUCCGCCGGGAAAAUUCCCAAAAUCUUGGAUUCAUUCAACCAACAUUUCUUGAAAUUUCAAACGUUAGUUUCUAGUUCGUGCAUACCAAUUGGGCCUUGUCUAGUCAAAAGCAUCAAGCGUAUAGUCCUCAUCAAAUGGGGAAAAUGAGUUUUGCCAUGAAAUGUGAAAAUCAAAGAAAGAGUACAUGUAACAAAAAUUAAGGAAAAUUAUUUGGUCCAUUAGAAAAAUUACCCAAAAAAUCCUCAGUAUAAUGCACUUUUAUUAAUUCAAUUCUAAAUCUUUCAAUUUUAUCAAUUGAAUUUUAAACAUUUUCAUUUUUUGCCAAGUGAAUCCAUCAUGUCAAUUUUGGUCAGAAAUUGCUAAGGUAGACACCAAUCAUUCAACAUGAAUAGUUUUUAAUAAUAUUUUAACUUUUUGUCGAAUUAUUUUUUUCUUUCUUUUUUUCCAAACCCUAGGUUGGCAAGGGCCAGUGACCCUUGUUUGGCAUGGGUGAAGGCAUUGCUGCUCUCGCUUGCAAGGGCAUUGAGGGGAGGGCGUUACAACCCUUGCUAGCCAAUUGGCGAGGGUUGUAGCCCUCGCUUGGUUCCAGAUGAGGGCCUCACACCCUCGCUAGUCCAAGGUUAGACGUAAAAGAAAAAGAAAAAGAAUAAAACAUUAUUCAAAAUUGUCCUUAUUAGCAUUGGUUGUACCACAUAGGAUGAUAAAUGUCUAUGUUAGCGAUUUCCAACCAAAAUUAAUUGAAUGGACUUAAUUAAAAAAAUGUGAAAAUAUUUAGAAUUUAAUUAGCAAACUUGAAAUGUUUAUAAUAGAAUUGACAAAAGUACAAUAAAUUUAGGACUUUUUGAAUAAUUUUCCCAUGUGAUAAUAACCUUUGCAGAGUCGGCGCAAUCAGUUGAAUAGUUUGGGGAUUUCCAGGUUAGAAGCUUGAGGUUAUCGGUUGAAUUCUCACAACUCACAUGUUAGGGGUGAGUGGUUGCACGUUUCGUUGAGAUUCUAUAUGAAGCUUGAAACUUACUUGUUGGAACACAUUUCCUAAUUUUUGGAACCUUGAAUUUACCUUACAUACUUAGGAACCUAGAAUCUACCUUGUCAUAGGUAUUAGGUUCUACCUAUACUCUGUACUCUUAAUGACUAGCAUUUACUACAAUCCACUAAUAACAAUUCAUAUAUAAUACACGAAAAUUAUGAAAUAUAAACAAAUAAAAUUUUUAAUUAUAGAUAUUAUUGAAAAUGGAAGCUCGAAUUAGCAGUUUUAGAUUGCAUACUUAUUAUUAGAGGCUAUGAAAUGUCACAAGAUCACAUGAAGACAUUAAAUAAGAAAAACAUAAAGAAUUAUUUCAGAUUCCAAGUUUCAGAUUUCUCACAUGUUGAAACAAAUUCUUCAAUUUUUAGAAGUUAAAACCUACUAUGUAUGUUCUAAAAUUGGAACAAGACUGGUUCUCAUUAAUUCGAUUCUCAGUACCUACCACGCAUAAUCUAUUAUGAGCAACAAACAUAGACUACAUUCAUGAGAUUACGACAUUUUUCCGGAGCCGUCGACGUCGGUGGCUCCGGAUUAUAAUAAAAUAAAAAUCGGAUAUAACGGGCAAGUUCACUAAAAUUGAAAGUGGACACAUAACAUAAUCGUCUUUGUAACUUUCUAAGUAGUGCCGUACUGUUGGGUGAUUUCGCCAAAAAGCCGCGUACCUGUCAUUUCCGACCAAUGAAUGAGGAAUCGAGGGCAGCUCCACCGAUCUUGCAGGUAAGUGCUGUUUUCAGAGCGCUCGUGGACAAGACAGCAUGGAAUCUCCCGCCUCCCUACUAUAAAGCUCGGCUCGCCCCAUCACUUUCAUUAUCGUCUUAGUGCCGAAAUUUUCUUCAUUUUCUCUAUUAUUUUCUAUCAUGUUAUCAAUGUCGUUCUUCCUCGCCUAGCUUCCAUAUUUUAGAGUUGCCUUUCGUUUUAUCUUGGUUUUUUUUUUUUUUUGGUUAUUACAAGUCCUCAUCCUGCAAUACAAAUCAGCAAAUCGAUUAGGAAUUCAAUUUUAAUUUUUUUCGAUACCAAGGCAAAAAUUAAGAACACUGAAAGCUCCAUGAUAGAGGAGACACCUACCUCACCUCAAAAUCAAGCCCCAUCGCCGUCGGAUUCGAUUAUAAUUUGGGACAAGAUAUUUUAAUCAUUUCGAGAUAAUCUUUAACUGAUCAUGCUCUUCUAGAUACACAGCGAUUGCGCACUUCCAAAUGCUUAUUAUGUCAAGUAACAUGACAAUCUAAUGGCAUGCAGUUCAACCAAUUUUGCACUCGUUGAUGUAGAAUUUGGCGUUAAAAGGAAAAUGAUAGUUGCUCGUAUGCUCUCUGCUUAGACAUUGCUUUAUGUUAUGAACUACCUACCAAGGUUGCGGCCAGAGAACUAAGCUCACAAUGCGAAGUAAUUCGACCAAGUGAAUGAAAUUGCACAAAGAAAGGGAUGCACCCCAUUGCAGUUAACCCUCGCCUGGUACACCACUGGAGUGAUGACGUUUGCCCGAUUACCGGCACGAUCAAGAUCGAGAAUUUCAACCAGAACAUUGGAGCUCUGUCAGUGAAGCUUUCGCCAGAAGAGAUGGGCCAAGCUCAGAUCGAUUGCUUAUAUGGAUAAUGUCNNNNNNNNNNNNNNNNNNNNNNNNNNNNNNNNNNNNNNNNNNNNNNNNNNNNNNNNNNNNNNNNNNNNNNNNNNNNNNNNNNNNNNNNNNNNNNNNNNNNCCUCGCGCUUAUGGAAGAGUAAUCACGAAGACAUCACAAUAGUUCAAUUGACGUUAGCAGGUACGUCUUCCCUACAUGGUAAGGGUCGUCACUGGGCGUGCAAUUGACGUAAGCACGUGCGUCUUCACAGCCACUACCGCUCCCCUCCUACUCAUCGUAGCUUCUGCCACUCCCCUCCUAUAAAUCUCGGCUCGCCCGACGCCUUCGCCAUCGUCUCGGUGCAGUGCAGGGAACGAUCGAGCUCGAGCUAGACUACGGCAAUGGCGGCAUCGACGACGACGACGGUGAGGAGGAUCAAGCUGGGGUCGCAGGGCCUGGAGGUGUCGGCGCAGGGGCUGGGCUGCAUGAGCAUGUCCGCCUUCUACGGCCCUCCCAAGUCCGAGCCCGACAUGAUCGCCCUCAUCCACCACGCAGUCGGCUCCGGCGUCACCUUCCUCGACACCUCCGACGUCUACGGUCCUCACACCAACGAAAUCCUCCUCGGAAAGGUCGUUCUCUCAGUCUCUCUUUUGCCUCUGCAUGAAUUAUAUAUGCUUAUGGUUUUACGGAACUUAGCUUCAUCGAGCAGGAUGCUCUGAUCCUGCGCCUUGGUUUUCUGAUUUCGGGGUUGAUUUUGAGCAGGCACUGAAGGGAGGGGUGAGGCAGAAGGUGGAAUUGGCGACCAAGUUCGGAGUCAGAUACGCGGACGGGAAGAGGGAGAUCCAGGGCGAUCCGGCGUACGUGAGGGCUGCUUGCGAGGCCAGCUUGAAACAUCUCGACAUCGAUUGCAUCGACCUCUACUACCAGCACCGUAUCGACACUCGCGUCCCCAUUGAAGUCACUGUAUGGAUCCCUUAUCAAACUUUCACCUCGCUUGAGACUUUCUCUGAGCCAUAUGAUGCAUCGUCAUGUUGUUACAAGUUUGUUGAAUUUUGUUAAAUGACACUUAAGUUCAGCUGAUAGCAGAGUUCAAGAUGCGGCACGGUGUUGUUCAAGGGUUGUGGAAUUUAGUAGUUUAGUGGCUUGAGUUUUCGUUUUGUGGGAAUCUUUUACAAGUUAAGGGUCAACAAGCAUGGAAAUUAUUCGAAAUCUUCCUUUGAGAUGAAAGUGCUCCGGGGUUCAUCCUGAAUUUAUAUACGGGAAUCACAUAUAAAGUUGUUCCUGGACUUUAUACGGAGACAUUUGAUUCUUGACAUAUUGUGAAAUAUGACAAGUACUUGGAAUACUUCUUUUAUUUGCUCUCUUCUGUGAGAGAUUCAAGAAAUCUACCUCCGUUAACUCAAUACCUUGUGGGUUUUUUGUCGCAUUGAGAUGCAUGAUAAUUGAGGGAUCUAGACAAAUAAAAAGCUAAUGACAAAAAUAAUUUUCUGGAUCUUAACAUGUAAGAUCUUGAUGUUGUUGUUCUGUCAUGUGAAUAUGCACAGAUCGGAGAGCUAAAGAAGCUCGUUGAAGAGGGUAAGAUAAAGUACAUCGGUUUAUCCGAGGCCUCUGCAUCAACAAUCAGAAGAGCACAUGCUGUUCAUCCCAUCACAGCAGUGCAAUUGGAGUGGUCGCUUUGGUCAAGAGAUGUGGAGGCGGACAUCGUUCCAACGUGCAGGUAGGAUAUCACUCUGUUAAUUGUUUAUGCAGCAACAACAGCUUCCUUCUGACUCUGCUUUUCCUUUAAAAUGUUGACUAGGGAGCUUGGCAUUGGAAUUGUUGCCUACAGUCCUUUAGGACGAGGAUUCUUUUCUGUUGGCUCCAAGUUGGUGGAGAAUAUCUCUAAGGAUGACGUCAGACAGGUCUGUUCCUGCUUGUCAACAUAAUUAGAUGCUUACAGUGGCUGUCAUUCUUAUUGAAGUGCUGGAAACCUGUUCUUGUGGUAUAAAGAAAAAGUAUCUGGAUGGGAUGAAUAAAACUUGGUGACACGAAUGCUUCGUGUUUUUAUAUGUCUUUAAUCCAGCACUUGCCAGACAUCCCACCUCUCUCGAUUCUAGAUAAAUGUAAAAUCACAAGUAAUGGCUUUAGUGAGCCUGAAAGAGGCAGUUUCCUGGAUUCUCGUCCUUUUGGGAAUGAAUGCAUAUAGGUUUAUAUGUAAGUUGCUCUGUUUCCCAGCCUUCCCAACAUUUGCUUAUCACUAUCCUUUCCCCACUUUCCACCCACCCUUUUUCUCUCAUCUUUCUUCACAAGAUUAGCGAUAUUUCCUCGAAAUAACUGACGCCAGUAUCGGGCUCUGGCCCUCCGUCCUUUUUCUUUCUCAUCUUUCUUCACAAGAUAAACUAUAUCUUGACACAACCAUUUCUUGAGCGAGGACUCCCGACACCCUUCUUAUGAGAGUUUUGGAUGAAGUUCCCAUCUGACAUAAAGCCAAUUGUGUAUUACUCCCCGCCAUUAGCGUUUGACUAGCGAUAGUGCUGGGCAAGUGAAGUAGCUAUUUUUCUUUGUAGCUAAAACAGCUCUGCGUCUGAUAACAUUCUUCUACACAUCAUCUACAUUUCUGAUUUUUUGUUUUAUGUGUGACUAAUGGUAUCAUCACAAGUACAAAACUUAGAUUGUCGAGUUUGUUUCUGUUUUCACAUCCUACAUCAAACCCAUCAGCCUUGUGUGGUAGUUGCUAGAUCACUUCGCUUGACGUUUCUAAUGCUUAUGAUUUGGGACAAGAUAUUUUAAUCAUUUCAAGAUAAUUUAUAACUGAUCAUGCUUUUCCAGAUACACAACGAUUGCACACUUCUAAAUGCUUAUUAUGUCAAGUAACAAGACAAUCCGAUGGCAUGCAAUGCAACCACUUUUGCACUUGUUGCUAUAGAAUUUAGCCCUAAAAGGAAAAUGAUAAUUGCUCAUAUGCUCUCGGCUGAGACAUUACUCUAUGUUAUGCAGAAGCAACCAAGGUUCCAGCCAGAGAACUUGGCUCACAACACGAAGUUAUUCGACCGAGUGAAUGAAGUUGCGCGAAGAAAGGGAUGCACCCCAUCUCAGUUAGCCCUCGCCUGGGUACACCACCAGGGUGACGACAUUUGCCCGAUUCCCGGCACAACCAAGAUCGCGAAUUUCAACCAGAACAUUGGAGCUCUGUCAGUGAAGCUUACACCGGAAGAGAUGGCCGAGCUUGAAUUGAUUGCUUCUGCGGACAAUGUCAAGGGUGGCAGGUACGAUAGCAGCGUUCCUACAUGGGAAAACUCCGACACUCCACCUCUUUCUUCAUGGAAACCUGCCUAGAAGCAUGUCUGCUUCUGGUGCUGCAUCUUUGAUGUGCAGAGUUUGAGCAUUUGCUGCUGAAGUAAUUUGAGUUUAUGUUGUGUGGCUGUUAUAAGUA
This 122659-nucleotide long non-coding RNA is filed under the name Eucalyptus grandis. RNAcentral describes it as "long non-coding RNA (EGRA_LNC004551)". Lineage: Eukaryota; Viridiplantae; Streptophyta; Magnoliopsida; Myrtales; Myrtaceae. The record is from RNAcentral.